CCUGGUCCCCAAGUACUUGAUCUGACAGCCGUUCAUGUUUUUUUUUGUCACAAGUUAAGCCGUGAUUAUUAUUCUAUCUGCAACUUCUGGAGUAAUGGAAAGAUUGUAGGCCUCCGUUGCUUUUUUCAUGUGCAUGGACCAGUCGACGACAUAAUCCUAUGCUAAAUAUGGACUUGGACACAAAGAACAUUGGUUGAUUCUGUAAAGGAAAGGUUUGAUGGUUGCAAGGCUUGAUUUGGAGAUUUUGUGUUCGGUUUUAUUAGCGAGUUAGCUGCUCUCUUGACUUGACGAGGAAACUAGGAUCAAAAAUCAAAUGUUUCGCACGCUGCUGCCCUGGAACCAUGGUCCACGGGUGGAUGGUGAGCAAUAACUCCAGAUUUGAUUUACCGUUCCCUUCGGACUCCCGGUUUUUUUGGCCCCGCGCUUUUCUGUCCCUCGCCGACAUUGUUGCACGAGGGAAGACUCCUGGGUGGUGGGCGAAUAUAACUCCAGAUUUAAGUUAUUAAAAGUUCUACAAUUAUUCAUGUUUUGCUCCCUUAGCCAAACUCCAUGAAAUCAAACGGAUAAAGCCCUUCUUGGUAUUAUUAUAUAGCAUUGUUGAUGGCUUUCAUAUCCAUGAAUCGCAAAAUGCUAAGGUUGCUGAAAACUGAAUACCACCAGGCCACGUUCCAAAGGGUGUCAGCUUUUGGUUAGGGAACUUGCGCGGAGUGCCGCGUGUGUUCGCACUUUGGUACGGAAUGCUAUGUCACACGGCUGUCCCUUGGGGUGAGGUGAAGGUAUCCGAACGUAUAAUAACUGUUCAAAUUUAUUUUUUUAUUUAAAUAUAUUUAUAUAUAAAUUAGAAAUUUAAAUAACCAGGCAAUAUUUAUUAUUCACAUUCAUUUUCGUAAAAAAAAAUAUAAAUAUAGAUAGACAAUAUUCCAUUUGCAAUUUUAUUUAAUUUUAUAUAGCACAUAUUUUUUUUAAAAAAACUAAAUAAUCAUAUCAAUAUAUUAUUAAUUUAAUUUAUUAUCUAUUUAAUAAUAUUUUCAAUUUUAUUUAUAUUUAUAUUAUUUAUAUUUAUUUAAAAUAAAUAUAAAUAUAAAUAUGUUAGUAUCCGAUUCAAUUUAGGCCUAGUUAUACCGUAAGGCGGUAACCAGUCAGUGUCACCGACUCCUUGGUAUCCACUGAUAAAAAAAAGAAAUAAAUAAAGCGGCAACUAGAGAAGAGUACUGCUUCCAAGAAAAGCAGUGGCAGCAGGAGAGAGGAAGCGUGGCGAUGGAACCCAAACCUCUCUUCCUGCUGCUUUGUAUCGCACUACUCUUCCCUUCUUCCACCGCUUCCUGCUCCCCUCGCAGCUGCAAGGUUCCCCGUUCUUUCUCCCUCCCUUCCUCUCUCUCUCUCUUUCUUUAUUGGAUCUGAAAGACUUCUUCCUCUCCCUUUCCCUCUCAUUUUUGAUCUGAUUUUCCUCUUAUUUUUGAUGUCUAUCUAUAAAAUACCAUAGCUGCUGGACUCGUGUUCGACGGCGGAUGACUGCGCUCCGGGCCUCUACUGCGGCACCUGCCCGGCCUCCGGCAAGACCCGGCCCUCCUGCACCCGAGGCAGGGCCACCGUUCCCACCUCCAUUGUACCCCUCCCCCAACUCUCUUCUUUCUUGCUUGAAUAAUAUAUUGAUUCUUUGAAGUAGCGAGUGAUGUGGGAGUGGUUUUAUUUUCAGGUGAAGGGGCUGCCCUUCAACAAGUACACAUGGUUGGUGACUCACAACUCCUUCUCCAUCGUCAAUGAGACCUCGUACACCGGCGUCCAGCGCAUCACCUUCUACAACCAGGAGGACACCGUCACCAACCAAUUGAGAGUAUACCCCUUGAUUCGUGCCUCCUGGUUCCUGAAUUUUCCUUCUUUUUUUUUUGUGCAUUUUUUGGCGUUACGUUGGCUGAUAAAUCAUUCUAGAAUGGCGUCCGGGGUUUGAUGCUGGACAUGUAUGAUUUUAAGGACGAUAUCUGGCUUUGCCACUCGCUGCAGGGCCGGUGCUACGACUUCACUGCUUUUGUAAGUCAAAUUCCCUAUCUUUUCUCUUCUUAAAUGCUUAAUUAUCUGAGAUCAGGGUAAGGAAGGAACUUGCAUAUAAAUAAGCUUUGGUCUGAGUUGUUUGAUUACUUGGUGUGAUGUUAGGAACCAGCGAUUAACACACUGAGGGAGGUGGAGGCAUUCCUGACUGAGAACCCAUCGGAGAUCGUGACUAUCAUCAUUGAAGAUUAUGUGCAUGCUCCUAAGGGGUUGACGAAGCUGUUUAUGAAUGCUGGCUUGGUCAAGUAUUGGUAUCCGGUCUCGGAGAUGCCGACAAAUGGCAGGGAGUGGCCGAGUGUGACGGAUAUGGCGGUGAAAAAUCACCGGCUGCUGGUCUUUACUUCUGAUGCUUCGAAGGAGGCCGAUGAAGGGAUUGCUUACCAGUGGAGGUAUAUGUUGGAGAAUGAACGUAAGUUCUCAGAAAACUUGCUAAUGAAAUGUUGACAAUUAUCCGUUCUCUUUGUCAAAUGUCGGUUCUUUACACAAUUAGUCACAAUCAGUAAGUGAUUUGCAAGCAACUGCAGAAUACCCAAUGAUGAACUCUUGAUGAGUCGAUGCUAUGUUCUAGAUAUGACUGCUGUGUUUUCCUGCACAUCAAUCAAUCACAUAUCAGGAUUAACAUAUUAGACUUGAGUACGUUAUAAGAGUGGGGAAGAUUUAGAUAUUGUAAGGCAAUUACACUAACAAGAUUUGUUAUAGAAUAAAUCUUUGUACUGCCAAAACAAGGUAGAGAGAACAUUAGUGAUAAGUGCGGAAUGAUAAGACAGCUAAUAUAGGAUCAAGUUGUCAACACUCUCUUGACCAAAAAUGCAGACCAUCAAACUGAUAAUAGUUUCCCUAAUUGCUUGCUUGACCUCUUCUCCCCAUUGUUUUAUAGAAUGACACACAUUCUUUAUGUUAAUCCUAUCAACAGCUAGAGCUUUAGGCUUUUGCUGACCCUUGCAAACUAAAACAUGUGUUGUUUGGGAAACCUAACUUUAGUAUUCAACUUUUUAAGGUUCAUCCAAUUUCAUAUCCUUCAAUGCCAGCUUAUAUUCAACAGCCAGUACCUUUCAUUGAUGAAGUCUUUGAAUGUAUUUGUAAGUUCUUUGUCCAUCCUUUAAUCAUAUAUGUGAUAGCAACAUAUCUCCAUCUCUAGCACACCCUCCAGUUCUAGUAAGCCCUUGUUUUUAUUAUCAACCCUCUAGUCUCCAUUUUCCUUUCCACUUCUGCUUCCAUCUAUUAGAUCUCUUCCAAUUGUCUGGGUUUGCACUUGCCCAUGUUCUCUAAGAUGUUGAUUGGCAUAUUAAAGCUCUUUUUUCCAAUGUUUCAUUCUCAUAGCUAAUCUAACUGGAUUCCCUCUCCUUCGACCUUCACCCUUAAAAUUCUAGUUUAAAUAUGACUGCAAAUGGGUCUUGUCAGCUGGAAAUCUGCCCCAUGUCUGUACCCGACCUCACCCAGUUGAACAGUUGGAUACGUUUAUAUCCACAUCUAGACCUUUUUCCCCCUCAGGCAAGGGGUUACAUAACCUAACUUGUGCCUGCAUUAAAAUUUAAUAUGGAUAGAUUAUAUUUCAAACCUAACCCAACCAGACAACUCACCCGGUUGAAACCAGCUUGCCAAUGUAUGGAGAUUAUACAGAUACACAAACUCAAGAUUUGUAAACUGCAAUUCAGUUUUGGCAUGAGCUUUGUAAUGCAUCAUGAUUUUAAACUACUUCUCAACAGAUGGCAAAGUUGUAAGCACUGCUGGUCUUUUAUCCCCCAUAUCAUCUCCAGCAAAACCAAAUCACAGAACCACUUUAGUAGGAUUAGUUAUGCUUUUAUUUACUGUAGAUAAUCAUUUCAACGCUCUAUAAUUUGAAAUGAUUUUUGUGGGGAUAAUGCCUGAAUUUAUUGUUUUCAUUCAGUAAAUGUAUUUUCUCAUUGACUUAUUAUGAGAAAACUUUUGCAUGCUCCAAAUUAUGAUUCAGGUCGAAGGCUAUAAAAGUUAUCAGUUAUUUGCACAAACAGAAUCGUACUAAUCUUUUACAUAGAAAUUAUGAUCAAAAAUCAAGAAACAUAGCCAUGCUUGCUAAAUCCAAGAUGAGCUUAUAUUUUGGUCUAUGAAUCAAGCGGUGGCCCUAAGAAAGUAUAAAUUUUUUUUAAAAAAAACACUCAUGAAAAAAUGUUAUACAUAUUAAGGAAAAUGCAUGCGUCCAUUUUGAAGUUUUAUUAGCAUGAAUUUAAAGUUUCUUGAUUUCUAUAAAUUCUUCUUCUUUUCUCGUAUAUCUCAUAUCCUCUUUUUUUUUUAUUUGGUAAGAUUGAGGAGAGAAUAUGAAAGAGCAUGCCCCUAUAAUGUAAAGCCCUAAUAAAACCGCACUAACCGGUAUCAACAAUCCACUUCGGUUGGCCGCUUUCAGAUUGUACGUGUUGGCUCUUCCAGGAUGAGGCAAUUUGUUGCGGCUGUGGCUACUAUCAGUACAAAUUGAUGUUUGUUGUCUCUCUGAAUACACAUUAUUUCAAUAUCUCUUUCUUCCUUUUGUCUGAUUGAAUUGGCCUGUAGCUUUUGGAUCCAUGUUCCUUAUACUUCGCCAGGCAAAAAGAUCCAUAGAGACCAGCCUAUUUUGUGUUCACACUGUAUGUAAUAACGGCUUUGUGGUAAUUGUGCGCAGUUUUCUUGUUCUUCACAACUUCUCUUGCGGAGCUUUAUCUGCCCAUUAAGUCAGUAGAUUCUUCCAUCUUGCUUAAGAUGCAUUUUCAUUGCUAAGCCAAUAUCCAAUAUUCACUUCUACCAGAAAUAGAACAUCUCCUCUAUCCUCCAUGCAGUCUCUUGUAUUCUAUGUAUUCUUAAUUCUAUGCAUUUAGGUCUAGGUGGUCCACUAUGAAGACUGGAGCAAAUCAAAUGCUUGUGGAAGGAUGAAAAAUUUUAAGAUGAAGUGUGCGUAUAAGCAAUAUUUGGAAGAGCACUCACUGACAGAGGAUGCCUCCCAAGUUAACUGCAAAGUAUAGAGGAACUCAAGUUGUUGGGAUAAGGCUUGACGAUGAUGGUUAGACUUGAUUUGAGUCUGUGCUCGUGAGCAACCUUCUCUAUAUUCCCUUUUUUGCGAAAGUGUAUCUUGAUUUUUUUCCCCAUCAGGAACUACAUCUGUUAAAUAAACUCUAGUUAGUUAAUGAUGUUGGUAUCCUCCUCUAACAUUUAACUUAAUUUUUACUGACCUAUCCAUUUUCAUUUUUUCAAAAAGAUCAUUUAUAUCUAUUGCUGUCUCUAAUUUCAGUUAUUGGCCUUCUCAACAUUUGUAAGCUGUUUGCCGUUACUAUUCUCCUUGGUUGAUAUAAUCAUUCUGCACCAGGUUACUGCCUGGGCAGGUCCCUAUUUUCUAAUUCUAGAAGAAUUUUGUUCUAAGUCUAAACAGACCUCUAAAUCCUGUCUAGUCUCACCAUGAUCAGGCUCUAUUCUGGUGUUUCCACAUGAUGCUAGAUCAUGAGCAGGAGAAGAAAGAAUCUUCAUCUAUGGAUAGUUGGUUGUUUGAGCCAUCUUCAUCUUGUUAUAAAUAAAAUAUCAGCAAUACUAAUCUUAAAAAUAUUUUGCAGUAAUCUGAUGAAACUUUAGAUCUAAUUCCAAGUAGUCUAUAAAUUGUGCUAUUGAUGUCUGAUUUUUGGGAGAUAUGAUAGACUGAUUGUAGAAGGUAAAUGUAAUGUGUUGGGGAUAAAUGGCCAAAUUCAAAACUAUGUAGCAGUAUCUUUACAUGGUUAGUUAGAUAUAGUGGUUACAAUAGACCACUUCAAACAUUAGUUAUGCUGGUUGCAGUUCAUGUUCAGCUCAAUUCUAGGCUUGGCCAAGCUCAAAUUGAAAUGAAACGAGCUGAGCUUAAUAAUGGCUGGUACACUUGCAAUUAAUUUUAUAUACAUUUUAAAUAUUUAAUCUAUAUUUAAAAUAUUGAUAUAAUAUAUAUUGCUUAUAGUGUGUAUAUACGUAAUAUUUUCCUCAAAAAAAAGUAACAACUGUAAUGAACCAUUGAAAUCAAUCCAAUGACUAAAAUCAAUAGGCUGGGUUAUUGAACAAUUUGAUGGCUUCAUUAUGUAUUGUAAUUCAUGGUUUGAUGGGUUUCACUGGUAGAGACGGUAGCAUUUUGAUGGUAUAACUAAUCAUAUGGGAUUUUUUAUUUAGACAAGGCAUGGAAUUUCGACUUCGAACAAAGCAUGAAUUGGGCUUGGUUCAAGGUUAUCUAGGCAUUUUAGACAGGCUUCUGAUCUGAUUAGCUCAAAAUUGGGCUUGGUUAAGCGCUUGAUUAAACAGGAAAUGAGUCAAGUUUGGUCCUAAAUUUCAGGUUUGAAAUUAAAUUUUGGCCAGGUUUGAUCAGAGUCAGGCUCAAUCAAGCUUUGCUCAAUUACACCCCUAAGCAUCACUAGCCAUACUACCAUAACGGAUGGUAGUGUCAAUUUGGGAAUUACUUGAUUGAGAGUUGGUGCCUUUCAUCGUGUUGCAAAAAUAAAUUUGAUGACCGUUGGAGAUUAUAAAUUAGAAUCUGCUUUUCUACAUGAUUACUAAGAUAAAAUUAAGAUGUUAUGGUUUUAGGUAAACUUGGUUCAUUUGAUGGAUUUACAAGUGAUGUGGAAUUCAAUAAGCAUGAUAUUGGCAUUUCUUCUGGAUUUCAAAUUAAUAUUUGGUAUUUUUUUGUAAGCAGUACUCUGUGUCAUUGUGUAAGAGAUUAGUUCUCAUUCUUCUCACACUUUGCAUUCCUUCUUCCUGAAGAUUUCUCCAAACAUUUUCAUUUAACAGCAACUUAUAGUCUGGCCUCUUACAUAACAAUACAAUCUUGGCAGCUGGAGAUCCAGGAAUUGUACCAGCCUCCUGUCCAAAUAGAAAGGAAUCACAACCUCUGAAUUCAAGAUAUGCAUCUCUAUUUCUGCAAAAUUACUUCCCUACGAUCCCUGUUGAAAAUGAAGCUUGCAAGGAACACUCACUUGGACUUGCUGAAAUGGUUGAUGCUUGUUAUAAAGCAGCUGGAAAUUUGAUGCCUAACUUCGUUGCUGUGAACUUCUACAUGGUAUGACUAAAUUGCCACUUCAAGAAAGGAAACUUAUUUAGAGUGAAAAGGUGAAAUUUCCUAACCAAAGCAUGUGUUUGCAGAGAAGUGAUGGUCGAGGUGUUUUUGACAUACAAGAUAGAAUGAAUGGGAUAAAUCUAUGUGGUUGUAGCACAGUUACUGCCUGCCAGGUUUGUUUCAAUGAUUCCUGGUAUCUCUAGAGCCCAGAACUUGCUCAGCCUUCAGCUCUAUGAGCAAUUGCACCUCCCUACUGCUGGUUUAUGGUGCCAUUUCUUUAUGAUCAAAAUAAUAUAAUCUCUGUAUCCAAUAUUUGUCUUAAAUGACCUUGAUUAGCAUCUCUCAAGAUCCAUUUAUGCAAUUUUGCAGGCCGGGGCACCAAGUGGAUCCUGUAAGAACACUGGAGCAUCUAAUCGAACUCCCACAAUUAAUGGAGGCACCUUUUCUGGGUAUGUACAGCUGUCAGGAUCUACACUGAGGUUCCACUUUUAUGAUCUCUUGGUGAUAAAUUUGCUUUGUGCUUUUCUGAUGAUAGUGUUCUCAUUGUAGCUGAUCAUUCACAUUAUAUUGUUGCAUCAUUUGUUAGUGAGCAUUUGCCUUUUGAUGGGCUCCCAUUUUCAUCAUUUUGUUCUUCUUCAAAGUAUUAUUGCAUUUCUGACGUGGCUAUCAAAGAUUUGGAGGACAAGGAAGUCAGUAGGCUAAUAUUUUGGCAAAUUUUGUUUGAGAGCCUGGCAUAUUAUUUUUUCAAUCAUACGAAAGUAAUAGCCAUCGUGCUUCUUCAACCAGUCAUCAAGGGUAGUAUUGCCUGUAGUUACUGGUGAGCAGGUAACUUGGGGAACCAGAAUAGCUCAAAUACUUGUCCAGAUAUAGACAAGGUCUGAUUAUAUGGUUAUCGGCACUAAGGCAAAAGUAAAAUGCAAACUUCACUUCAUCUACUCGCAAAACCUUGCCAAAUAAGCAUUAUUAUUUUCAUAUGAAGAAUGGAUGAUGCUGGAUUGACCAGUUGCUGGUCAAGUUAUGUUUAUGAAACCUUUAGUCGUCUUCUUUAAGUUUUAGUGAGGAAAACACUUAACGAUUGAUUGAUUUUCUUGUCAUUCAAUUGCCUUGUAAAUAUUCUUGCCCAUGGUGAAAUUGAUAUCUGAAACAUGGAACAUUGUGGCAAGUGCCACACAUUAUGAUGGUAGAACCCCUUGAAUACAUACUUGGCAUAUGAAGCAUCAAGCAGAUUGGAUAUUUAAUAGUUUUAAUAAUCAUCAUGGACAAUGGUUAUGAGUCAGAUGUUGGUUGGUUUACUUAAGGGAUUUUAUUAGUCUAAUAACCAAAUGCAGCAUGCCAAUAUUUGGUUGAGAUAACCUGUUUCUUCUGGCUUAUUCUGCGACUUUUCUCAGUGGGUAGAAUAGGCAUUUAGAAAGUGAUAGCCCAAUUUUUUUUCCAACUCACCUGAUUAACCUGGAAUUAAAUCCCUCUAUUCUGACUGCCAAAAGGAGUUGUUUGAUUGAAUGACUCCAGGUUAAAGCCGGUUAGGGCAAGUCCAGAACCAAGAGGCUUCUCUGCUACUGUUCAUCGGUACUUGAUCAUGACUUAAAAUAUACCACAUCAAUCAGUUAAAUAGCUGCCCCUGAUAUACUAUAACUAGAAAGAUUUGACCAGAUGAUAGGCCUAACUAGUUGUAAUAUGUAAUAAUCUUACUCCAAAUUGCUAAAGCUAUGCGGGCCAAUCAUUUUGGAUCUGAGCCAACUCUGUGAGAUACUGGAGAAUGUGAGAGAGAGAGAGAGAGAGAGAGAGAGAGAGAGAGAGAGAGAGNNNNNNNNNNNNNNNNNNNNNNNNNNNNNNNNNNNNNNNNNNNNNNNNNNNNNNNNNNNNNNNNNNNNNNNNNNNNNNNNNNNNNNNNNNNNNNNNNNNNNNNNNNNNNNNNNNNNNNNNNNNNNNNNNNNNNNNNNNNNNNNNNNNNNNNNNNNNNNNNNNNNNNNNNNNNNNNNNNNNNNNNNNNNNNNNNNNNNNNNNNNNNNNNNNNNNNNNNNNNNNNNNNNNNNNNNNNNNNNNNNNNNNNNNNNNNNNNNNNNNNNNNNNNNNNNNNNNNNNNNNNNNNNNNNNNNNNNNNNNNNNNNNNNNNNNNNNNNNNNNNNNNNNNNNNNNNNNNNNNNNNNNNNNNNNNNNNNNNNNNNNNNNNNNNNNNNNNNNNNNNNNNNNNNNNNNNNNNNNNNNNNNNNNNNNNNNNNNNNNNNNNNNNNNNNNNNNNNNNNNNNNNNNNNNNNNNNNNNNNNNNNNNNNNNNNNNNNNNNNNNNNNNNNNNNNNNNNNNNNNNNNNNNNNNNNNNNNNNNNNNNNNNNNNNNNNNNNNNNNNNNNNNNNNNNNNNNNNNNNNNNNNNNNNNNNNNNNNNNNNNNNNNNNNNNNNNNNNNNNNNNNNNNNNNNNNNNNNNNNNNNNNNNNNNNNNNNNNNNNNNNNNNNNNNNNNNNNNNNNNNNNNNNNNNNNNNNNNNNNNNNNNNNNNNNNNNNNNNNNNNNNNNNNNNNNNNUGGGUAGAUUUUGGGUACUUAUAUAUGAUCAAGGAACCCAAAUAAUAACUUUCCGGCUAGCCAUUUUGGGUGAGGUUUUAGAUUGUUAGACUCUCCAUACUGGUUUCUUUUAUUAUCUAUACUUGCGAGGAUACUGUUUGUUCGCUUUAGAUAUUCAUAUUUCGGAUCUUACUUAUAUUGGCUCGUGAACACUAAUAAAGAGUGAAUCCUGAAGCCACUUCUUUGUAUUCCCUCGGAAGUGCAACAGCCGGACAAGACACGUAAAUUGACCUUUCUCACAGGUAGCCCUUAUCCCUUAUGGUGCUGAUGUGUCCUGGCCAAAUCGGACCGAGUAUUUUUAGGCCUACAUCUGGAUUGCUUGUCUCGUUCAGCUUGACAAAUAUUAGAAGGCGGCUUUAAAACCAUUCUCUCCUUGAAAUGGAUUGCGUUUAUUUCUCGUAAGCUGAACAAAUGUUCGUCAUUCCAUUGGCCAUUUCUAGAUGAGGCUUGCGAAGCUCUCCUCUAUACGUGGACUCCUCUAUGAGCUUACAGCAGCAUCCUAUUCUGUAGUCAUCGUCUUGUCUUUCUGUUUAGAUUUCUGUCAACUUUAGAUUUCGUUCAGAAGCUACCUGUGUAAAACAAGGAAGCUAAAGUGGGCAAGUUCAUGCAUAACAUAGACAACGAAUGGGUUGACUUGGAAGGAAAUAAAUGGGCCUUACGUGGACCGUAUUAAGUCUUACUUUUUUUUAUCUAGAGAAAUGAUUGAUUGAAUCAAAACCCAAUUUAUCGUCUCACAAAACACGUGCAAUAACAGAAUCUAAUGAACCAUGUAACUUCUAUUGGCCAAAGAUUACUAUUCUUUUGUUCAUUCGAAAAUGUCUCAUACUUUGAUUGCAUAUAUUUUUAAAAACUUCAUAAUUUUUCUUAUGAAAUUUUCGUUUGAGCAAAACUAGUUUUGUUCGUUUGAUGAAUGUCUCAUACUUUUGUUGCAUAUAUUUCAAAAACUUCAUAAUUUUUUCUUGUGAAACUUUUAUUUGAAGAAAACUAGUCUUGUGAAACUUUUAAAAACUUCAUAAUUUUUCUUAUGAAAUUUUCGUUCUAGCAAAACUAGUUUUGUUCGUUUGAUGAAUGUCUCAUACUUUUGUUGCAUAUAUUUCAAAAACUUCAUAAUUUUUUCUUGUGAAACUUUUAUUUGAAGAAAACUAGUGUUGCGCACUUUAACUGCACGCAAUAGAAAGCAUAGGCAACCACAAACCUGUUAUUAGAUCAAGUAUUACUUUGUGAGCUGCAUCUCUUGGUUAAUUCCUUCUUUUUGAUACACUUUUUAGUGAUAUUUCUCCCACCCAAGCCCCAAGGAGAGAACAAAUGCUUUUAUUCAAACUACUAAAAAAUAGUCAUUUGGGAGUCGACCAAGGUUGCAUUAUCCUAUAUGUUAUAAAAGUAUAAAUAAUUUCUGUCAAUCAAGGCUUUUGCUUUCUACUGUAGUUAGCUCAACGUGCGGUAAGAGUAAAGAUAAAGGAGCCGGCGUGCGGUCGCCUGAGAACAUAAAGGCGCACCGGGUAAAGAUUCAUGAGGCCCUGAUCUUUCUUUCCAUCAGAGCACGACACGGUGGGCACAAAUACGACAAGGGAGCGGCGCUCAGCCGCGUGGACCCAGGCAUGCGCCCACCGACCAAACCUGGCUCAAAAGCGCACCACCCCACCCAAGUCAAAAGGUAGCCGGAAGCGAAAGAGCAUGCAUUGCCACCACCGCCGUGGUCACCUCCCUGGGCCCCAAACUUCCGCAUCGCGGUCGGGUUCCAAGAACUUAGUCCCUCUCGUCGCUUUCCCCGACCAAACUUCCAGUCGCCAGCUCCGUUUUCGCGAACAGAGCCCUGCCCCUUGGCUCGAAUGAGAUCUCAUUAGCCCACCAAGCUAUUUCUCUUGUUUUGUCCUCAUUGCUGAGGCUGGCAAGGCAGAUCCUGUGCGCAUGGCCACACACACACACACAGAUCCCAAGUGUCAUUGUAGGUAUUUUCGAUUUCACUAAAGUGGUCCAAAUUCGAAACGUGCAAGCGUUGAUUAAAUGUGGGGUCCAGAUACCUCCGCCUGAAUUGUCCGGUGGAGUCGCCAUCAUGGAACAACUCAUGAGUGGGGAGGGUAUGAGUAAACCGCAUCAAACAUUCUCCAGUGGGAAGGGGGCUCAGUGGGGGUUGCUAUGUGGAUGAGGUUUUUCUGUUCCUUCUCUUUUCUUUUUCAAAGUAAAAAAAAUAAAAAAAUAAAAAGCUCUAAAUCUGUUUUUGGAUUUGAAUCUAUUCAAAUAUGAAUAAAAAUUUGAGCAAACUAAUAUUCUCCAUAUUUAUAUAUAUCAAAGAGAAAUAGAUAUGAAUAUGAAUAAUUUAAUUUAUAACUCUAUUUAAUUUUAUAAAAAAUUUAUUAAUUUUUAAUAUAUAUAUAUAUACUAUUAAUUUGAUUUACCAUCAGUUUAGUAAUAUUUUUGAUUAUGUAGCUAUAAAAUUUAACUAUCCAAUUUAUAUUUAUAUUUUUAAUAUUCAAUUUGUAUUCAUAUCAUCUCGAAAUAUAUUUAAAUAUAAUUUUUUGUAUUUAAUUUAUAUUUGUAUUUAUCUGAUAAAAUAGAUAUAGAUUAAUAUAUUGAUAUCCUAUCCGCUUUUGCUGGCUCGGUCCGAUGUCCAAAAGAUGGCCAUCUGUCUCCACUGCAUGCGGUGUCUGAAAUUUAUGAAAGGCCGCAAGAAAUGGAUAAUUACGAUAAUAAAAAAUGGGUAGUAAUAAUCAGCACCGUCCAAACAAAAGCCUUUUAAUUCCGUUUCUUCCACCGCGCUGCUUCCUGGCAGCUCCGUAUGACACCACCAACCUCUUCGGUCCGACGACCUUCCAUCACUCCCUCCCAGCCGUCAGAUCUCCGGUUUACCGACUCUACGACUUCGAUCUGGCCGUCCGUAUGCCGUCACCGCUGCGCCGAACGCGCUGCCGUGACCCAAACGGAAACGUCCACGUCGGGAGCCGUCACGUGACGUCGGGCCGCCACGUCGAGACAACGGGAGGCCGCAAGAGCGCAUCCCUCGCUUUUGUCGGCGAGGGUCCUCGUGGCGGCCGCUCCAACCGACACCUGCCAUCCCGAGUUCCACGUUUUCGUUCUCCUGAUCUUCUCUCAGCCUCCCUCCCCUUAUACUUCUAUGACGGCCGUUAUAACGGCUCCCGUUGCUAAUUUACAUGAAUGGAUGGUAGGCUUGUAAAUGGUCGCUAUUAUCUGACCAUGCUUCCAUCAUAACGGUCCUAAUAUGAUGAAAAUAAUGGAUACUAUUUGACAUCUUCAAAUCAAUAGUCAUUUAAAAUGCUAUUUAUUAGUUCAAAUAACUAACGAGCUAAAGGGCAAUUCUUUAUUUGAUGAAACAAUAGUUUGAGCACAUAGUUAUCAUUGUAAUAGCUAAUAGUAAUAUUGUUUUAAUACCAAUAUGUUAAUUUUGAUAUAUUGAAACAAAUAAUCAAUUGUUGUUGUUAUCAUUAUGAAAAAUAAUGAUUUGUUUAAGCACUUCUACUGAAACGAAGGAAUGCAUGCACCAUUUAGAGGUUUGGCAUGUUGCAAAUAUUGCUCCGACAAAUUUCUUAUCUCCAUUGUUGAGGCGAUCCACGUUAGAGAGAAAGAAUUUGUGUAUGAGAAUGGAGGAAGAAUCAGAGAGAUAAAAUGGCAUUCUAAUUAUAAUUUUGUGAUUACUUUUUAUAGAGGAUCUCCAGAUUUAUUUGUAGCUAAGGGAUACAAAAUUCUAAAAUAUUGCGCUCUAAUAGUCUGAAGUCGUGUGGUAAUCAUCCGAGAUUCCGUCAUAACCAUAUGAGAUCCAGUUGUAAUUGUCUAAAAUCACAUUGUAACGAUUUAGGAUUGUGCGAUAACUAUAGCAAAACAUGCUAACUCUAUGAGUAAUGAGAGAAAUGCAUCUCUAGCCAUUGUUCGAUGUAAAAGAGCCUUAGUUGGCUGGGGAUAGAUGCCACGCUGCAAGAAUGUCUGCUUAUGCUACGAGGUUUUAUGAAGGUGAUACAUCUCAGAGGUCUUUUGAUGCUCGUCCUACUUCUCAACUUGAUCGAGUUAGACCUAGUUUGGCCAUACACAAUAUCAAUCUUGAGUUGGACCAAUCUGAUUACACUACGUCACUAUGCUUAUUUAUUGCCAUAUCACUUGCAAUCAAUUUCUCUGAUCAAGCUGAGACCAGCAACUCGGCUCGAGGAACUAGUUUGCCCAAGUGCUUUCAAGUCAAUAUCUCGAUCAUCUGUAAAACAACGAUUCCUAUGUAUACGUUGCUGCCAUUUUGUAUAACUCGUUAAGAUUAUAAUCUAUAAUGAAAUAAAUGCUUGUAUUCAUAUAUUCACUCUAAGAGGCUACUCCAUUCCUCAUAGAUUUUUUUAAGAUAGAUAAUAAUAAAAUAUAAUUUUAUAUAAAACAAUUUUUUUUAAAAAAGAAGAAAAUUUAUAUUCAUAAAGCUCACUUUUUGAGUCUCAUGACAUUAAUUUUAACAGAAUUUAGAAAAACAAUUAAAAACUAAUUUUACAAAAUUCAAUCAUUUUGAACCAACAUUCAAACAACUCAUUGGACCGUAGCAUAGUAUUUAGUUUUAAUAAAUUGUUUCUUCGAAUAAAAUAAAAUAAAAAUAUUUAAAAUUUAAAAUAAAUAUUAUUUAUACAGAAUAUUUUUUAAUCCAUAAGUUGUUAAUGUAGAAAUUUUAAACUAGUACAUAAAGUCCACGUUAGCGGCUUGUAUUAUUCUAAUGCGGAGUAACCCCCUAGCGGACGUCAUCAUAUCACAAGAAGACAAAGCGAGAAAUAACAUUAUCAUCAAGGCGGCAGCUACGACAAAGAUAACGGCGUCAUUGGAAGCUUGUCCUCUCCUUUCUCUCUCGUCCUCUCUCGGCAACCGCCCGCAUAAACUAUCCCGCAUGAUCGAACCACACGUGCUUCCCCUCCCCGAUUAUAAGUAACCCCAACCGCAACCGCACAUGGAAAACAAUUAUAACAAAAUAUAAAAGGGGAAAAGAGAGAGGCCAAUUCUCGCCUCUCGGUUCCAUCGAUCGAGAUGGAGGAGGAGUCGCCGUCGCCGCCGCCAGCGAGGAAGGAUGGCAAGGAGCGGCUCUACCGCGGGGUCCGGAUGCGAAAGUGGGGCAAGUGGGUCGCCGAGAUCCGCGAGCCCAACAAGCGCUCCCGGAUUUGGUUGGGCUCCUACUCCUCCCCCGUCGCCGCCGCCAAGGCCUACGACACCGCCGUCUUCUACCUCCGCGGCCGCUCCGCCCGCCUCAACUUCCCCGACGACCUCGCCGUCGACGCCGACGCCGACGCAGCCAUGUCCGCCGCUCUCAUCCGGAAGAAGGCCACCGAGGUCGGCGCCCGGGUCGACGCCCUCCACGCCACCGCCCCCGCCUCCCUGGCCGCCGGAGCUCCCGGCCCCGACCAUCGCCGCCGGCAGGCUUAUAAGAGGCCGGACCUCAAUCAGAAGCCCAGCCCCGAGAGCUCCGACGAGGACUGAGAACUCUUUGGCUAGUCGGAUUCCGUUCCUCCUCCAAGGCUCAUGACGAUGAGUUUAUGUAAAUUAAGAGUUUUGUUAAUUUAUAUCUUUUUGUUUGUCUAAAACUUUAGAUCAGAGUUUUGUUUAUCUUUAGGUUUUUUAGAUGGGGGUUGAAGACUCGAUCACUCGAGGUUGGAUGGAGAAGGGAAGUAGUAUGGAUUGGGUAUCAGUUGCGGUGUUGAUGAUGGGGUGUGGAGGUGAGGGGAAUUCUAUCUGUAUGUGUAGAUUAGAUAGGAUAUCAACAAGAACAAAUCAAACGAGGUUAUGAUGUUCUUCUUGCUAUCUGGUACCUUUAGGAUGAAGGGAUGAUGCUAAAAUAAUCUCUUUUGAUCAUCAAAUGCUUUCUUUGCUUUUCAAUAUCUUUUAUGUGUAAGAUAUUGUAUGCGAGGUGAUAAGGAUGAGCUCCAGGUGUGUUUGAAUCUAUAGAAACUUGAAUAACAAUUUUUUCGCAGUAUGGGUAUUUGUUGGAUCUGAAGAGAAUCCAUUCUAUUAGCGUAGUAGAUAUGAUGUCUAAAGUUCAACCCUAUUUGGUACGAACCAUGGAUUGAAGGAAGGUUGGAUAGAGGAGGGAGAGGAUAGAUGGAGUAGGAUGGAUGAAUAUUUUAUCCAUCCUCCUAUGCUUUGGUAAAACAUAGAAAAAUAGGUAGAAAUGGUUCCCUUCCUUUAUUUAUUAUAGAAAAAAUAUAAACAAAAGAUGAUAUCUAUAUUAUAUUUUUACUAAAUUAUUUUUUUAUAAAUAAAUAUUAAGAUUUUUUUUUAUGAAUACCCUCCUAAAUAUCAGAUUUUGCAUGAAUAUCCUUCCAAAAUUGAUAUUUGCAUGUAUACCCUCGUCAAAUACUUAUUUUGCUAUUUUAUCUUUUUUUAUUUUUAUUUUUGCAUAUAUAUCCAUGUUAUCUUCCAAAAAAAUUAACGGUUUUAAAUUAAAAUGAUUAAAAUAUUCUUAAUGAGUAGACAUAUAGCGAUCCCAUUAGCAGCAGACAGAAAUAAUAGUGUAAUUUUAAAAUUUUAUUUUAUUUUUAUUAAUAUAAAUAUGAUUUUUCUUAACACCGUUAGAACAACUGUUAUCCUAGGGAUAUUUGUACAAUAACAAAUUUUUUACGAAGGUAUAUAUGUAAAUAUCAAAAUAAAAAUAUUCAUGUAAAAUCCGAUAUUUAGAAGGAUAUCCAUGCAAAAAACCAAAAUAUUAUUAAUGAGAUGGGGCAUGAAUCUGAUUAAAAGAAUAAUCAAAAAAUUAAUAAAAAAGUAAUUUUAUCAAUAUAGAAAUCUAUUUUUUAUAUGCUGCAUCCUCUCAAUCUGGGAGGAUACAAAUGGGUGCGUGCAUGGGCAGUUCUUUCUUUUCAUUCAUCUUUGCUAAAUUUUUUGGAAUCAAACUAGAGAUAGAGGCCAUCCAUUAUUUCAAUACCGUCCAUCUUCACUCUCAUGACCCCAACCAAACAAAGGAUAAAGACUAAACAACUAUAAUUAAUUGCUUGGAAAGUUUAAUUUUUAACAGAAGCACAUGAUUUUAAUCUAGUCUACUUGUGGUGUAAAAAGCGCAAGAAUGUAUUCGAAUAUAUUAGAUAAUUAUGUUUUACGUGCGUUUUAAGGUGCGACGGAUUAAGAUCCAAGGCUUGUCUUAAUCUUCUUUUGCAAAACACAGGUGGACCAUGAGGGUGGAAACAUGCUUAUUUUAAUAUGGGAAUUUCAUAAUAGAGUUGCUCCCAUUUGGUGAUUUACCAAAUGAUGGUGGUGUCAUGACAUGCCUCAGCACUCUCAAAAUUUUGAUAGCAGCAGUGACAUUAGUAGUCGAUGUUUUCCAAGUUGUUGUAGUUCAACUACUAUGCUAUGCACUCGGAUUCCUCUUUCAUUUAAGAAGUUUGGUGACUUAGCAGGUAUGACUCCUCGCUCAUGAUGUAUACUUUGAAGACGCGAGGAACUAUUGGGAUGUGCAUGUCAAUCCAAACAUUAACUCAUAUGCACUUAAGCAUGCAAAACUUUUCAACAUUAGCCUUUUGCCAUCAGGAUUUCUAAUGUCAAGUUUAGUCCAACCAAGAAUUGCAUUCCCUCUUUAAUACAAGAAAACGUUGUAUUGGCUGGCACAUGAUAGUGAAAACACGACAAGGUGCGACACAGGUCGGCCUCCCUCACGGUUUUGCCCUUUAAAAAGCGUCUCCUGAGAGAAGGAUAAUCGAGCCCUCCAUUUAAGAUACAGACAUUUCUGCUAUUCAGUCGAUGUGGGACUAAGUCCGAGAUGCUUUAUUCCCACAACAUCAGCCCCCCUCCCCAGCGGGAAGGUCUGAGCCAAUGUCAAGAGCCCCUACCUAGCACGCUAAUGAUGAGAUCGGAGUUUUUUCGACCUCAGACCUUAGCUCCCACCGAACUGGAACAGAAAAAGGAGACUGCGUCGCCACAGGAGGUAUUGUCCACUUUGGGGUAGGGUACGGCACAGGUCAGCCUCCCUCACAGUUUUGCCCUUUAAAAGGCGCCUCUUGAGAGAAGGAUAAUCGAGCUCUCCAUUUAAGGCACAAACCUUUUUCGCUAUUCAAUCGAUGUGGGACUAAGUCCAAGACUCUUUAUUAGCACAAUACUAUAUAUAUAUAUAUACACACACACACNNNNNNNNNNNNNNNNNNNNNNNNNNNNNNNNNNNNNNNNNNNNNNNNNNNNNNNNNNNNNNNNNNNNNNNNNNNNNNNNNNNNNNNNNNNNNNNNNNNNNNNNNNNNNNNNNNNNNNNNNNNNNNNNNNNNNNNNNNNNNNNNNNNNNNNNNNNNNNNNNNNNNNNNNNNNNNNNNNNNNNNNNNNNNNNNNNNNNNNNNNNNNNNNNNNNNNNNNNNNNNNNNNNNNNNNNNNNNNNNNNNNNNNNNNNNNNNNNNNNNNNNNNNNNNNNNNNNNNNNNNNNNNNNNNNNNNNNNNNNNNNNNNNNNNNNNNNNNNNNNNNNNNNNNNNNNNNNNNNNNNNNNNNNNNNNNNNNNNNNNNNNNNNNNNNNNNNNNNNNNNNNNNNNNNNNNNNNNNNNNNNNNNNNNNNNNNNNNNNNNNNNNNNNNNNNNNNNNNNNNNNNNNNNNNNNNNNNNNNNNNNNNNNNNNNNNNNNNNNNNNNNNNNNNNNNNNNNNNNNNNNNNNNNNNNNNNNNNNNNNNNNNNNNNNNNNNNNNNNNNNNNNNNNNNNNNNNNNNNNNNNNNNNNNNNNNNNNNNNNNNNNNNNNNNNNNNNNNNNNNNNNNNNNNNNNNNNNNNNNNNNNNNNNNNNNNNNNNNNNNNNNNNNNNNNNNNNNNNNNNNNNNNNNNNNNNNNNNNNNNNNNNNNNNNNNNNNNNNNNNNNNNNNNNNNNNNNNNNNNNNNNNNNNNNNNNNNNNNNNNNNNNNNNNNNNNNNNNNNNNNNNNNNNNNNNNNNNNNNNNNNNNNNNNNNUUUUCUUUCCUUUCUUCUCGUGUGUGUGUGUGUGUGUGAGAGAGAGAGAGAGAGAGAGAGAGAGAGACCAGCACUAUAAUACAUUACCUAGUCUCAGUUCUUAAAAUGCAAGAACCAAGAUUCAAGCACAGAACCUUUUGAUUGCUAUGUGAAGGGUAUGGCCAUUGGGACAAACCAUGAUUCAUGGUUAAGGUCUAAUUAAAAUCCGAGAUGAAAUCUACACCGAAAAAUGAGUUAAAUAUGGAGACUUCAGCCAAAGCUCAUCACAAAUCUGAGUGUGGAUGCGUGCAGUGUGAAAGAAAGAACGAGAGAGACUCUUGAUCAAACACCUUUCAAAACAAUAAAACAAAAGGCCGUGAAUAAUGUGAUUCUACUUUUGCUUUGAAAGAAGGAUCUCUCUCUCUUUCUUUCUUUCUUUUUGUUUUUGAUAGGUUGGAUUGAUUAUACAUUUCUAGUAAGAAUAGAUCUAAUAAAGUCAGAAAAUAAAAAAUGAUUAAGAGGAGGAGGAAUGGUUUCCUAGUUGUCCCAUGAAAAACUAUCUAGUAUUGAGCAAUAAAGGAGGCAACCCAGUCAAAAAAAUUCUGUUUGCCUCUCUAUACACAUAAAAUGAUGUACAAUCCUUCGUCAGCCUGAAGAUGUUCUGCAACAGCGGAUGUCCACAAAUUGCCUUGCAGUAGCCCUAGAUCCACCUGGUUACCUUAGUAGAGUCCUCUUCGAGGUGAAUGCAAUGCGCUCCUGGAAGAGCCUUGUAUUGGUUCUCCUUUUAAAAGGAGGGGGUAAGAUAAAAGAAACAACAAAGGGAAUCAUAUUAGUCACUUAAAAGAAAGGGAGAAAUAUACAACUCUCUCUUCUAAGUUGCAACUAAUGUAACGACAGCCCAUGUCCAUAACAGUUGGGCCCAGCCCAAGCCUAGAGAUAUUGCCUGAGGUGCCUUGGGCGAGCCCGGACCAUUUAACGCACCGAAGCAGCGCAUCUGACUUUCUUGUUUUAAAAAGAAACCAAACUCCCAGAUAGGAAGGUCAGACUUCUUCGUCUAAAUAUCUCUGGCCUUUCCCCAAUCACAGUGCCGUACUUUCUCUCCUCUCCCCACUAAUUAAGGGCUGAAAAAUCCAAUCCCCAGUCCGUCCUCCUUGGCGUGCCCUCUCCCUAUCCUACCUUGAACCGAGAGAGCGUCAUAAAAAGAGGGGGAGAGAAAACGAGAGAGGUCGGGAAGGGAAGAUAGAGAGAGAGACGGAGAAGGAAAAUAAAAUAAUGGACUCUCUCCUUCUCACGGACGCUCUUCUCCCCUCUUCCUUCUUGGGUUCAGUCCCCUCCCUUCCCCUCCACCGCGGACGAAUUGUUCCGGCCCCUCGCCCCGCCGUCUCACGGCGAACCCUCAGAUUAGGUUUCGCGGCUUCCGGCAGGCCGUCCGCCUCUGCCAGGAACGGAGCCUUGAUGACCAAUUCCAUGUCGGUGAGUGGCCUCUGUUCCCUUUGAUGCGACGUCUGAUCCCUUUUAUCUAUCUCAGAUUUCGAUUUAUGCCGUAAUGAUAAACUUUUGUUUUUCUUUUUGAUUUUAUCUUUCCGGAAUAUUGGUUGUUAAACUUUGGAGUGAUGCCUUUUGGACCGCCUUUCUUGAAAACUAUCUUUAGUGGUUAAUGUAACUUUAUGGGAAUGUGUUCUUUAGUAUGAUCUUGUGGUUUGGAUGACAGCACUAUAUAUCGAGUAGGUAACUAUCCAUCAUAGCUUUCUGUGAUUAGCCUUUUUAGAGCAGCGUAUCAUUCAUAAAGUUUUGUUAAUCUUUAACGACGAGCUAGAAACGUAAGUUUAACCUUUUAAAUUAACACAGUACUUGGCCCGGGGAACCGUCCUUUUACCCGAACAUAAUUUAGGGUCAUGUAGUUAGGUAAUCUGUGUACAGCUAUUACACCUCAAGGAGCACGUCUUGGUGAACAAUAUUCUAAACAACAACAUACUGGUAAUAUGAGCAUAGUUUGGCCAAGGAUGUUGAAAUAAUUGAGAUUGUCAAUGAGUUGAUAGAGGUAUGUAGUAUUAGGUGCAUCGUUAACCUCUAAAUCCACGGAUGAUGCACAGGGGAUCUAUCAAGUGAGCCUAUGAUAUUAGAUUGGUGGAAUUCUAGUUUGUAGAAAGGCCGCAAGUAUGUAUGUGAAGGGACUGCAAGUAAAUAUAUAGGCUUAGAGAAUCGUAAUGACCAACAUCAUCAUCCUAACUCUGUUCAUCAAUUAUUAUAUUAUCUUUGUAAAGAAGGCAUAACUGUGAAUAAUGGUGGGGAUGUACCUGGCUUUAUCAUACUUUGCAGGAAAUUAAAUGAUAAUGUUGCUUGCUUCAUUGANNNNNNNNNNNNNNNNNNNNNNNNNNNNNNNNNNNNNNNNNNNNNNNNNNNNNNNNNNNNNNNNNNNNNNNNNNNNNNNNNNNNNNNNNNNNNNNNNNNNNNNNNNNNNNNNNNNNNNNNNNNNNNNNNNNNNNNNNNNNNNNNNNNNNNNNNNNNNNNNNNNNNNNNNNNNNNGCCUUGCUCCUUGAUUAAACUUUACACUGGUAAUGCUGUGAUGCUCAGUCUAGCUUAAUGAGUGAUUCUUGAUCAUGCAUACAUAAUUACAUGGUAUGAGAACCUUACUGGUUGGGGAAGAGAUCAUAGUCAAGGAAGGCGCUGUUGCCAACGGCUAAAUGCAGUGAUGCGAGGAGGGUGGGGGUUUGCAUUUACUAGGGGAUAGAAGAAAAGGCGCUUAAAGAAAUUUGUGCCAUUAGAUAUUCGUGUCCAGUGCACGGGUGGAUCAUAGGAUCAAUAUUUAUUCUGUUCCCUAAGAAGAUACAUAGCCUAACAGCUUCACUUCAAAGGAUGGUAUUUAUUUCUAAUUUGUUUGUGAAUGUUGUAUAUUAAUGGGAUUCAAUAUCCAUCAUCGGCAACUGAAUGAGGCUGUAGCAUCUGGUUACUCCUCUAUAUCUCUACAUAUCUGAUUAUGAAUCUUUGAUAGUAUUCAUAUUCUUAUCUUUUUUGAUCUUAUGGGCUGCACCUACAUCCGUUGUGUGUGGAUGCCGUUGCACCAAAAAGAAAAUAGUAGUCAGAUUGGUGCCUAGCGCAGAAAAUUUGCUGAGAGUCUCUUUUUUUGGGGACCAAAGCUGGCCCUNNNNNNNNNNNNNNNNNNNNNNNNNNNNNNNNNNNNNNNNNNNNNNNNNNNNNNNNNNNNNNNNNNNNNNNNNNNNNNNNNNNNNNNNNNNUAUAUAUAUAUAUAUAUAUAUAUAUAUAUAUAUAUAUAUAUAUAUGAUAAGAAAACAAGAAAUCAAGGGACAACCAUUGAGAAACUAGGCAUUUCGGAGCCCUAUUUUAUUAAUUUUCACACAUUUUAUCUCUUUCAUAAAAUAGAAAGUUAAAUCUACAUGGCAGAGAGGUAGUGUUGUCAUCAUGUCUUUCAAAAGAGGACAAAUGCCAAUCCAAUACAUAACUCACAAAAAAAAAAAACAAAGAUAUUGUGAUCUUCUUAUGGCUCACUUUUUCAAUGGCACUAAACAAAAUGUUGUAGCAGGGAGCUUUGGUGAAGUGGUAAGUAAUGUUUUUCUUCAAAGAACCUUUCCCAACUUGGUUUUCUGAGAAACUCCCGUUACAUUGGGAAACCUGUUUCUUGGCAUCUGUGGAUUUUAGUAAAUGGCCUUCAUUUUUCAAGUUGAAUCUAUGCAUAACAUGGGGUGUUGUUUUGAUAUUCUUGGUUUGUUGGUUUAUAGCAAAGCGAUGGCAUUUAUACAGUUGGGGAUUUUAUGACUAAAAAGGAAGAUCUACAUGUUGUAAAGCCCACAACUUCGGUUGAUGAAGGUACUGAAUUAUAUGUUACUUUGCAUAUUUGUAAUUUUGAUUAGUUUCUUACAGUGCACAUUCAUCAUGAUGUCAACAGCACUCGAGAUGCUAGUGGAGCAUAGGAUCACAGGCUUUCCUGUGAUUGAUGAUGACUGGACAUUGGUGUGUACUUUUUUUCUUUUGUUUCUUUCUACGGAGUUUUUUUUUCUUGGCUGCUUAAACAUAAAUCUUUGUAACUUUUUCUGUUGUGAGCGAUCUUGUAUUGGAACUUUGUCAUUAUUUAACGGUUUUAUUUUCUAUAUACUUUGUAAUUAACAUGUUUAUUAUGGUUAUAAAUACUAUAGUUAUACAGGCAUAAGAACUUCUUGUGUGAUUUUUUAAAUCACUCUCUCUAUCUCUCUCACCUGCAGUAUUCAAUGAACUAUAUCAUGAAUAUGAGAAACUAAGAAUUUGGUGAUAUCAAUGAAUUAUAUUAUUAGAAUAUACAGAACUAAACUGUUUCCUUGUUUCUUUUUAUGUUAAGCUUGAGGAGAAAUAAGGAAACCAGGUUGUAAUUAAUGCAACUAGAUCUUGUCACAUGCAUAGCAUGUGGAGGUAAGUUUUCCCCUUGAAUAUUGAUGGGAGGUUGGUGCACUGCCAAGGCCUUUUCUUUUUUUUAUUGAGGGGGGUGAGGUGGUAUUCAUGGGGAUGAAUAAAGACUGAUGGGAGUGGCACCUAAUUAUCUUCCCCUUUUGUUUAUAAUUCUCUUAUUGAUCAUAUCGUGGCUUUUGUUUUCAUAAUACUAAUCCUCCGCUUUUUUUUGUGGGAUUCUCAACCAAAGCACUAGGCCCAAAAUAUAGAGUGAUUCCCGUUCUCCCCUAACAUUUGUUCAUGAGACACUUGAGAUGGUUGAACGUCCAAUGGAUGGAUGUUUGAGUUUUAAUUAUAUAUAGUCUUAGGUGGUAUAAGGAAUAACCUUACAAAUCAUGAUGACUAAAAGUUCAAACUCAUGAAUAAUAUUUCUGUCUUCUGCAGUAAUUGGAUUAAUAGGGUAUUUAUUGAAAGCGAAUCAAUAAUAGAAGAGAAUAAAGAAAAAGGAAAAUAAUUCAUGAAUGAACGUGUGCCGCGUGCAUGUGCGUUCACAUUGGUGUAUAUGGUUGUCUAUGUGUUUGUUUGUUUGUGUGAGAAAAAGAGAGAGGAGAGAGAGAGGGGGUGAUAGAGAGAGUGCUGUAAAUGUCUAUGUGGUCUCUGCAUGCACUUUGUUUCAUUUUCUUUCAAUAACUUUGGAUGGCUAGUUGUGGUAGCUGGAUGGCCAUUUUUUCCAUUUGAUCAUGGCCAUGCACUAUUAGUUUGUUAGAGGAAAUUAUGGUUCUAAAACUAAGAAGGCAGAGGCCGCUAACAACUGCGUUAAAAUAAUAAGUUUGUUAACUUGGAGUACUAAAUAAACUUAUUGUCAUGGUCAAAUUGCAUUCAGCUCAGUUUUUCACUUCCCUUCAAGCUAGUUUAUAGAUACCAAAGUAUCAAGUUUUUAAAGUCAACUUUAACAAUUGCCUUCAACAACAUUAUCAAAAAGUCAGUUCAAGCAUGUAAGCAGCCACAUAAAUGACUAUGCGCUGCCUCACCAUAUAAGCAGUCUCACUUAAAUGUUUAGCAGCUUUUAAUUUGCUUAGACUUUUGAACAUCCCUGUGAAGAUGUAAACAAUUGUUUAAUCUCCUUGACCAAUUGAAUGGUUAUUUGGCAUUUGGUUUGAAAAGUUUGCAUCUGAAAUGUUUGUCAUACAUGUUUAUUGAUGUAAUGAUUGUUCUAACUGAUGUUCACAAAAAUUAUAACAUGUUCUUUUCUAUCCAGUGUUGAACUGUUUGAGGUAUUCCACAUCCUAGAACUACUUUCAUCUAAGCAUACAUUACAGUAGUACGCUAAGAUGAUAAACAUGAUCCUUUGCUAUAGCUGCACCCGACCUUUACAUUUAUUCUGACAAUAUGCAAGAUGUUCUGGCACGCCUAUUAACCAGGGUUCUUUUCCUUCCCUCACACUCUUAACACUCCAUUAGUUUCUUUCCUUAUGAUCCUUGUCUCUUUUCUUUGGGUUCUUUUUCCCCUUUUCCACCAUCAUAAUAUAAACUACCUUCUUCAUACUACUACUAUUACCAUCACCACCAAGACUCUUUUAGUAUGUUUUACCUGCCAAUAUAUUAUAUCCCUGGUUCUUUUCAUGGAAUUGAUAAUAACUUUAGGCUUAAAUUGAAUGACAAAUAAAUUUGACUGAGUAAGUGAACUUAAUAGCUAUUGAUUUUAACUAUUGCUUUUAUCUAAAUGGUUUUAUCUCAAGAUUUUGAUGUUAUUUUUUAACCACUUAGGCAUUAAAUAAUCCAUUCAAACACAAAACUGUUUAAAAGUUUUAGGGGUUGGAGAGUGUUUAACCAUUUUGAUAAUUUGUUCUUCAAGAUUCCUCUCUCUCUCAAAAAAAAAAAAGAUCUUCAAGUUGAAGCCCUUGUAAACAAUGUUUGCCACUUGGUCUUUUUUGAUAAAUUUGCUGUGACAACAUUUUUUGACUUUAAUUUUUCAUGUUGAUUUCAAUACUCUUCAUUUGCUCAUGAAAAAUAUGAUUUUUAAGUAAUAUGGGUUGCUUUCUGUAGUAUGAUUAAAUAAGUUUUUGAUAUAUCUAAUACAUAAAAAGGGUGAUUUCAGUGCAAGUAGUCAGCACUUAUAUAAACCGUAGUGUGAUAUAUCAAUUCACUAAUUCAGGGCUAGAAUUUAUGAUAAAAUUUUGUUUUCUACUUUUUAAUGGGGUUGAAACUCCUCCCACAAAUGCACACUAACUGGUUGUUGGCCAUCUACAUACUGGUGAGCAACCCAAUCAGCAUCAGUAGACCCUUUAAGUUUAAAUUGCUGUGUGUACUCUAGAGGAUACCCCAUCAUAGGAAACCUUCCAGAUUUCAAAAGAUCUGAAACACAUAAGAUUGCUAUCUACUCUAUAAGAUUAGAUUUGCUAUGAUUUCAUGUCAUUUGACGAGCUAUUUUCACACCAUAUGUAAUAUAUAAACAUGCUCUUCUCCCAAAAAAAUGUGAGCACGUGUAGAUCAUUUUCCACCAACUUACAAAAUCUGAUCAUUUCUAAUUUGUUUGAGAUCAUAUCAUGUAGAUUCCUUGCCAUAGAUCUCCAUGUAGAGGAGUUUUUCAGUUCGAAUUAAUAUAAAGGCUAACAAAGAUGUGCUGCUAAUAAUGCCGUGGCUCUAGAAAUAUACAACUUAAUUAUCAAAGAAAAGCUUUCAAUGUUGUCUGCAGAUGCUCGUAUCUUUUUGACGCUUGUUGAGCCUUUAAUCUUUUUUUAUGAUGCUCUGAUUUUUUUUGACUAUAUCAGUCCAUCAGCAACCAACAGUUUGUGUUCCUUGAGGAAGAAAUAACCAAAAUUUAUUUGUCAUUGUAAAAAGAUCUUAAGAUGCUUCUUUGCUUUCUUCUCCCUUUUCUAUUUUCAUCUCUUUCCUGUGUAAUUUUAAGGGUUUUUUUAAUGGCUAAUUAGAUCUGCCAUUCUUGCUGAUUUCUCUUUGAGAUUCAUGAGUAAUGGAAACUAAUGGAAACUUGUCAUUAUAUAUGUUUUUGGUUGGGCAACUUGUGUAGAUAACACUGUCUCACUGUUUUAUGUGAUCCUCCAUUUAAACUUGGUAUCAGCCGCUGUAAGCAAUGAGGUCAUGUGGUCCUCAAUAUUUAUGGAUAUUUAGAGGGUUAAGAUAUCUUAAUGCCAUCAUGAUUGGUGAGACCAAUAACUUGCCUCCUCUGCAAUAAUAAAUAACUAAAAAUAUUUGGACCUUUUGAGGUUUCUGUCCUAUUUCUUGACUUUAGUGGAGCAGUGGAGCAUAUUAACUAUCCUCAGUUAUCCUUCUUCAAGACAACUUAUGAAUGUUGAUGUACUAUUUCAAGCUAUACUCUGUCUACUGGAGAAGUAUAAAAUCUAGUGGUUGCCCAAUUGCUCAGUAUGGCACUUCUCUAAUUAGUUGUUCGGAACUUUGAUGCUAGACUCAUGGCAUGAAUUUGAAAUCAUAAAAGCUUCUACCUCUAUGAAUAUUUGGGCAAAAUCAUUAUAUUGACCAUCAACAUCAUAUUACUUAUAUAUGUGUUUUCAAUCAUAGUUCCUUCAUUAGACUCCAUAGCCAUGUCUUGAGUUUGGCUUGGCUAAUCUAUCAAUGGCAUUCUUAUUCUAAUACCGAUCUUGGUUCAUGCCAGCAAAUUAUUCCAUGGCUUGGACCACUGUGGAGGUUCUUUGGAUUUUUUUUUUCCAAUUUUUUGCAUCAGCUUCAUUAUUCUCAUCUCGUCAUAUUGCAAAUUAGAUAGUCAAUAAUAGUUUUUAGUUUUUCUAGAGCAAAUGAAGCAUAUCAAGAUUGAUUACCUAUUGAAUCUACUUCUAUCAACAUAAUCUUUCACUUUACUAAGUGGCUCAUUGACUUUUAGGAAGAGUCAUAGUCAAUUUGUUUCAAGUGCUUCUUGGUCAAAGCCCCAAUCUAUGAUUAACCUUUGAGUCGUAGGGAAGAAGAACGAGGCAUUAGAGCUUAUUAUAAGUGUUUAACUAUAUAUGCCCCUCCUAAACACCGCUACCCGCCACCAACAACCCCCACACCCACGAACAAAAUAAAGCUAACAAAGAGAUUUAAUUCCUUGUUAGAAACUCAUAUUAGCUUCAUAGCUCAUAGGUUGAAGGAGGUUGAACCUUUAUUCUUGAUGGGCUCUUUGAUGUGUAAAGAUUUUCCCGGCUUGCAAGAUCUGUGGGGGAUCUUUGAUGAGGGUUUUGAAGAUCACAUUUGGAGUAUGUCGGUUGCUUUUGGAGGGUUUUUCCUCUGAGUUGUAACAGAUUAGCAGGUGUACAUUGGUACAUGUUGUAUGAAUAUCUCAGCAUAGUUUGGGAGGACUAUUUGUAGUCUGUAGGUCAUUAUAUCCAUACCAGGUUGAUUUGGACAAGUAACAAGGGUUGAUGCUGAUGUAUGAUGAUUGAUAAAAUUUGAUAGAUAAAAAGGUAAAUUACUAAAUUCUGAUUGUUUGCUUCUUUCAAGGAAGGCCAUGUAUAGAAAAAGCAUGUGAUUGAGGGGUUUCCUUGCAUCUUGGAUGCAUUUUAGAGAUUCAUCUAUUUGGUGAAUGGCCUACCGCUUGUUGGCAACCUAUGUCUUGUUCCAUUAUGUCUUCCCUAAUCUUAUUAUUGCUUUAAUUAAAGGCCAUAUUUACUUGUUACGCAUAUACAGACACAAACACACACACACACACACACACAGCAAAAAUAGAAUUAUCGGGAAUUUUUUUGAUGGCACAAUUGGUUAGAUCAAUUGAGUUUUUUUUUCUUUUUUAACUGAACUUCAUGAGAAUAUUGGCAAUAUAUUUAGGUUGGUUCCAUUCUUGUUGAUGCUAACAAUAUAAUAAUGAGCAUCUAAAUUCUUAUUGAUUUCCUUGAUUGAGGUGAUUUUUCAAUAAAGGUAUCAUAACAUGAGAGUUUCUUAUUGCAAUUAUUAGAUAAUAAUAAUAAUAAUAAUAAUAGAAGAUACCGACUGACCAAGCUGGUAAAGUCUCUGAUGGGAAAGGCUCUUAUAAGGGUUGCUUAUUGCAAUUUAUCAUAAUAAUAAUAACUAUCUGACCAAGCUGGUAAAGUUUCUAUGGUUNNNNNNNNNNNNNNNNNNNNNNNNNNNNNNNNNNNNNNNNNNNNNNNNNNNNNNNNNNNNNNNNNNNNNNNNNNNNNNNNNNNNNNNNNNNNNNNNNNNNNNNNNNNNNNNNNNNNNNNNNNNNNNNNNNNNNNNNNNNNNNNNNNNNNNNNNNNNNNNNNNNNNNNNNNNNNNNNNNNNNNNNNNNNNNNNNNNNNNNNNNNNNNNNNNNNNNNNNNNNNNNNNNNNNNNNNNNNNNNNNNNNNNNNNNNNNNNNNNNNNNNNNNNNNNNNNNNNNNNNNNNNNNNNNNNNNNNNNNNNNNNNNNNNNNNNNNNNNNNNNNNNNNNNNNNNNNNNNNNNNNNNNNNNNNNNNNNNNNNNNNNNNNNNNNNNNNNNNNNNNNNNNNNNNNNNNNNNNNNNNNNNNNNNNNNNNNNNNNNNNNNNNNNNNNNNNNNNNNNNNNNNNNNNNNNNNNNNNNNNNNNNNNNNNNNNNNNNNNNNNNNNNNNNNNNNNNNNNNNNNNNNNNNNNNNNNNNNNNNNNNNNNNNNNNNNNNNNNNNNNNNNNNNNNNNNNNNNNNNNNNNNNNNNNNNNNNNNNNNNNNNNNNNNNNNNNNNNNNNNNNNNNNNNNNNNNNNNNNNNNNNNNNNNNNNNNNNNNNNNNNNNNNNNNNNNNNNNNNNNNNNNNNNNNNNNNNNNNNNNNNNNNNNNNNNNNNNNNNNNNNNNNNNNNNNNNNNNNNNNNNNNNNNNNNNNNNNNNNNNNNNNNNNNNNNNNNNNNNNNNNNNNNNNNNNNNNNNNNNNNNNNNNNNNNNNNNNNNNNNNNNNNNNNNNNNNNNNNNNNNNNNNNNNNNNNNNNNNNNNNNNNNNNNNNNNNNNNNNNNNNNNNNNNNNNNNNNNNNNNNNNNNNNNNNNNNNNNNNNNNNNNNNNNNNNNNNNNNNNNNNNNNNNNNNNNNNNNNNNNNNNNNNNNNNNNNNNNNNNNNNNNNNNNNNNNNNNNNNNNNNNNNNNNNNNNNNNNNNNNNNNNNNNNNNNNNNNNNNNNNNNNNNNNNNNNNNNNNNNNNNNNNNNNNNNNNNNNNNNNNNNNNNNNNNNNNNNNNNNNNNNNNNNNNNNNNNNNNNNNNNNNNNNNNNNNNNNNNNNNNNNNNNNNNNNNNNNNNNNNNNNNNNNNNNNNNNNNNNNNNNNNNNNNNNNNNNNNNNNNNNNNNNNNNNNNNNNNNNNNNNNNNNNNNNNNNNNNNNNNNNNNNNNNNNNNNNNNNNNNNNNNNNNNNNNNNNNNNNNNNNNNNNNNNNNNNNNNNNNNNNNNNNNNNNNNNNUUGUCAAAAUUAGCGUCUAAGCAUCUAGAGAGGUCGAGCUGCCUAGGCAAUUGCCAUUUAGGCAAUUUUAUACAGAAAUUAUAUAUACUCCAUAUAAAAAUGAUACUUUCUUUAUUUAGUAGUUUUGGUUGUUUGUGACCUACAGACGCUAUGUGGGAAUGGAAUUAACAUCAUUUCUUACUUUCCUGGACCAAAAACCCUAACCUCACCUCACUCGAUCCAUCUCUCUCCUCUCUCGUUCAAUGUGAGCUAGGGCAAUGAGCUGCCCUAUACUCCACUAGCUGCUACCAUCCUAUGCGGCAGCAUUCCGACAACCUGACCACUGUUCGCCCUUUAGGAGCCUGUUGGCUGCGGUCAAAUCACCCAAAAAGGUAAGUUUUUGCUUUUUCUUCUGCCAAUGUGCUUUGAUUUCCUUCUGCUUCUUGCUUCUUCACUUCUUCCUAUUUUUUCCCCUCCUUUUUAUAUCCCUUUCUUAUUUUGCCUUUGUAUCUUUGUUUCUUCUCCUCCAGUCCUCGUGUUCCUCUUCUCCUUACCUUUUGUUCCUCUUCUCAUAUUUAUUUUCCUUUUUUUGUCAUUAUUUUGACAGACUUCAGAGGAAUAGACGUAAUGCAACUAUGCAAAAUAUUUUAGACUAUGAAACCAAGUUAACAACAUCCAAUUAAUUUGUCCAUCCUUGUCUGGAUGAAUAUUUUCUUGUAAUUCAAGAGAUCCAGGGAUCAAGGAGCUCCAAAGAAUGUUACUUUGAGCAUUCUUUUGGAGAAAUCAACAAGUGGGUCUGCCAACAUUGACAAGUCUAUGAAGGAGGAUUAAGUGGUGUUAUCAGUAUACUGAAGAGCUUGGGAGUAAUGUCUGAAAGGUAUUCCACCCAUGUAAGGUGGAGAAUGGAAUGCAAGCCAUGUGCCUUAACCAGAAAAUGAAUAAAAUAAUAAGAGGCUUCACAAUUUUUAGGAGCAAAGUGUUCAACAAUUUUUUAACAAAUCCUAGAAAGUUGCAUAAGUAAACUGACAGCAUAACAAGAUUCUUUUCUGUUUAUGUCAAGGUAUCGUUCCAACUCUUUUAAGAUGGAAAUGUCAGUUCUCUUAUUUAUGCAUGAAAACAAGAUCUAAACUUUUGACUCAUUUUAGUAAUAUUUGUCUUGUUUGUUCUCGUGCUUAGGGAGUGGACGGAACGAUACAAGCAUGUUUCCUGAGGUUGACAGUACAUGGAAAGUAUGUGAAAAUUAUUCUAUUCGUGUUAUAUAUUUGUUAUUUAGUGUUGAUCAAUGCACCCUGUGCUAUUAAUUAGCCUUCUAUAUUUCCUAUGACAUGUAUGAUUUUGAUGCAGCAACGGAAUAAGGAAAAGAAAAAUAUGUGGUUCAUGAGAAAAAUUAACUUGCUUUAGCAAUAGGCUUUGCCAAUGUCUAGUAAGUCUUUGAUAACUUAUAAUGUUUGUAUGUCAUAUCAUGUUUGCUUGUAUGGUGGACUAGAGAGGUGGUUAGUGAUAUUCAAUUUUUAAGGGGUAGAAAUCCUUGGUGUCUUCUUAUGGGCAUUGAGUGUAUCUUAGACAUGAGACAAGACAUAAUGAUGGAAUUAAUAUUUGACAGCCAGUGAAAUUGUCCAAUCUUUAGGUUUUUAACCCAUUCAUUGGCGUCACAUGGUGUAUACUUUAUUAUUGUUUAUCAAGUUCUCUUUUUUUGGCUUACAAUAUGUUUGUAACUUACUUUUGAAUUUAAUCAAAAUACUAUUGCUUUGAUUAGACCAGAAAGUUGUUUCACUGUAAAUGUUGCAUGAAGCGGGAGCAUGAUGAGGAGCCUAAGCUAUGAAUUGUGAUUUUAGAUAUACCUAGGUAGUCAAUCCAAAGUUAUAUUUAUAUGAAGUAUUGGAACUAAUUACUGUGCGUGUGGUGCAAGUUGUUGUAACUAGCUGAUUCCACUGAUGAAGUGCUUCUCUUCAGGAUGUACUUGCAGAGCAUCAUCAACACUUUCCGGUUGAGGCUAUUCCCUCCACUUUCUUUUUGCAGUGAGAAAACUAACGGCUGUUGGCUAGAAAAAAGUGUAAACCCUUAGAUGGAGAGGACAAUUUGUCCUUGCUAGUGGACUAGUUGAUUUCACUGAUGAGGUACUUCUGUUUGCAACAUAUUUGUAGAGCAUGUCCAGCACUUCUGCAACACCUCUUUAGCCCCACCCUGUCCUCUAUCCCUACUCUAGGUCUCAAAAUGUGUACUUCCGGUGUCCUCUUCCAAACCCAUAUCUUAAGCUGCAAUAAAAACCCGAAGGACCUCACCUCUUGUGCUUCCAAAGAAGCCCAGAAUAUCAUGCAAGAGAUUUAGAUUCAGAGGAAAAGGUAAAGCCCCACCCUGCCUAUUUUAUUUUAGAAAACAAAGUAAAGCGGACACAAUGUUGGACAUAGCGGUCCUAUAACCCAAUAAAGACUGAGACAGAAAGGAAAAUGGUGCUUCAUGCAUCUAAGUGAGGCAAUUAUAAUACAUUUUGUGAUGAUAAAUGACCAAUACCGUUUAUGAGUUGGAUGAUUUAUAUUUCCCAGAGGAUUUCAUGAAAUCAAAGGUUGAAUUGGCAUGCAAAAAAUCAUUUCGAGGUUGGGUAAACUUUAGGUAAUUUUUUCAUUAAACGGUUGGAGUUGUCGAUCGUAUGGGACAUGUCAUCAAAGAACAAGAGCUCAUCUAUUAAGAUCAUUAUGAUUGAGAUAUGGAUAAUUUUUUAACAGAACUAGGGCCUUUCAAGAGGGAAUUGAUAUAGAAGCAUAUCUGGAAAUAGUAGUGCACCCAGUGAAUAUACUUUGAGAGUCAUGAGAGAAACCGGCAAAUAAGUUUUGAGUUUCAAUAUAGACUUUGUGAGAAGAGGGUUUGCAAAAAAUGAAAUUGAUACAAUUUGAAAGUUCCCCUUCUACCCUGGUUUUUAUUGAACUAUUUUUUAUAGUAGUGGAAAUUUUAAAAAAUUCCUUGAAUGCAUGAGCUGUCUGUUGUAGAUGGUACUUUGUCAUCUGAAGCAAGCUGAGAAGGUGGAACAUUCAGUGAAGAGCAGCAGAAUGAAUAAUGGGAAUCACUCAGCUAUAGGUCACACUGAACCAUACAUGAGAGAUAGGUAGCUUAAUAAAUUGUUCUCUAAAGCUUCUGUAAUUUCAUAGCUACUAUUUUCUUAAAAUUUGAAAUCAAUAUUUGAUCUCAUAGAACAUUUUCCAAUUCAAAAAAUGAAUAAAUGAAAAAAAUGACACAAAUUACUUAUUUGUACAUUUGAUAUGGCCCCAUAGGUUAGUUAUGGCUGGAAGUCCAAAACUGACUUUGCUUUCAGAUUGGUUUCAGGCACAACUGAAACAUUUUGAUUUUAGUUUGGGAGCUCAGGCCGAAACUUGAAAUGUUGGAAUUGGAGAAAUGAUCCAUCAGAGUUUCAGAUCAUUCUACAGGGGUCUUUCAACAUGAUGUCAAGUGUGAACCUCUGGCUUGGCUCUAGGUUUCUGGCCAUUUCAUCUUAGAAAAGAGAGUGGCUUGCGUUGUAACCCAUUGGCAGUUGUUGAAAAGGGAACCCUACCUUCUUGGUUACACGGUUCAGGGUUCAUGCAACUGGGGAUCAACCUUCCAAGAUUGGCCUAGAUAUCAAAUUUGGACGGUUAGUUAUGAACACAAGGUUGAUAUGGGAAUUGCAUUGAUCUCUAAAGCACAAAGUAUAUUAGAAUAGAACAUAUUCCCUGUAAUAAAAAAGAGAGAAAAAUAAAGCACUCACUCCUGGGUGCUGCUAUCAUAUCAAGAGAUCCAACUUGAGUGGGAUUCACAUUAGAUUGCAUAGCCUUUUGGAACAUCUCACCAAGUUGCAGCUCAGCUACUUCUGCCAUGCAGGAUUACCGUAUCACUGAUGUUAUAUGGUUAUGCUUAUUUCNNNNNNNNNNNNNNNNNNNNUUUAUUGGCUUGAGCCAAAUUGUCUAUAGUCCAAGCCAGACUAUGAAACCAUAACAUUCAUUACAUGCCACCACUCACCCAGGUGCAUUACCAUUGGUUACAUUCAUUGUGUGCUGAUCUCGAAAAUUGAGCCCAUAGGAAUGGGCCUCAAAGAUUGGUAGCAUCAACAACCGUUCUAGCGCAUGCAAUAAAGACUAUAAUUUUUACAUUCCAAAAGUUUAAUAUCAGCAAACAGCUAACAAAUAACAAAAAUUUGCCCACAAUUUUUUUUAAAAUAACAAGAUGGUUGCACCAUCUGGGUUGGUUGGUUGAAUAGAUUUUGCAACAUUUUGAGUUUAAAUCAAAACUGACUACCUGUGGAUGACAAGACAAAUGGGAUAGAUUCCAAUGGAUUUAUAUUGCCGCAUCCAAAUAAAGGGUUAGCAAAAAGAAAGUUCAAAUCAGCCAUCGGGAUCAUCAAGUUAGACAGGCAUCAUAGGUAUAAAUUGGAUAAAGGACUGUCAUUGCAAUUUAAAUCAUUACAAUUUUUCAUGUAAAACUCUAGAUUAUGUUUCACGACAUGGUGCUAAACUUCAAACCAUUCAUAUUAAAGAUUAUUUUACCAUUUAGAUGGUCAUCACAAGCAAAAACUAGUGGAUUACUCCAAUCUGACAAGAUAAGAUGGAUGGGAGAUGGGUCCAAAGAGUUUGAUCAUAUUUCAAGCAAUUGUAGGAUUUGCGCAUUUUGGAAAAGAGUUACCAAAAACAGAAGGUUUAAUCCAUACAAAUGUCAACAUUUUAUGCUCUGCAUCUUAAAAUAUGACUAUGUUAUGAUUGAACUAAAUUAUAAAAAAAAAUGACUUGAACAAAAACUCAAAUGAGUUAUGACCCAUUUUGACUAGAAGAGAUAUAUAGAAGGAUAAUGUUAGAUUCCGCAGCAUUCAACAUAUAAUCCAAUAUCUAAUGCAUGGCAUGCUGAAGUAAGUUCAGUCUCAUUCCUCAAUCAAUUUAAUUUCUCCAAACAUUAUAAGUUGAGUGUAGAUAAGAUGAGAGAGUGGUUGUAACAACAAAUUCAAAGAAUCAACCGCUUUCCCCAAAAUUUUUAUUUUUAUUAGAAAAUCAAGAAUAUAUCCACCGCAAGUGCCACAUUCUUAACUAGCACCAUCAACCUGUGAAAAAUUUAAAAAUUAUCAGCCUAAUCAGUAAAAUCAAUUCAAAUUCGACUAAUCAAUUUUCAUCUUUCAAACCUUGAUCAACUUAUGGUUGUGAAAUUAUAAAUAUAAAAUUUUUAAAAGACAUGUCUAAAAAUAUGUUAUACGGNNNNNNNNNNNNNNNNNNNNNNNNNNNNNNNNNNNNNNNNNNNNNNNNNNNNNNNNNNNNNNNNNNNNNNNNNNNNNNNNNNNNNNNNNNNNNNNNNNNNNNNNNNNNNNNNNNNNNNNNNNNNNNNNNNNNNNNNNNNNNNNNNNNNNNNNNNNNNNNNNNNNNNNNNNNNNNNNNNNNNNNNNNNNNNNNNNNNNNNNNNNNNNNNNNNNNNNNNNNNNNNNNNNNNNNNNNNNNNNNNNNNNNNNNNNNNNNNNNNNNNNNNNNNNNNNNNNNNNNNNNNNNNNNNNNNNNNNNNNNNNNNNNNNNNNNNNNNNNNNNNNNNNNNNNNNNNNNNNNNNNNNNNNNNNNNNNNNNNNNNNNNNNNNNNNNNNNNNNNNNNNNNNNNNNNNNNNNNNNNNNNNNNNNNNNNNNNNNNNNNNNNNNNNNNNNNNNNNNNNNNNNNNNNNNNNNNNNNNNNNNNNNNNNNNNNNNNNNNNNNNNNNNNNNNNNNNNNNNNNNNNNNNNNNNNNNNNNNNNNNNNNNNNNNNNNNNNNNNNNNNNNNNNNNNNNNNNNNNNNNNNNNNNNNNNNNNNNNNNNNNNNNNNNNNNNNNNNNNNNNNNNNNNNNNNNNNNNNNNNNNNNNNNNNNNNNNNNNNNNNNNNNNNNNNNNNNNNNNNNNNNNNNNNNNNNNNNNNNNNNNNNNNNNNNNNNNNNNNNNNNNNNNNNNNNNNNNNNNNNNNNNNNNNNNNNNNNNNNNNNNNNNNNNNNNNNNNNNNNNNNNNNNNNNNNNNNNNNNNNNNNNNNNNNNNNNNNNNNNNNNNNNNNNNNNNNNNNNNNNNNNNNNNNNNNNNNNNNNNNNNNNNNNNNNNNNNNNNNNNNNNNNNNNNNNNNNNNNNNNNNNNNNNNNNNNNNNNNNNNNNNNNNNNNNNNNNNNNNNNNNNNNNNNNNNNNNNNNNNNNNNNNNNNNNNNNNNNNNNNNNNNNNNNNNNNNNNNNNNNNNNNNNNNNNNNNNNNNNNNNNNNNNNNNNNNNNNNNNNNNNNNNNNNNNNNNNNNNNNNNNNNNNNNNNNNNNNNNNNNNNNNNNNNNNNNNNNNNNNNNNNNNNNNNNNNNNNNNNNNNNNNNNNNNNNNNNNNNNNNNNNNNNNNNNNNNNNNNNNNNNNNNNNNNNNNNNNNNNNNNNNNNNNNNNNNNNNNNNNNNNNNNNNNNNNNNNNNNNNNNNNNNNNNNNNNNNNNNNNNNNNNNNNNNNNNNNNNNNNNNNNNNNNNNNNNNNNNNNNNNNNNNNNNNNNNNNNNNCAGGUGGCUGUUGUGGCAAUUUAUGCGGCCUACCAUAUUUGGCUAGCAGGGAAUGUCUGGACAUUUGGAGAGAGCAGUCCUUCACCCAAUCUUGUCGUGGAGCAGGCUCGGAUUCAAGCGGUAGAGGUCACUCGCACCGGUCCAUUGGAUUGGCCUUUGAUAGCUUGGGGCACCUGGGGUUCUACUUCUGCUGUUGUAGCACCUCGGAUGGUGUUUUUCACCUUGGAGCCCCCACCUCGGAGUUUUCUCAAAAUUAACUUCAAUGGAUAUGUGUUUGAAGGUGAUCGGAGAGAUAGUGUGGGCUUCGUCAUCAGGGAUCCAAAUUGUAGGGUGAUUGCUGCUGGCAGGUGUUAGAUCUUUGACCCUCUGUUCUAGAUACGGAGUUGAGAGUGGCGUGGGCUGGCUUGGGAUAUGCACGGUGUGUACUACGGGCCAGAGCGAUCCUGCUAGAGGUCAACUCGGCUGGAUCCAGGGGUAAUGACAGUAGUGGGCGGAUUCUUGCCCAACAAUAGUAGCUUAAUGGUGGGUCCUUGGAUCUUGCUCUCAAGGAACGCAUCGGGCCAUGGGAAUUUAAGUAAUUACCUAUGUAUGGAAAGCACUAUGAAAGAAUUGGCUACUGAUUUUUUUGACUUUGAGAACGGUGAAGGUUAUUUCUGACGUCUUAUGGUUGAUGUCUCUUCAAGUUUAAUUGGAAGGAUGGGGCCGCUAAUCUUUAAAUUUCCGUGGUGGUAAUAAUUUGCUGGCCCGUUUUUUGCCAAGAAAUCUCAGUUACAAAAAUGCCAAUGUUAUUAACAAAAGAAUGACCGUUAUACAUGAGUGGUGGCGCCGAACUUGGUAUUCAUCUAUUUUUCCUUUCCUCUAUAAUAAAUUGAAGAUAAUACAUAUGACUGGACUUGUAUGUCUUAGCAACCAAUGUGAUUUGUAGUUUUUUUUUCUCUCCUUUUCCUUUAGUUCCUUUUUCAGUAUAAUGCAUUUUUUUUCCAUGUGACACACUUUAGUCUUAUAUUGAUGGGUGCACAUCAACAUUUUUAUAUCAAUUUACAAAAAUAUAGUCUAAAAUAAUAAAUAUACUUGGCACAUAUUGUUCAAUAUAAUCGACACAUAUUAUUCAAUGUUCUUUAAAAAAAAAUUAGACACUCAUCACAAACGUGAUAUGAUUGCAGUGUGAUGACCUUUUCUAUGUGGUCCAACGGUGACUAACUUCUCGCCUCUACAACUUUUAUUGGUUGUCACUUGUUGCUUCCUACAUAUCUUGCAGUUUUCAUAUAACCCUAUAUAUGAUCGUCUGUUUCAUCUUUCCUUUAUCAUAUGUUUCUGGCAUUGAUAAAAGUUAAUGAAGAUUCUUUUCCUUGUCUUUGCCGUUGGCAAACAGGUAUGUCCAACUUGGGACUUUUAGGCCUCACAUUGUAACCCAAUGAACAUCAUCCUAGAAGUCUUCUCUCUUCCCCAACAAGACCUUGGUUCCAUUGGAGAUACAUAUUAUUUUUUCAUCCGACCCUCUUUUGGUUUAAGACCUUUUUUUUUUUGUUAUUGGUACAACGGUAGUUCACACCCGAUGAAUAUGGAUAAAAAUAAAAAACAGAAAAAAGAAGAUAACAUAGAGGGUGAGGCACAUGAUUAAUUUUCAGAGAAGAUAUUAUUCAUGCAAUGCGAUCCUAAAUUUGAUUUUUGACUCAUCUGUUCACAUCCACAUUUAUAGAUGCACACAUGCAUAAUUGUGUACUGAUGCCAUGACACGCUUGUGGUGGGAAUGAAGUAGCAUCAAACCACCUAAGAACUAAUGUCAUGGGGAAUGCUUGGUUUGUCGCAUGCCAAAACCAUCUGUCUCAAAAUUAGUAGAACACGCAAGGUUUGGGUGUCCCCACCUACAACUACUUAUAUCAUUACACCACAAGAAACGAAAUCUUUCUCCUCCCCCGCCAUACAACUUGGUUGGUAGGAAUUAGGUUUGAUGACCUCAUGAGUGCAAACAUCCCCAUCAAAGACCAAAGCCCAUUGGGGUGGGGGUCCGACCCAAUAUGUACGGGCUCAUAAUGGCAAAGCCCAACAGUUGGAUGAAUGCGAUGUAAGCCCUAUUGUGGGCCACCACCUUCUUUCCUCAAAAGGCAAAUAAAAUUUGUACUGCUGCUCGCUGGACAUUACGAGACAGAGACUGUGGAUUAUGGAAUCAUGAAGCGAUUGAGGUGAUGUAAAUAAUCCCAUGGCUAUAUUUGGAGAGGCGGUAGUUUUUUACUUUGGAUGCCGCCUGGUAUACUGAUAGGAGUCUCGUCCAGGCCAGUAAAUAGAGGGAAGGGGAAGUAUAGGAUUCCAGCUACUCCCAGAGGGAAAAGGGCAUGGCAUGGGAGAGGGCACGGGCGUCUGCGAAUUGGUCACGUCACCGAAGGAAAAAAACGUUCUUGACCUUGUGGUCACAUCCAUUCCAGGAUUUGGCUCUUUGCCGCCGGAUACAGAGUCCUUUUCUCCUCGCUGAAGCGAACAAAGCUGGGGCCUUUUUCCAGUGCGGGCAAGCGCAAUAGAUCGUAGGAGAACAUGGUUUAUUGAUGUCAUGCUUACGUUAUUCAUCACUUUGGGAUACCCCUUUGCCCUAUUAUCUUGAUGGAUAUGCACAGAUAAAAUCCAAAAUCUUCAAUAAUUAUUGAUAAAUUUAUAUUGAUCAAUAGUUUAAAUAAUUUUUAUUUUUAAAUAGAUUUUUUAACUAGAAAAUGGUGAAAUUCAUAUUUGAAUGUCUCCUGCCAUCUCGAAUUAUUAUAUCGGUUGUGGUUUCGGUAUCUCGGUUCUAAAAUGGAGCUGAAGAUGUUGAAAAAAGAAUAUAGUUUUUUUUUAGAUUUUUUUACUUAUUGUAUAGAUCGAGGAAACCAAUAUCUUUUGGUUCAUCUUGGUCUUUCUCGCUCACUAAGUUGAUCAGGAGCUAAAAGCCUUGGUUAUCCUAUCUUCUUCUUUUUUUCUUCCUUAUGUUUCGUUGUAAUAUGUGUAUGGCUUACUGCUUGUGAUUGUCAUCUUGGUGUGUGAUCCUCAUGGAAUUCAGAGGUUUGGACCAUGAUAUUGAGAGGAUCAUGAAUGGGCAGCGAUGUAAUUUUGGGCAGCAUGCUAUACUACUAUGAGAAUCUGUAUCGGUAUAUGUUUAGUUUCACAUUGGUUAUUCGCCGAGCAGAUUUUGAGUACUUAUACAGAACUAAGAAACCCAAAAAAUACCUUCCGACUAGUCUUUUUGGAUGAAAUCUUGAGUUGCGAGAACUAUCUUCUCGUGAAUGGGCGCGACGUGGAUUAGUAGCCACUUCAAUACAUGAUGAGCAUCUCAUGCAAAUUUGGCCGUCAACUCUCACAUUUUCCAAUUAAACAUACUCAACAUAUGUCAUAUAUCGAUGAAGUAAAUGCACGGUAUUAACUAGAAUGCGAUUAGCAAAUUAGCAAUAUGAUAGCACUAAUAAGAUCAUAUAAUAAACCACUCACAAAGGAAAUUGUGUAGUGGAUAUCACCUAAUACCGUGGCAUUGAUCAACUACCCAAUAGUUGUCCCAUUAGCAUAGUUUAAGCGAUUGGCAGCCUCAACCCACAACAGAAGUUCAGUCUCUCCGCAUACUCUUAAGAUUAUUGAUGGACCAUUCAAAGCAUAAGAAAUGCAAGGCACAUGGCUUAAAUUUCAUGAUAUACGGAGUUUGUUUUUCCUUUUCUUUCUUUUUAUUUUUUUCCAAUCCAUGUUAAAAUAUUUGAGAAAGAAGAGAAAAAUAAGAGAAAAAAGGAGAAAAAUUGUAUUUCUGUCCAUCAGUUACAAUGUACAGAAGCAGCCUUUAUAUAGACUAGAAGGUUGACGAAGUUUGCUAAGGCCGACUAAAUUUGGCACAAUUAAUCACAAAUCAGUCAAAGUAAAGUUUGCUAAGGCCAACUAAAUUUGGCACAAUCAAUCACAAAUCAGUCAAAGUAAAGUUUAGUAAGACCGACUAAUUUUGGCACAAUCAAUUACAAAUCAAUCAAGGUGAAGUUUAGUAAUAUCGACUAAGUUUAACACAAUCAAUCAAUCAAUAAAUUUUAACACACUAAAGAAAAUAUAAACUAGGUUAUUCCCUGAUAAAUGCAUCAAAUGCUAUUUAUGUUGGACAAGAUCCGGCAGCUCCAAUGGAAUGUUGUUGGUCCGCAUGGUGAAAAUUGGGACGGGUGAAUGUGGGGAUUUCACCUCGCUUGCUAGAGUUCUCCUGCAUCCGGUACUUCUUGAAACUUGGAAGUUUCCCAUCUUUAUAGGUUCUUAUUUAUACGGUGAGCUAUAAGGGCACAUCAAAGGAACUUAAAAGUACGGGUUUGUCUUUCAUGAUAUAUCCGCAAAGGGGUAAAGCCUCACUACAUUUCGAGAUUUAUCGAGUCAUUCUGUCUAAUUUUUGAAUAUUUUGUUUCCGAUUUCUAUAAAUGUAUGUAUAUUUGUAUUAGUAUCUAAUUUACCAAAAAAAAAAAACAAGAGAGAGUUUGAAUCAAAUUUCUAUACAGCGGACACCAUUCUACUCACCUUUAUUUUCCAUGUUUGUAACGAAUUGCUCUAGUUUCAUGAAGUUGUUACUAAAUAUAUGCAAUGCAUGUGAUUGAAUNNNNNNNNNNNNNNNNNNNNNNNNNNNNNNNNNNNNNNNNNNNNNNNNNNNNNNNNNNNNNNNNNNNNNNNNNNNNNNNNNNNNNNNNNNNNNNNAAUCCAUUCGAUAAUAUGGUAGAUCGUUGAUCUUCCCAUUUUUAGCUUAGGUAUUAGUGACUAGGUAUGUUUUUUUCUAAAAAAAUAUCCUACCAAAUAUGUAAUAAUUUAGUACCUAAUUCAAAAAAACUAGCCGAAAGUUAUUAUUUAAGUUCUUUGAUCCUACAUAAGUACCCAAGAUCUGCCAAAUAAUUCUUUUUUCCUUUGAAAAACUACACCCUUUCACUCUUCUGAGGACCAACAAGACCNNNNNNNNNNNNNNNNNNNNNNNNNNNNNNNNNNNNNNNNNNNNNNNACUACCCUCAACAUAUCUAUUUUGAGAAAUAUGGUUUCUAAUUGAAUUGAGGUGCUCAACUAUUUAAAAUUACUACAGCUAUUAAUAAUAAAUUUUAAACAUGCCAUACGAUAAACUUGCUACAAGAACAUGUUCCAAUCAAAACUAGGGUUACAAUUACCUUUCGAACGCUAAGCCGGUGAAAAUCCACCGUAAGAUGUAUUGCUAGAGAGGGCUAUGUCUUGUCUCUAAUUUCCUAUUGGUCCAGAACAAAGUUAGCACUAGCUAGCUAUUAAUGGUUUUAUAUCUUAAUAAAAAUGUGUUUGAAUUCUCUGGAAAGAAAAAUGCUUGAAAACCAAGGAACCAUGUCCACCUUGCAGCAAACAUGCAGUAAUUAUUAAAUAUACUGGCUGGUAGACAAGCUAUAGAUAGAUCUGAACUGGCUUGAUGAACAAGGUACUUCUAUUUCCCUAAAUCAACACCACCAGCCAAAUAUAAGAAUACACUUCCAUCAGUGAAGAUUGAGUAAAUUGGAAUAAAAAUACCUUAUAGGGAAUGGUCCAGCUAAAAGUGGUCCUGUUACUAAAUUAUGAGGAUAUUAUCCGCCAUUUAUUUUCUUGCAAAACACCAUCUUAUCUCCAUUGGCUUACGAGCCUUUCUUCACCUCAGGUGACCACAAAAGUUCCAACUUUUUUUGCUUGCUCUUGGAAAAGCUAACCAUUGAACGUUGUCCAUGGCUUUUCUUUUCCUUUUUUCAUGCGAAGCUUCAGAGCUGAGGACCCUUCUAUAUGUGGCAGGGGUUCAGAUUCCAUAAAUUAUGGGAAAAGCAACAUCGUUGGUUACAGAUACGUUUCUUCCUUCCUUAUGUCUUUUACGUUUAACAGAAUAAAAUGUAGUAUGGAAUGGCUUUCUUUGUGAACUUCUUUUAGAUUAAACAGGUAUAAUUAAUUCAGAUUAACACAGAAUGUAGCUUGCUUGGCUAAGGAACCAAGUAAAGAGAGCAGAGAUGCGCUUGUUGUCCAGUUUCCCAACCCCACGCAAGGAGCCGGUCCGAUCGCAUUAAACGUAUCCUCCAAAAGAUAUCUGAAGAAAUCUUUCAGAUGGAAAUGGUUGGAGAUUUAGGACAGGAACUAGGGAGGCACCGAUGUCGGGCUGCGAUGCCGCGUUAGGUCGAAGCAUUUAAUAGCACUUAAGAUCUAUCAUCGUACAUAAUGCUUGAAAAAAUAAAAUUUUUAUAUUUAAUUGAUCAUUAAAAAAUAAUAUUUCAGAGUUAUUUAUGUUUGACAUAAGAUUUUUUUUUUUCAAAAAUUGUAUAGCAUAUUUUGAAUAAAGAGAAAAAUUUUAUUUCAUUCUACCUUAAAAUUUAAGAAUAUUUUUCUCACUCUCAUCAAAUGUGGACCGCCUAUACCAAAAAAAUAAAAUUAUUUUGAAAAAAAUUAUUCUAAUUUUCAGCCCCAUAUAAUUUUUUAUAAAAUAUAAAAGUUUAUUUUUAUAAAAACUAUUUUUAAUUUUAACCUUUUUUUUUUGCUGUUGAUUUUUUUAGCACAUUUUAUGUUGCUUUUUUAAAAAAAAUAAGUAGGAAACAUUGCUUUUCGAGAAAGGUCAAGGGAGCAACUUCCGGAAGCGGACAAAGGAGGACAGCAGAGCAUGCUUGUCACUUUUGGAAACCAACAGUAAACGGAUUAUCUGCUUAGGCCAUGGUAAUGCUCGUACCCUAUGUGGAAAAAAAGAAUAUCUUGUCAUGGAUGCUGUGAAGAAGAUACAGGUGGAUUUGGUAGAUCUAGAUGUGACUCGGGAAACUAUAUAGUAUCCAAUCUAUAUUCUAUUCAAAAAUAGGUCAAAGCUAAUACUCGGUUCUUCAGCCUAAUCAAAUGCUAACCAGACUAAAUUUUGUUCACAAUGUUAGGUCCCAGUGGAUGUGAUGUUGCUCCGACUCAUAGAACUCAUACAGAUAUAUAUGGCCUCCCACAUCGUUUAUUCGUCAAAAAAAUUUUAAGUUUUUUUCUGGGUACAAUAGUUAAUUUUUAAAUAUUUAUAUAAAACUAAAAAAUUUAAAAAUAUCUUUUUGACUACUCUUUUUAAAUGACGUUAUGAAUUAUUACAAUUUAUAACUGAACGAACUCGACUCAUAAUCUAUGUAAACUAUGAAACACUACAACACGGAUUCAUAAAAGCCGAUUGUGGUGUCUAUAAUUAAAUUUUGCUUUUUUUAAAAAAAAUCUUAUUCUAUAAUUAAUUCUAUUGAAAUAAAAAAUAAUUUGUUGAUAAUUAAAUUUGUGAACUUAGUAGGGCCAUACUGGAAUUAUACGGACUCCACCCCAAUCACGCAUACAAAAGGUGUGAGGAAGGGAUCGGACUGGCCGGAUCCUUACAAUGCUUCUCUUGGACCCAGCAACCACCUUCCCUCUUGUCCCCAACAUCGUACCAAUAAAUAAAGGAGUCGGACGUGAUUCGAGCAUCGUUGCAGACUAUGUAUAUCUUCUAGGAUUCCCUGUGCGGAUUCCUGUCAUGUAGGAAAAGGACCAUAAUGUUACAUUUUCUACGUUCAAAAAAUCGUAUACGUAAUUAUUAGUGCCGUAUAUUGGUUGCAAACAAUAGGAAUAAUUUCACAUCACUACGCCUCUGCCUCCCCAAAUGACACCUUUGGCCCACAGCUUAGAUGCCGUCACCAAUGAGAUCGCCUCAUUAAUGGACUACUAUUUUUUAUUCCCCAAGUAAUAUAAAUAACUUAUUUGUGUGAGUUAUGUGUAUACAUGGAAUGCAUGUGGUGGUUACCUAAAUUAUAAGGUAUAUUUGAUUGAUCUCGAAGCUCGUCGUACUGCUGGAUUCCAUAUCGGUGCCACGUAAUUAUAGUAUCAGCAUGAUAAAUGGUACGCUUAGCAUAUUGAAUGUCGAUAUGCUACCUGUGCUAAAUCGGUAUGGUAUGGUACGGUAUAGUAUACCAUAAUUUUUUUUGAGAAGAUAGGUGAACAUUGUCACCUCAAUCAGAUGCACGAGAUGUAUAAAAAACUACUUUAGCAAGCAUCAUAUGCCGACAUAAUUAUCCACUGCGCAUCAAUUAAUCAACCAUUGGCGGAAACUUUGGAGGAGAAGCGAGCCAAUGGGGCAUCAGAAUAUUUAUCGAAAUUGGUAGGUGCGUUCAACUCCAACUACUUCCAUCAGAAAAAUCUCAGGGUUAUGCGAUUCUCUCCCCUCUCUUUCCAUGUUUAGGUGAAGCCCGUCAUGUGAUGCCAAGAUGCCUUAUGGCAUCCUGAUAAUAGUGGGACCAAUAAGUUUAGAGCUUGAAAGCAAUGGUUUAUACUACAGAAGAGUAACAAGGCUAUCUUACUUUUUGCAGCAUCAUUCCAAGUUUGUUCUUAUCUGCAUGAAUGGCUGUUCUGAUUACUGAAAUGCCUCUUUUCAUGUCACCCCAAAAUAUAGUUGGAAAAAAUAAGGAGAUGGAAUGAGAAAAGCAGCAUAUAGGAAAUAAAAUAUGAAUUAAAAAAAGGUAACUUAAAAGAAAAAUAAAUGAAAACAGAAGGGGAACUAUUUUCUCUCUUGCCACUUGAUGCUCCACCGCCGUUAUCCACCAGUGUCCACAUUUUCCACCACUAUCCACUCAACACCUCCUUUUAAUCUCCAUCACCAACCAAAUCAUUAUUAAUAAUCUCCAUCAUCAAAGUUCUUCAUCAUCGUCCCCUGUUGCUAAUGAUCUUCAUCACCGUCCACCACUACCUGAUCUCCACCUCUAUCUACUACUAUUGACGGUGCCCACCACUCAUCAUCACUUUCCACUUUUCAACUAAUUUUUGAUAUUUUAUUUCAUAUGUACAUAUUUUUUUAAUCCCAUUUCCUUCCUAUUAUAUGAUAACAUGGCAAGGGAUAUUUCAGUCCAGAAAAACUAAAAUAACUUUUUCUGUAAGUACAUGGUUUGUUCAUGCCAAAACCAGAAGCCCUAUGGUUCUUUAUUUUAUUUUAUUUUAUUUUUAAGCCGAAUACGUUAUCCAAUCCUUGAAUAAAUCCAGCAGAACUUUUUAACAUGCGGUCCCCAUGUGGAACUACUGCACGUAACGACAAGGAGUUGUGGACCGGGCUUUUAAUUUCCGGUCCCUCCCGUAUCCGUCACCAUACCCGGCACGCAUGCUUUUCGGGCAAUCGAGAAUUUCAAAAAAUAUAUGCUUGGUGGACCGGGAGUUUAAAAAGUUGACAAAUAGUGAUUUUUUUUUGUUAGAGUCCGAUCCACAUAAGAACAGCUAAUCAAGUUUCCUUAUAAAAUAUUUAAGGGGCAGAUGGGAGUUUCAGAGUUAGAAUUCCAUAAUAUAAUUUAUCUAUAUGAUUAGCCAUAUAGGGUGCAAUCCAAUUAGCCGUGCUGUUUUAUUUCUUGACAGAUAUACGCCACAUUAAAAGAAUGGAGGAAAGCAAAUAUUCGCUAAUAGUCCUAUACCAAAGGAUGCGAUUGGAAGUUCAGAAAUUUAGAGGCCAAUAACCAUCUAACAACUAUCAUAGAAUGGCUCUCCAAAAUAAUUAAUGGCGCUCUCAAGAUCUCAAGAGCAUAUGUCAAAUCUUUCCAUGUUGGCAGCAGUUCUACUAUCAAAAACUUGGUAUCAAAGAUCCUAACUCUCUCUGUAGAUAUAAGAAAACUCGUGGUAUAACAAAACUUGAACCACCAUUAGCAUUUCUAUUUUGGACACUGCCAUUGAAAUUAAUCAUGACUAAACAAGGUGGCAGUGGCUCCCAGUAGAAAUGAAUCACAUGAAGGAGGACAGAAUCAGCUGAAGAGGAGCCACAAGUUUCCUCUGCUGUUAAAGUUUCAUUCGGAGCAAUAGCUUGAAUAAACUCCUAAGCCUGCACAUAAGCUUUCAUGACAAUAAGUGUAGGAUCCAUAGCUAUUUUUGUAACACGCCAAAUAGGGGUGGCAAUCAGGUCGGGUCAAGUCAUAUGAGGGUCGGCUCAGAUAUGAGUCGAUCAAAAAAUUUCAAACCUGAAACCUGUCAUAUUUAAUAAAUAGGUAACUUGAUCCGACCUGAAACCUGAAAUCUGCCAUAUAAGAGUCGGCUCAGAUAUCCCCCGCCUGAUUUGCCCGGUGGAGUCGCCAUCUAAUCCGCCAGUACCGAGGUGGCGCUGGGGUGACAUACUCACACAUAGGUAAUGAACCAAGUGGAGGUAACCCACGGGUCGGAAAGGGUACGCGGAAACUUGCGGCCUGCAUCGAAUAUUCUCUGGUGGAAGGAGAGCCAGUGGGGAUUGCUACGCGGGUGAGGUUUCCUCUCCCUCCUCUUAUUUUUUGACCAAAAAAAUAACAUUAAUUAAUACAUAUACAUAUGUAUCCAUGUGAUAUGUCCAUCUAAGUUUGUAGGCUAAUGAUGCACAAAGAAUGGCAUGCAAAGUUGUAGACAAUAGGAAUUGUUAGUAAAAUGUUGGAAAAUUCAAGGGUGAAUCUUGGUGUCCAUGUUUAGCAAGGGAUGGUGGACAGGGAUUGGCGCCCUUCGUUCCGCCUCCAUUAUUGGAAAGGUCUGGGCAACGGUGGAACGAGAUGGGGGUGUGGAGACCACCGGUAAGCCAGUGCUGGCUGACACCCAUCCAUCUCUCUUGCUUUCUUUCGUUCUUGGUUGGCAUCGAAAUAAUGCAAGGUGCAGCAUCUCGGCAGUCGGCGGUGAUUGGCGGAAAAGGGGAAACGUUGCCUCUCUCGUACAAUUGGAUUGAACUUUUCUGGAAACACGUUCACUUUUUAUACUGUUACUCCCGGAUAAAAGUCCAUAGGUACCUUCCUAUUUUGCCACAUCUUCACCGGCACGAGUCUUCAAUGAGAAAAUCCAAAAAAUCGAAGUGAAAUUCUUCCUACUACCAAAUGCUAUUAAUUAGGUGACCUAAAAUAAUAAUAAUAAAAAUAAAGGCCAUCUGCAUAUUUUCUCUCUUCUUCCUCAAAAGGCUUUUAUUCUCAUUAGUUUUGUUCUCUCCUGCGAACCUUCUUCCUUCUAAAGUACCUAAUACACACCCCAGAGUGAACAAGCCUCAUCAAUUGAUUGCCUAAAAACUGUAAAUCAAUUUACUUGGAGAUAUAUAUUAGAUUACUGGAUAUCUAUUUUGCUAGAUAGAUAUCACAUGAUCAUCGAGUAUGUACUAGUGAAUACUAUAUUCUAAAAACUAUAUUUCGAUAUAUCCAAAAAUAUGUAUUAAAAUAUUAGAUGACUAUUUUAUCGUAAACAUAUCACUUGACCAUAUACUGUGUACUAGUGAACAUCAUAUUUUGAAAAUUAUAUGUCGAUUUAUCUGUAAGUGUGUAUUAAGUCACUGUAUUAAAAAAAGCUUACAACAUGCAUUAAGAAGUCGACAUGUGUGUAUCACUUGGUCAUAUACUAUGUGUUGGUAAAUACAAUGUUUUAAAAUUAUGUAUCAAUCUACUUAAAGGUAUAUAUUAAAUUGUUCGAUGAUUAUUUUGCUAGGUAUGUAUCAUCUUGCUAUGUAAUAUGUACCAAUGAAUAUCAUAUUCUGGAACUAUACAUCAAUUUAUUCGAAGAUGGGUAUUGAGACAGAUGUCUUUAAAAUAUUUGUUUACUCAUAUGAUUUUUUUUUGCUCGUCAUACCUCCCUUCCAUUUUCUGAUGGGUUUGGUGGCAAGAUGCCCUCUACGGCUUCACUUUAGUGCCCCCACUAUCACCUUUUAAUCAUAUUUACCGGCCCUCUCUCUUCCCCCGGGAAGGCCAAACAUUAUUUUUUAAGUAAAUCGCUCACUUAACUAGUGCAGCAAGUGACGAGGUCUCAUUCCGGUGGAAAGCCCACCUGAAAGUUAUGUGCCAACUGGGAGAUUAUUAAACAUCCCACGAUAAACAUGGGACUUCAGAAAUGAUUACAAAAAACAGAGCACUUUGAUUCCUAAGCCAGCCAUAGAUAGCUCGGUCAGCUAUGGAUGGUUCUUAGUCCAUAUAAAUUAUUCAGCAUAUUUGUAUUUAUAUGUGCGCCUAUUUUGAUGAUUGGCAUAUAUUUUCCAUUUAAGAUGUUGGACCACAGAACUUAAUGAUUGUUCUGGCAUGAUGAAAACAGUUCAAUGCUGUCGACUGAGGGCGAGAACUUUGCGUGAUAGAGAAAUAUUCUUUGAUUUAUUCAAACUUUAUUAAUACAAGUUGAAAUUGCCUCACCUCCUAUCUCGGCACAAAGAAGCUAAGUCUCUUCUCGUUUUUUCAUAUUUUAUUUUUUAAUUUCAAAAAAAUAAAAUCAUAGAUACCAAAUCAAUUUUAAAAAAUCACUUUUAUUAUUUUUGAGAAAUAAAAAAUUCUAAAUUUAUGUAUUUUAAAUAUCAAAAAAUUAUUUUUCACUACAAUCAUUGUUGCCUCCUCCACCACUACACUGGUUGCUUCUGCCUUUUUUAUUUUGGCACUUCUAUCUUCACCACAUCGCACCAGCAUCAUCAGUAUUGCCGUCAUUGUCGUAUUGCUGGCACCCUAAUUACCAACGUCGUCGUUGCUGCUACAUAUUCAGCACCUCGCCACCAUCUCCGCCAUAUGGACCUUUGUCAUUACCGCCACCUCCAUAGCAUCAUCAUCUCUAUCAUCAUCAUCAUCAUCAAAUUUAUAUUGUUAAAAAUAAUUUACUGCACUAAAUUUAUUUAUAUUAAUUUGAAAGAUAAAAAUUGACUUUUGUUUGGUGGUGAGGGGCCGGAUGUCUGGGUUCGCAGGUCUCCUAAUAAAAAAAAAUUUAGACCGUGCUAAUUUUGGUUCUUCAGGGUUAUCUAUGCGGUUUGAUGCUAGAUUGGCAUUGCUCUUCCUCAGCAUUAGGUGCUAAAAAUGCUCAUAUGCUAAUCGAACCUAAAUGACUAGAUCGUAGUACAUGCACUAGUCUUCGUGCAAAGUUUAUAAAUGUCAAAUUGAAGUGUUUGGGAGAGUAACAGUAUACUAAUCAAAAGGACAGGGAGAAGAAAGUAAUACUGAUGAGUGGUUAAGCUCCUUUGGUGAGAGGGGACACACGGAUCAUGCUUUUCGAUUUGGUUAACGUGGGAAGUAAGGAAGGGAUGGUUCCUUCGUUUUCCCAUUUCCACGGGCAUAAAAUGUGGGUUGGGGGCUGUCAAAGGGACAGGGAAGUGAGUGGAACAGCAGCCAUCUCCAUUACUCGUUGGUUCCCAACAAAAAAGAAGAGGUCGUAAAUAAAAGAAAGCAGGAGAAGAAAGAGAAGUUUGGGGGGAGGAGAGAGAGAGAGAGACAGACAGGGGACAUAUAUGGCCACCUAAAGGAGAUCAUCAAGGUUGCCUCCCAGUUUGGGAAAGCUGCUGCCUUUGGGCAUUAAUCCCCUCCUCUGCUGCUUUUUGGCUCAGUCCCCUGUCCUAGGUAUUGGAUUUGAGGAGAAGGGAGGCGGAGAAGAAGAUAACUUGGGGUGGGGAGGAGAAAGAAAGAGGGUUCUUUUUGGAGGGAGUUAAGGAGAUAAAGGUGGGAUUUUUACGCAGUACCAAAACUCCAGCCUCUCGAUGGCAGGGGAUGGUGGGGAGAAAGCAGGACUAGGAGGCGAGGAAGCCAGGAUGUGGGAUCUCAACGACGCCGCCCCGGAAAAAGAGGACGGUCGCUCCGCCUCCGCAUCCGCCGCCGCGGACGGCGGAGAGGAGGCGGCGCCAGGAACUGCCUCCGCCACCACCGUGGCAGACAACGAGAACGACGACUCCAGCUCUUCCGCCAUCGCCAUCGAGGCCUCCGACGAGGGGGAGGCCGACGGCGGUGGCGAUGGGAAGCUCUUCGGGUUCUCCAUCACCGGCCAGCCCUCCGCCGUCGUCACCCACCAGUUCUUCCCCCUCGGCGCCCCGGAGGAUACGGGUGGCCGGGCCGGCGGGGCCGCGAUGGAGCCGCCGCCCCGGGCUCACUGGGUUGGAGUCCGGUUCUGCCAGUCGCCGGAGCCGGCGGCGGUGGGGAAGGCCAUGGAGGCGCCGCAGCCCGUGAAGAAGAAUCGGCGAGGGCCCCGGUCGAGAAGCUCCCAGUACCGGGGGGUCACUUUCUACCGGAGGACCGGGCGAUGGGAAUCUCAUAUAUGGUUAGCUUUCUCCUCCCUCGGUCUCAAAAGCUGAAAAAAGAUGGGAUUUUUGGAAUUGGAUUCCACAGUUUGGGCUUCUUCUUUUUUUCUUCUCCUCUUUAAGCAUUAGAUGAACCUAUUCUCCCCCAUUUAUGUGCAGGGACUGUGGAAAGCAAGUUUAUUUAGGUAUGUAUGAUCUGUUUGAUGUGAAGAAUAUAUAUGAAUUAAUUGGUAAAAUUUUUCUUCAUUCUUGAUGAUUAUGGUUGUGUCUAUGAAUGUAUCUUUCUUUUCUUUUCUUUUCUUUUUUGUAAUUGCUGAUGUUUUGUAUGGAAUUGACUGUAUAGGUGGGUUCGACACUGCACAUGCUGCUGCUAGGUGAGCUGAUCGACAUUCUCUUCACAUGAUUUCGUUAAUUCAAUAAUCUUUUGCAACUAGUUCUUCAGACUCAAAACCAAUCAAGACCCAGCCACCCUUAGCUCUGAAUUAUAGAUAUUUUGAUGCAGGGCAUAUGAUCGGGCAGCGAUCAAGUUUCGCGGGGAGGAUGCAGAUAUAAACUUCAGUCUGGAUGAUUACGAGGAGGAUCUGAAACAGGUAAAGGGAGUGUGAGUGAUAUGGCUAAAUGUGACAUUAUCGGACCUGUAGUAAGGUAUAUACGCAUGAAUUGGAAUCUAAGAAAAGGGUUAUGGAUGCUGGUUGACAGAUGAGCAAUCUCACCAAGGAGGAAUUUGUCCAUGUACUUCGACGCCAGAGCACUGGAUUUCCUAGAGGAAGCUCUAAAUUUAGGGGUGUGACCUUGCACAAGUGUGGGAGAUGGGAGGCUAGAAUGGGCCACUUUUUGGGGAAAAAGUAUACCACGGCUACUUCUUCAAUGGCUAUUUACCAACUUCAUUUUUUCCUCUUGAAGAACUUCCUUGUCGAGUUCAUCUCUGUCUCUUGUUGAACAACUGAUGGUAAUUGUUGUUGGUGAAUACCUAAUGGUUCCUCUGGUUUAAUGUAUAUGAUCUUUGUUCUGACAGAUACGUGUACCUGGGCCUCUUCAACACUGAAGUGGAAGCUGCCAGGUAUACUAGAUUCUCUUUAUUCUUACAAAGAGAGACUACGAAUGAAAUAUUUCUGAAUAAGUGCCAAUCCGGAGUUUGCAGGGCUUAUGAUAAGGCUGCAAUCAAGUGUCAUGGGAAGGAUGCAGUUACCAACUUUGAUCCUAGCAUCUACAAGAGUGAGCUUGAUGUCCCCGGUAAGUUUCUCGUUAGCUUUUCGUUGUUUUAUUUUAUUUGUACUUGUUUAUCUGGUUGAUUAUGCCUCAAUUCUAUUCAAAGUGUUAAACAUUGUUUGCAGCUAGCCACACUGAGCACAAUCUUGACCUAUGUUUGGGGAGCUCAGGCUUCAAAAGGAAUCUUGAACCAGUGGAUGAUGAAGGCUCCAAUGGAAUGGAUCAGCGAAUUCCAAUGGCCUUUGACCCAGAAUGGAACCAUAGCAGUAGGCUGAAGGUAUCAAUAAUCCACCUCUUUGCUGCAUCGCCUUAGUGAAAACUUGAUGAAAUAACUUUGAAAAUAAUUCAUUUUUGUUUCCCUAAUAGUUUGAUGACAAAUUUAAGCUGCCUGAAGACAAAGAAAGCAGAAUCAAUUAUGCCUAUAGCAAUGCCUACAUCCAAUCUCCAGUUCCUUUCAAGGCCAAUGAGAUUUUCAAGCACCCACAGCUUCAGAGGAACAGUGGCAUGUACCCUAUGUUCCUACCGCAGCAGUUUGAUUCGUAUGGUUUUCGUCAAGUGGGUAGCUCAUUGAAUAGAGUCUGUCAUAUUGCUUGAUACUCUGUAAUCUAAUCUUAACACUGCUUGGUUUGCGAUACAGCAUCCAGGCAGCAGCGAUGGAUCACGGGUUGGAGGAGGAAGCCUUUCAUUAGCAAUUGGCAGUGAGCAGCAACAGAAGAAUUCAGAUUGGGGAGAGCAUCGAAACAAUUGGCUGUCAGCUACCACCCUGCCUUCCCAAAAGUUCGUUAUGACCACUGAUGCAGCAUCAUCGGGAUUCCCACCGCAGAUAACAAAACUGCCCCCUCAUUUGGCAGCGGAAGAAUGGUUCCCAGUCUCUCAUUAGACCUAGCCAAAACACUGUCAACAUGCAGUGAUGGUAUCUGUUACUCCCUUGCUGACCGGCCAAGAACUCGAUCAUUUUUUUUCGUUUCAGCUUUCAUAUAUUGGCAGACGGCUUUCUGGAGGGUGGCUUUCCAUUUUUUCUGACCUUCCGUUGACAUUAUGACUCCUGAUUAAUUUGUUUGGUCUUAUGAUUUUCCAUCUCUCCCUUGGAAUUUAUGUACUGCUAGGGUAAGGUCAAAAAGAAUUGGGCAAUGNNNNNNNNNNNNNNNNNNNNNNNNNNNNNNAAAUAUUGGUACUGUUACCACUUUAAGGCUGGAGCUGAAGUAAUAGCAAACUAUGUUUAGUUAGUGCAACAAAGAAGGUUGUCACUGAAAUAGUGGAAAACUUCUAACUGUGAUGAAAAAGAACAGUGUCUAUUUUAAAGGGAGAAUACAAUCAGAGAUAAUGCGACUGCAUGAUAGGUUCUUUUGAACCAGAGAAGGGCUAUUAUGGUGAGAGGGACUUCACAACCCUAUACCAGGCCAAGGUGGGAGAUGGGAGCUUCGGCCUUCCUCAUUCUUUUUAUCCUUUUUUUUCCACUAUAAUUUGGGUUGCCUGUCAGUGUCAUCUAACUCGUUUGAGGUUAGGAAAAUUUUAAACAGCAGCCAGUAUGAUGGUUCCAAACGUCUCCUUUGUGCUGCAGGCAGGCAUAAUGGACUGAUGGCACCAUUAAUCUGUGUUAUGACUGUCAUGUAAGUGUUGUAUCAUGGGUUACUUAAUGCAGUCAUUGCUUAAAGAAAUCCGAUAUUACUUCUAUGUUUCUUUUUCUUUCUUAAAAAUUAUGCUUAACUUCGCAAUAUGUGUGUGUGUUUUGUGUGUUGGGGGGGUGUUAUGUUGCUGUUAUAAGCUUUGAAUGAAUCAGAGCAAGGGCUUUGACAUUAUUUUGGUUUGACUGCAGCAAGUCUAUCAAAUUUACGAUACCUAGAACUCCCUUACAUAUUCUGCAGUUGGCGAGAUAAGUAGUCAUUUAUUGAUGAUUGGUCAUAAGGACAUUGUUUUUAUCUUGCUCGGAGAUAAUGAUAUCUAUCAUGUAUGGAUACAUUGAUAGCUAAUUAAGUAGAACCAGUUGGGUCUGUUGUUCUGUCGGUACUUCUGCUAGAAUUGUAUUGGUUUUAUGAAUAAAAGUUUGUUCAGAAAUCAUGUUCUAACUUCUUAUGAUUUGUUAAUUUGAAUAUUACAGAGAUCAUGGUCAGACUUUUUUUUUUUUUGAGAGAGAGAUCACGUCCACUUUUUUAACUAUCAAUUCCGCACUUACCAUUCACUAAUGUUAUCUUUUGUAUGAGCCCUAUCUCAGUGGAUAUGUGUUGAUAAAUAGUCAUUUUCUUUUUUGUUUUUAAUUGUGCAUCUUCAUAUACCCAUAUAUCAAGUUAUUAGCAACUAACAUUUACUUGGAGACCAAGACUUUUAAUAUUUUAGACGUAAUAUUAAGGGCCUUUGAAUCACUAAAUAUUAAAAUUAACUUGUUUGAAACUGAAAAAAGUUGGUAUUCUUACUUCCAUACCGGCCAGCAUUUGAGUAUCUCAGUUGUUGCCCCUGGGAAUUGGUCUAUCCUAGACGACGAGCUAGUAAAGCGUUGGUGCUAGAGGACUCGCUGAUUGGCUGCUAAGUUGCAAUUCAAUGCGGGCAUCAAUUGUUGGGAUCGUGAUUCGUGACUGCGCUUCAACCUAAAACAACAAAAACGAAGAAGUCUUUUUGCCGGAGUGUGCUAAGUGGAGGAUCCUCUAAUGCCUAAGUCAAGACGAUACUCAAGGAUCAGAGAGAGAUUUGUAGCAGUCUGGAAGGUCCUCUAAAGAGUUGGUUGUAUAGGCAAGGAAGAAAGUCUGACGCCAUAUAAUUCAGGCAUGCGGAUCGGCCAGAAUUCGACGCAUGAUUUCAGAGACUAUUUGGAAUCUUGGUUGUGGUGUGUGAAGAGCUUUCGAAAUUUGAAUUUGUCUGUGCACUUUCGAGCAUGCCAAAUGGUUGGCCCUAAUAGGUGGUGUGUUGGCUUUGUGGUGAGUUUUGGUUGGUUAGCCUCUCGUAAGAGCUGUGGUCAAUUUCGAUGUACAUCACUUGUCUCUUACUUUGGUAACCGAGUUUUCAUCUGCCAUGAUAUCAACAAAUGUCCAUUUAAAAAAUUCCUCCAAGUUGCAGGACAAAGGGAUCGCCGACCGAGGUUGCCAAGACCUUGGGGUCCAAGUGCUCCUUUUCUCUGCCUCAGUACGUGGUUUGAGUAGAAAAGUGGCUGUGGAUCUCAAAAUGGCCGGCAGCAAGGAGCUGCGGCUUUUCCGCCUAGUUUACUUCUUAGUUGACGUUAUUCCAAUCACAUUGCUGUCCUUGGCUCGAAGCGGUCCCGGACUCUGAUUAGAAGAAGAGGGAGAUGCUUUCUUUUAACUCCUGCACUAAACUGUUGUAGCUCUCUUUCAUAAUAGGCAUAAUGUCUUGCAAAUAGUAUGUGGUCACUCAAACUUGGAUAGUGUUUGGAUGCAUGUAAGUGGGCGUUAGGUGUGCAAGAAGUGACAUUUUUCUGUUGCUUGAUUGGGUUAAAAUGAGUGAGGCCCAUGUUGCUAGGUCCCCACGGCCACGAAAUGUGAGGGAGCAAAGGGAGGAUACUGAGGAUUGGGUUGCUAUUCAUGAGCAAAUUAUGGAGCAUGUAUGGAAAGCUUACAAAUAAUUUUUAUUCUUAUGCUAUGUAAAAACUUAAUUUACCACACUCUUUUCAUGACAUUUCAUGCACGUUAUAUCCUUGCACUGCUUUGUUUUAAUGUCCUAUUGCAUGCUACUACUUGGUACCAUUUCUAUAUUUUCAUGUGUGCAUGUGUGUCAUAUUGUUAGAUGGAAGCUGAGCUGAUAGAGAGUAACAGACAUCCUAUUAACGUUCCCAAUGGGGAAUCGAAACAAGGUAAUGAGUUGAUGCUUCAUCUCGUUCAUAGUUGAGCAAGCGAAGCUAGAACUCAAUAUUGACAAGGGUUUCAAGAACCUUGCCAUCACUGUUGCAGUGAAAGCCGUUAAUGAUUUUCUUCACUCAUUUCCUAUGAAUAUGUAAUUACUAGAUUAAAUUAUAAAAACCCCCUCUCGAGAUUAGAGAUUAAUUACAAUUACAUCCGAUAAUUUGCAAAACCUAUGAUUACUCUUCUGAAGUUUAUUUUUAUCCAACACCCUAAUCUAUAACUUAAUAAAACAUUAACCAAAUACCACAUCAGAGAAAAUUUUAAAAUGACCAAAAUAAACUUAAGUGACAUCUUUUACCUCAUCCAACGACAAUUUCGUCUAUUCACAUAAGGUAAACAAUAGAUUUACAAAUAGUCGAUGUAAGUGUAAUAAGCAUAAAUCUCAAGAAGAUUUUUAUAAUUUACUCUAAUUACUACUAUUAUUUUAAUGAUAUAUUAUUAUAUUUUUUCCAUAUGAGCCAAACUCCAAAAUGACAAUUAUUUAUGGUAAUGAUGAAGCCAUUGAUGCUUUCUCCAAGCCCUUGUCUACAAAGAUAGAGGGACCUCUAUCUACGUAGAUGGAGAGGACCUAGGAAUGUUGUUCCCAUGUCUCCGAUGGCAUUUGAUCUCAAUUGCCUGGUGGGCGGAGAGGGGGCCCACCCUCUAAUGUAGCCUUCGCUCUCAUUUUUGGGGUUGUGGGUGGAGAAUGGGGUCAGGUUGGGUUGGCUACGGAGGACCAGAGAAGGUGGCUCUCCAUGUGACUGCGUUCAGACCGAAAGCAGUGCCUCCGUCUCAAGCCAAGGCUGCAGGACCACUUGAGAGUACAAGCACCAGCAAAUAGGGAUCUAUCACCCUUUCCUACGCGCCACCAUUGAACUCCUUAUUUAUAGUUUUGAACUUUCUUAUAGAAGGCUUUGAGGUUUAAGGAAUGAAAGGGCAUUUGUUUAUGAUCCAUGGACAUGUUUUGCAUCAAGUUGGAAGGAAAUAGCUAUGGAUUCGAGGGAUACCAAUGAGUUACUGGGUUACUCUAUGCUAAUACUGCAACGGGAGGGGUCUUUCUUUUCCUAGAGGUAGUAUUUUUUGCUUCCAACUUCUCCCCUCCUCCCUCUUCAAGGGCAUAUUUAUUUUUCAGUAAAAUAAGAGGCCUAAACUUGAUAAAGUUAGAAAUACUUGCCUUCAAUUGUUUGGUUUCUUGUAAUUGAUCUCUAAGUUUCUACUUAUGUGGAAUCACUAAUCAAUUAGGGUGUUUCUGAUCCAAGAUGUGUGUAGAUAAACUGAAUGUUGCUUUAAUGCUCUCCCACUCACAUUAAUCUUAAGCAUGAAUCAUUUAGGCACUAUUUAAGCGAUGAUUAUUAAUUGCGAUUAAAUGAUAAUCUUAAGGCCUCAAACUUGUUCUUCAUGUAGUUCUGCAAAAUAAAUCUAGUUAUGUCCACAAUUUUGAUACUUAGGUGGAAGCAAUAUAACGAGCAUACCCUAAAUAGAACCUCGGUCUAGCUAGGAAAAUAUCAAAUGGCAAAGGAAUUUAGGCACGGAGGCUUGUUUGGGGGCAUAAUUAUCCUGGGUUUUAGAUAUAACCUACAAAAGAGGACUCAUUUAACAAAAAGGGAGAAGUUGUGAGGACCGAGGGGGUUAGUUUCAUCAUUAAUCCCAAAUCUUGUAGCUUACAAAAAUUUCUGAAGUCUAAUACUUUAGUUAUCUUGACAAGUAACCAAUAUUAUGAUGAUCCAAGAUUAGCUUACCUAGAUAAUAUCGAUGUUCAAGUGUUGUUAGAAUUUCCGAGUACACCUUAGCAUUUCCCUCAAUUUCAAUUGUUCAAUAAAAGAAGACACAAAAAGAGACUGCAAAAAAUAUAAGAUUAAAGAAUGUUGGCUAAUACAUAAAUGUUGUGCUGGUUGAUAUCUUGGUUUAUAUACUCUAAGCUACAUCAAUUGAGAUAAAGAAAAAGUUAAUAGUUUUCAUUAUAUUGUAAAAUUGAGUAGUCAAUAUCUGUAAAAUCUGAGACCUUUAGCCAACGUAAGAAUCAUAGUGUAAUUCAGCUCUCCGAUAAUUUUCAGUAUCCUUGAGGUUUUACUGCCCGUUGAAAGCCUUUCCAGAUGAUUUUCUAAUUCUAAAAUGUAAAAGAAAAAGAUAUUUGGGGUCAAUUGGCUGCUCCCAUCCUUCUCCUUCCAACACCUAUAAAUUCGAGCUCAAACUAAGCUGCUUUUUAUCUUGGAUGUACAUGAAAUAUUUUGCACCAGAAAAAGCCCUGAAAUUUUGUGACCAAGAGCGGCCCGAAGAGCCCAUGGGCUCUCUCAACCGACUGCCAUUUUGGCGAGAGCCGCAGUUGCUCUUUUUCAUUUUUUCGGUAGAAGAGGAGUCCACAUAGACUCACACUGAGAGGAGCACACCUGCUUAGCCAGAAAAUUCUCCUUGGCCAUUGAUCCAAUCGACGACAGUCAUGGAAUCACCAUAAACUAUAAUCCUAUCAUUCUGUAUAAGAUUUACCAUCGUCUCCAUACCAGCAGAGACUGCCAUAACUUCAGCUUCUGGAACAAAGGAGGUAUAAACUAGAAUUGAUGCUGCAAGUAGCACUUUACCUUCAUGAUCACGAAUCNNNNNNNNNNNNNNNNNNNNNNNNNNNNNNNNNNNNNNNNNNNNNNNNNNNNNNNNNNNNNNNNNNNNNNNNNNNNNNNNNNNNNNNNNNNNNNNNNNNNNNNNNNNNNNNNNNNNNNNNNNNNNNNNNNNNNNNNNNNNNNNNNNNNNNNNNNNNNNNNNNNNNNNNNNNNNNNNNNNNNNNNNNNNNNNNNNNNNNNNNNNNNNNNNNNNNNNNNNNNNNNNNNNNNNNNNNNNNNNNNNNNNNNNNNNNNNNNNNNNNNUUGGAGUUUUCAAAGAAGAGAGAUGAGAAAGUUGUAUUCCCAUGAAAAUAUGAUUCCCACAUUUCAUGGAAAAGUCUUUCCCAUGAGAAACAUGGGAAAGUUACUUUUCCAUGACGCGGAAAUCAUUUCAUUUUUAUUUUUUUCCCAAAAAGACCUUUCAGCAUUAAAGAAACAUUAAAGACCUAAUUUUUAUUAAGGAUAUAAUAAGAAUUAUUCAUAACUUUCCUAAGAAAGUGGAUGGUCAACCAAACAUAAACACUUUGUAAAUAUGUUACUUUCCCAUGGUCAACCAAACAUGCCAAAAGUACUUCUUAGACAUUUUCUUCCUAGAAAUCUGAAGGAGAACACCUCCCGCGAACCAAACGAGCCCUAAAAGUUUUGUGAUCGACGAGCCCACGGGGCUCUCAACCGACUCCUUAUUGGAGGGAGCCGUGGUCUGGUCCAAGAGAAGAAGUAAUCAGAUCCCAUGGACAUAUUUCCUUCUCCCAGUUUGACUAGGAUUAGCCCAUCCAUGCCAUUUGGCCGAGCCGAGCCAUAUCGCGGCUCCGUUCCCUGCUUGGUCACGACUAGGCCCCGUCCCUCUACGAACCGCAGGUGCAGCGCCCCACCCUUUUGGGACCUGGGAGACGCGCACUCUGUCGGCUUGCGAGCGAACCGACUCAGCCCGAGCGGCGCCAUCCGGCCCGGCCACCGGGCUAGGGUUUCUCACACCCCUGCCCCAACCCUGCUAUAAAUUCCUGGAACCGCCCCCCAAGACCCGGCGCGGUGCGGUUCGGGCUGCCCUCCCAAACCCUCCUCCCUCUUGUCUCUAGAUAGAAUUCUUCACGCCCUUCCGAUCUCCGAUCCUAUCCAGAUCCCUUGAGAAAAAUACCAAAAAUAUCGGGAAAAAACCUUAAAAAAAGGAGAAAUCGCUAUUCCCUUUUCUCUCCGAUCUAUAUAUCUAUCCUUUUGAAUCCCUAGGAGGAAGGAAGGUUUGCUUUUGUUGUUGUUCUUGUUUUUGUUGUUUUUGAUCUCCUAGGGCUUGUGCCAGAGGAGUGCGGAUUAAAGGGGAAAAAGAGGUUUUGUUUUUGGAUCCGAGAGAUGGCGCAGGUACAGGUUCAGCCGCAGGCGCCGGCGUCCGGACCGGCGGGGACGGGGCCGGCGGGCGGCGGCGGAGGCGGCGGCGGCGGAGGUGGGGGGAACCAGUUUCCGUCCACCUCUCUGUAUGUAGGGGACCUGGAGCUGAGCGUGACGGACUCGCAGCUGUUCGAUGUGUUCCACCAGGUCGGGCAGGUGGUGUCGGUUCGUGUUUGCCGGGAUGUCAACACCCGCCGCUCCCUUGGUUAUGCAUACGUGAACUACAUCAAUCCGGUUGAUGGUGAGUUUAGGCUUUUAGUCGAUGUUUUUCUUCGUUUAAUUGGACGGUAGCCUCUGUUUUUAGCGAUUAUGUUGCAUUGCUUACUAUCGAUUCUCUGUUGGUAUUUCGUCCAACCUUGGGAUUUUAGGAAUUGGAAAUAAAUGGUAAAUUAGUUGAUGUCUUGUGAUGGGGCACCUAGUAUUUGAGAGCUGUGUUGCAUGCUAUUUUAGGUCCCAAUCGUUUUGUGCUGUUUAUAUCUUAAUACGAUUUAACAAGAAUCCACUGGCCACAUGUGGCCCAGGCAAGUACCUAUUGUUCGGAAGAACUGUUGGAUGGAUUAGAAUUAUGUAGGUCUUCGUGGUGGUAAUAAGCGCUCUGACCACUUUUCCAGCAAUGUUCACUGAAUUAUAUGAUGCUUUACUGCAAUACUUUUAAUUCAACUUAACUAAUUGGACAUCCUUUUGUCUUAGUGUUUGGACUUGUGUUGAUUAUAUUGGUUAUGUAGCUGUGCUUUAUAUUGACCUUUAUUAGCACAUUAUUAGAUAUCUGUGCAAGGGCUAUAAUUAUUUGAUGAUCAUGAGCUCGAACUAGUUUCAGAAGCUUUUUCAUAACGAUGACUUUAUAUUUCACUUACUUUAAAGAGGUAAGACGGGAAUAUCUGAGCUCAUUUUAAUUGCUGGACUCUGUCGAAAUGUCCACUUCCCACUUUAUGGAUUUUCCUUUCCGGUAUCACAUAAUGCAAGAAUUAGAUAACUUGUUAUAAAUUAAGGUCUGCUAUCAUGUAGUUUUUAAAUAUCUGCAAGUUGUUAAAAUUAUUAUGAUUUCUCAUGAUGUUGGUAAAAUAGAAAUAUUGUGGCCUGGUUUGGAUGUGAUCCCAGUAGGUGAAUAGGUGCAUUUUGGCCAGGUUUUAGCAGGUGCAUGUAACAGCUAUUUUCAUGGAGAUAAGGUAUUUUCUGUAUUGGAAUAUUACUGAAUAAGUUAUUCUUGCUAUCUUUUUCAUAAAACUAAAAGUUUAGAAUUCAAAGAAAUUUAAAUUAAUAGUAUUUACCUUGAAGAAGCACGACAAAAAAAAAAAUCAGAGAGUUAGUUCCCAUAUCAUGACACUUUGUUUUGCAUCAUCGAUAGUGUUCCAUUCUAUUGUUUCAUCUCUAGCAUUUGAGAAUGUUCACGUUCCUGUUGUACUAAAAGGUUUCGUUGAUUAUUACUAUUAAGUGUCGACUAUAAUGGCCACUUGAGUGAAAGCUUCUUAAAAGGACACAUGGCAUGCUUAGCCACCAUUAAAUCAAGACAGCCUCUUCAGAUUGUUGAAAAGAUGCAAUUGUUCUUACCAUAUUGUUUUGUCCCCCAUGUAAAAGAGUUAAUGUACUUCAGUGUAUUUUUAUGUUUGGUUGAGAUUUCAGUUAAUGUUUAAAUUUAUGAUCUUUUAAGUCAAAGUUGGUUUCUGAAUAAGCUUGAAAUUCAUAUAAUAUACUGUUGUUGGUAGUUUGGAUGUUGAGACAUUUGAAAUUUGUUGAUAUUGGAGUUCAAUUUAUAUAUGUUCUUUUGAAAAAAGAACGGGUAGACCUUGUUUAUAAUAAAAAUUGUGUUUAAUUUGAAGGUUCCCAUUUGUAAACCGGAAAGUGGAACAUGGUUAUCCAAAGAGGAAGUUAAAUAUAACAAUUGUGGCAGGAUGUUGUCCUGAUAUGUGAUUGCUCAGGGCGAUUAAUUUUGUAUAACCAUAUUGGUACUUACUGUUAUUUUUAUUAGAGUGUUGGAGAUCCAUCCUAAAAUAGCUUUCUAGUUUUUUUAAGGAGUUUUUCUUAGUGUAACCCUCAAAAUAAAAACAAAAACUGCUUGCAUAUUUACCCUUCUUGUAUAAUUCGUACUUAUUGCCCCUUGAAUUGUCUGAAUUUCAUUAUAUACCUUUUCUGCCAUUGCUCGUUCACUAUCAUCAUUCUAUCCUUACUUUGUCUGGAUUGAAAGUUUGCUUGUUCAUUGACAAUUGCUGUUACUUAUAUAUGUUUUUUUGAAAAUAUUGAGGGGCAUGCCUAUUUGAAUUUUUUUUCCUUAUGUACUAAUGCAUGCUUUUACUUUUUGAGAGAUAAAUAACUGAGGAUGUUGUAAAGAGUAUGUAUGCAAGAAAUUGUUGAAGGUGUAGAUGCUAAAGUUUUGUUGGAGGUUGUCAUCUGACCAGAAUGGCGUAUAUGUAGGUUUUUGGCUUAGUAUUAUAGGCUUUGUGUUAGAUAUUGAACUGUAAUUGGUGAAAUUUGGUUGUGCUAGACUUAACAUUUUUAUAAUUCCAUUGGAUUUGGUUUGCAUUUUGUAUUCCUGUUUCUAUCAAAUGCUAAAAUUCAAUUCCGGGUGAAUCUGUCAGUUGUUCAAGUGUUUUUUUUUGAAAUGUAAAAUUGGAUUGCUUGCUGAUUGAUGUGUUCUUUCUUUCAUUCUUUUAAUUUACUUUUUUGGGGGGGAGGGCGUGGGUUGAAUCUGAAAUUUUUUGAAUGUUCUUAAAGGCUUGGGAAAUGUUAAUUUGAGUUGCAUGUAAAAUUUAUGAGAAAAUUCAUAUCCCUCUUACCUUUUUCUUGACCUUUUUUUGUUGGGGUUGUGGUCUUCCUGAUUCACAUUUUUGUAAAUUUUAUCAACAGCGGCAAGGGCAUUAGAGAUGCUGAACUUUACCCCACUAAAUGGGAAGCCUAUUCGGAUAAUGUAUUCAAAUCGUGACCCUAGCAUGCGUAAAAGUGGGGCAGGGAAUAUAUUUAUUAAGGUAUCAUACCUUUUACAUCUAUUUUGUUUAUCAUUUUGGCACUCUUCUGACUGUUUGUUCGAGUUAUUCAUCUGAUUUUUUUGCAUGAUUUAACCUAUAUACAUGUGUUAUGGCAUUAUUGUAUUUACGCUCUUUUUGCAGAAUCUGGACAAGUCAAUAGACAACAAAGCACUAUAUGAUACAUUUUCUGCAUUCGGAAACAUUCUUUCUUGCAAGAUUGCCACAGAUCCAUCUGGUCAGUCAAAAGGCUAUGGAUUUGUUCAGUUCGAUCAAGAGGAAGCAGCACAUAAUGCCAUAGAGAAGCUAAAUGGCAUGCUUUUGAAUGAUAAGAAAGUCUUUGUUGGACCUUUUCUUCGUAAACAUGAGAGGGAGCAUGCUGCAAACAACACAAGAUUUAAUAAUGUGUUUGUAAAAAAUCUCUCAGAAUCUACAACAGAAGAUAAUUUACUAGAAAUUUUUGGAGAAUAUGGAAAAAUUACAAGUGCUGUUAUAAUGAGGGAGGGUGAUGGUAAGUCAAAGUGCUUUGGAUUUGUUAAUUUUGAGGAUCCAGAGCAUGCUGCUAAGGCUGUUAAGGAACUUAAUGGGAAGAAAUUUGAUGGUAAAGAAUGGUAUGUUGGAAAAGCACAGAAAAAAUCGGAAAGGGAGAUGGAACUAAAAGGAAGAUUUGAACAGAGGAUGCAGGAGGCAGCUGACAAAAAUCAAGGGGCUAACUUAUACUUGAAGAACUUAGAUGAUAGCAUUGGGGAUGACAAACUGAGAGAAUUGUUUUCCGAGUUCGGCACAAUUACUUCUUGUAAGGUAUGUUUAAGUUGGUUGUCACUAAUUAUAUGUUAUUGUCUUGGCCGAUUAAUCUUGUGGUUGAAGUUGGCAUAAACAUUUGGAAUUUUGUAUAGGUUAUGCGUGAUCCCAAUGGUGCAAGUAGAGGAUCUGGAUUUGUUGCUUUCCAGUCUCCUGAUGAUGCAUCUAAAGCUGUAAGUUAAGCUCUGUUACUUGCGAGUUCUAUGAAUAACCAGUUUGAUAGCUGAAUUUUCCAUUUUGUUUAUAUCAUGGUCUUUCAUUCCUGUAGCUGGUGGAGAUGAAUGGCAAGAUGAUUGGCAGCAAACCUCUCUAUGUUGCACUUGCACAGCGUAAGGAAGACAGAAGAGCAAGGCUGCAGGUAAUUUCUCUAAGAGCAGUUCUUUCAAGACGCAUAUAAGGUACACUAGGUGAAGGAAGAGGUGAUACUAAUGCUCAUGCUGAUUCCAUUCAUUAUAUCAUUGGAAUAUUCUUGCUGUUAUUAUCACAUUUCUUGAUUGAGUUAUAUUUUCUUUGGAUAUCAGUGGUUUUAGUUAUCUGUUUUGUCAUUUAAAAGGCAUAAUGGUUUCUCACUCAUGUAUUGUUUGAUUUAAAAUUUUCUAAUUUUUUAAGGGCUUGAUUUCUAAUGUCAUUCUUGGAAUUACUAAUAAUUGUUGCAAAAAGUAAUUGUAUUAUAUUCACCAGAGAGUUUCUUUUGCUGUAUUUUUAUUUUUGGGCUAAGGGUUAGAGGCAUCAUUCCUUUCUUUUUUUCUAAGCAUGAACCAUGUACGUUUACAUUGCCUAUUUAGUCUUCUCCUUAAUGCUUUCUAGUGGUGUCGGUACUAUGUGUUCUCAAAUUGGAUACCAGAAUUUUGUCAUGUGAAAAUAGUUGAACUGAUUAUGAUACAACUUCUUAUGCAAAUGUUUAUGAAUGUUUUACAAGAAACAGUUUGUUGAUAUUUCAACUGUACUUGAUUAAUCCCUUUUACUACUCUUUCCUAAUAGACAGUCUUUAUCUUCUUUCUGUGCAGUUCGUUUUUCUGUGCGAAUUGCAAAACCUAUUUUGUCUUGUUUCACCUAUGACACACAACCCAUGUUGCUUUCCAUACUUAGGCCUCACAUUCUCCAGUGUCUGAAUCAGCUAUGCGCAUGACUAUUUUCUUGAUUGGUGCAACUAUUGCGCUCCCUAAAAUGAACUUGCUGCAAUCUAUAUUCCUGGUUUUGUGGCACACAAGAAGAACAUUCUCAUCAUUGCAACAUGCAUUUUGUGUGUAUUAGGUUUUUUUUAAAAACUGUUUAAUAUUCUGAUGUACAUUUUUUUUACCUUUUCACCGUGUACUAUUCUAGAGAUACUCCGUAACUGUUUAUUUCAUCCAUCUUGUUAUAAUUCAAUAUCUCUACCAUUUUCUGUUGUUCUGUUCUUUAUUAGUCCAACCAAGAUAGCAUAAAUUACAAUGGUUAUUAUUUUGCAUUUUUUUAAAACUUGAUUCAAUUUGAUUUGCAUUCUGUUACAAUUCUGUUUCAUUAUAUUUUGUAUAUUAAAAAGCAUUUGAGCCUUUAUAUUUUUAUUUGGCUUAUUGGUUAAUACAAUGUCAUCUGCACUCAGUGCUUCAUCGCCUCUGUAUCAGUAGUAAUGUUAUCUGACCAGUUUGUUGAGGUAAUGCCUGAAAUUAACCCUUUGUGUUGGCCACCUGGUGUGCAAGUAUCACUUGUUUCGCUGUAGCUACCUUUGAAUCCUAAAAUUGUUCUUUCUUUACAAAAAAAAAAAAAAUCCCUAAAACUGUUCCAUUGACAUCAUUCAUGAUUGUAGCAUACUCUUUUGUUGCACCCUACUCAUUUGAUUCACUUUUUCUCCUUGAUGCUUAGCUAUAAGUUUUAUCAUAGAGUAUACAUCCUUUCUUUGUGAAUAAUGAUCAUAUGAUUUUUUCCUCAAUAUUACUCAUCUUGUAACUGAAACAGGAUAGAUUGGCUUAUAUAGUUGACUUUCCUACUUGAAAUCCAUGAAAGUAAUAGUUGAUGUAAAAAUUAGUGGUUCUGCAUGCAAUACAAAAAAAAAUAAAAGAACAAGUUGUUUUAAUAGUGUAGCUUCUCUAGGAUUUACAUGUGAAAACUAUUUUCUCAUCAGGUAAUCAGGACCCCUAAUUUACUCCAGUUCUUAGUACAUCCACACUGGAGAUCCAUGUAUUUUAAACUUGAUAUACUUCAUAACAAAAAAGACACUAGAAUGAUUUGGAAUCUACUCUAAAAAAAGUAAUUGCACACUGAUAUCCUCAGAAUACUUUAUAUCAAAAGUUGUCAUUAUAUCUGCAAGUUGAGCAGCAUCAUGACUUUUCCAGGGAACUUGCUCGGGCACUUGCAUCUACAAGUGUUGCUUCAAUACAUUCUUCAAUUAUAAGCUUCUUUUGGUCAUCAUAUGGACUGAAUUUCACCAAACUCAAGUUUUUUUUUUAAAUUAUUGUUGUGUAACUUUAUGCAUCAUUUCUUUUAUUAAUAUGUUGACAUAUUUUCCUAUACAAUAUAUACGAUCGAAAAGUUUAAAAUUGUUGAUUAGUAUUAUUAUGCACACAUAUGUACAUAUGUCAAGUAAUUUUAGGCAUUUGUGCUUUAAGGGUUUGAAAACUUGGUUUCAGUUUUGGCUGGACCAAAUGCACUUUUCCUUUUAGCAAUUUUGGCCUUCACUUCUUGCCUACUUUCUUCAGAGUAGGAUCUAUGGCACAUCCAUCUUAUGAUUUCUUGAUGAUAUAUCUUGAUUACAUUAACAGCAAUUGAAUUGUCGUGUCUUUUUUGGGAUAUCUCCUUUGUGGCCCUUUGAAAUUUGGGUACUUGUAGAGUAAAAGGUUAUGCCAUCACUUCUUCAGGUUUGUAUUUCAUGUCAAGUUGGGCAAGAUCCCAUGACCAGUGCUGUUUUUUAAGGCCUGGUUCCUACCUGACCUAUUGGAAUAAAUUGUUUCCAGUUAUCAUGAGUAGUAUGCUGCAUUAGAUGUUCAAUUUAGUCUCAGCAAGACAUCAGCUUCUAGGUAGGUCAUAUUUAUCAGCAACCAGAUUUAAUAAAUAUUCCAUUUUUUCCAAUCAAUAUUAUGUUGUCUGACAUUAUAUACGAAUGGAUAUAUGCAUUUUAUAACACCUUUUGUUAUCACUGCUCGUAUAAUUUACAUCAUCUUUAUGAUCUCUUUUGCUGAUAGUCUGUUCAUUUGUCAGGCCCAAUUUUCUCAAAUGCGUCCAGUGGCAAUCCCACCUUCAGUUGCGCCUCGUGUGCCAAUGUAUCCUCCUGGUGCUCCUGGUAUGGGACAACAGCUAUUUUAUGGUCAACCACCUCCCACCCUUAUACCUCCUCAGGUAACUUUGUUAUAUAUAUAAAUAUAUCAUAACGACAACAACAAUAAUAAUUAAUUGAAUGUAUUGGUUUCAAGCUAUCCUAGCGCCAUGUGCUUUGGCUUGUAAAAGCCGCGCCAAGGGUUCGAAAUUGAUAUGCCCCUUCAAUAAUUGGUUGCCUGUAUUGCCUUUACUGAUGCUACAGCCUAUAGCACCUGGACUCACUAUGACCACUGACACCCCAUUGUCACCACCACCAAGAACAUUGCUGUGCCAUCAUAACGUCCGCAACUGCUACUGCCACUAGUACCAAUCAACAUGAUUUUCAGUUUUGUAUUUCUAAAGAACAAAUUAUUUGAGACCACCAGACAUGAUUAUUUUUUUUGAAUAACUGCAAGCAAAAUAAAGUCACAGUCUGUUUUGUUCUUAAAAGUAGGGAGACUUGCAAUUUGCCAAACAGAGCCCUAAGGUGUCAGAUUUUGUCCAACAUUGGUUAUUAUAGUGGUUGAAGCUUUAUACAAGAGUUUGAAUUUCAUAAUGGACUGUGCAUCCUUUUAAUUAUUAACCUUGUGUUUGGGUGGGGUUAUGAGGGAGGAUGGACGGAGUUGGAAGGAUGGAUAGCCUCCAUCCACCAUUUGGUUCAAAAAUUUUUAGGAGGGAUUGCUCAUCCAUCUUGGCCCACCAAUUUGCAUCCUUUCAAAUUAGGAGGAUGCAAGAAAGGAUGGAGCAUAUAAGAGUAGUAGGUUUCUGAGUUGAUAAAAUUACCCCUUAUUAAUUUUUUGAUGAAAGCCAACGCUUCUUCUAUUUUUCUAUUUAUAUUCACUAUUUUUUAGUUAGCUAUUUAUAUAAAAUUAAUUAACUACUUAAAUUAAAUUAUAACUUAAUUAAUUAUUUAUAUAAGUAAUAUAUAAAUUAAUUAAUUCAUAUAUAAUUAAUUUAUAAAACUAAAUUAAACUAAAAUUAAAUAUUUAAUAUUUUUUAUAUAAUUAUAGAUUAUAAAUAUAUAAGUUUAUAUAUUGUCCUACUUUAGUAUAAAAAGUGUUAUAAAUUGAUAAUAAUAAUACUAUUUGUUUAAGGGUAGUUUAGUAAAAAAUAUCAUACAAAUAUCAUCUAUUCUUCCUUUAGUUCCUUCUAUACCAAACAAAGGAGGAAAUUAUUUCCAUCCAUCCAUAUUUCACCAAACACAUGGAAGGAUGGAUGGAAGACCCAUCCAUCCUUUCUCUUCCAUCCAUUUUUCCUCCCUCUUCUAUCCAUCCUCCGGUCCAUCUGUCGUACCAAACAGAGUGUACACAUCACUGGUGUAUUGAAUGAAAAUCAUGAGAAUUGUAUUUAAUUUUCAAAAUGAUUCAAAGUGCUACAGACCAUGUCUACUUAGCUAACUCAUCAUAAUUCUAAUCAAUAUAUAUUUUUCUUUUGUUUGUUUAUAUGUUCAUUAUUUUUGUUGUAAUUUGGAAUUAUUUUGUUUUCCUACUCUAAACUAUUUUUGAGGCUUUGUUGCAUGUUCUUUCUUAGUUGACUUGUGUCUCGAUUUGACAAACAUUUGUUGGAUCUUAGUGAGCAUAAAUUAUUUCCUAAAGGAGUUGAUUUUUUUUAAUUGACCAUCAAUCACAAUUCUUACUCUCUUCACAGCCUGGAUUUGGCUUCCAACAGCCACUUGUUCCUGGGAUGAGGCCUGGAGUGGCUCCUAUGCCAAAUUUUUAUAUGCCAUUCGUUCAACAGGGUCAGCAGGCCCAACGCCCAGGUGGUAGACGUGCUGGUGGGGGUCCUGUGCAACAAACACAGCAGCACCCUAUGCCACUGAUUCAGCAACAGGUGGGUGACUACCUCAUCAUAUUCAACAUGUUUUUAUCCGCUACCACUUCAUCUUAAGCAUGUUUUUAGCUCUUCUCAUCACCAUUGAUGUAUUUUGUUAUUAAGCAACAGCUAAUGCAGUGCAUCUGUAAUGAUAAUUUAAAUGUUGUAGAUGCUUCCUCGGGGGGGACGUGCCUACCGCUACCCUCCUGGGCGCAACAUGCCAGAAGUUCCGAUGCCUGGUGCUGCUGGAGGAAUGCUUUCUGCCCCAUAUGACAUGGGGGUUAUGCCCAUGAGAGAUGCUGGCAUGUCACAGCCUAUUCCAAUUGGAGCAUUGGCUUCAGCUCUUGCAAAUGCUAGUCCUGAGCAGCAGCGGACGGUAAUAUUUGUAUCUUAUAGUCCAUCAGCAUGAGUUUGCACGAGCUCAGAUUUCUUUACUAUUCAUGCAUCCAUUUUCUGGCUUUGUCGAAGCAUUGUCAGUAAUCUGAUUGUGUUCCGUUUAGAUGCUUGGUGAGAGUCUAUAUCCACUUGUGGAUCAGCUGGAGCAUGACCACGCAGCCAAAGUGACGGGCAUGCUUCUGGAGAUGGACCAGCCUGAAGUGUUGCAUCUGCUCGAGUCCCCAGAGGCCUUGAAAGCCAAAGUUGCUGAGGCAAUGGAAGUUCUGAGAAAUGUUGCUCAGCAGCAGCAGCAGGCCAGCACCCCAGCUGAUCAGCUGGCUGCUCUAUCGUUGAAUGAUGGCAUUAUUAGUUGAGUUGAUCAUUUAGUCCUUCAGAUUGUUAGGAGAUUGUGCUUGAACAAUUUGGAUUGGUUUGAGCAGCAGAUGGCUUUGUGGUGUGGUAUUUUUUGAUUUUAAAUUUUCGAGCGGGCUUUCUAGUAGGCUUGACUUUUUAUGUUUGCGCACAAUAUGUUGUUUCAGAGUUCAUAAGAUUUGUGACUUUCAUGUUUGUUAGCGUGUUCCCAAGUUUUCUUUUGCAUUCAUUUCUUCCCUCCAUCCACCCUAUGAUAUAUCUUGGUAGUGGCUGCCAUUUCAUCUCCUUUCUGGUGAGGUAGUUUAAUGGUACAUUUGGAGUUACCUUGACUCUUUGCAUGUCGUUCUGGUCGUAAGUUGAUUGACUUUACACUUUAUAAGAAGCUCCAUCACGUUACCGUGUGUGAUGCGGUGAGGGUUUGUCCACGCUUGCACUAUGGAAACCAGAAGGAUUCUUCAACAAGAUGAAGUCCACAUAUCUGUGGCCAUGGGGCCACGAAGAAGAGAGCAAAAGAGUAGUACUGUAAACAAGGUGGAUGUGGAUUGUUAUUGUUCCAUGACAUGAUCCCAAUCCAUUCUUCAUAAAAAAAUCGGUUUUGGAUUUGAACUUGGAACUUAUUAUUGUUUUUGUUGUUGGAUUGUCUCAGUUUGGGAGAUUUCAAAUGACUCUUUUGUGAAUUUUCAAAGUCGCUCUUUUCUUGAAUUUUGUUCUUCAUGAUGAAUCUGAUGUUCGACUUAAGAGCAUAUCCUAGAAUUGUUCACGCUAUAACUUCUGUAGCUGCAAGUUUGUAACACGACAGAGAAAAUACAGGCGGGUGAGAUGGCACACAACUAUCCCGCAGCUCCUGCCCGUCUCGUCGUCCUGUUUUAUCUAUUUUACCAUGGAACUGAGAAAAGUAUGGCGCUCUCGUGGCAUUUGAAAGGAAAGGAAAAGAAGAGCCAAAAGAAUAAAAUUUGAAAUGUCAAAAAAGUCUUUAAUUAUUCUUGAAUUCUCUGCGGCCUGGUAAUUCCUUAAAUUAUUGAGGACCAAUCAAUUCAGAAUUAUUCAUAAACUAUAAGAGGUAUUGUUAUUUAUUAAUUAUUCACAACGGAUUCAAGUUUUUCCGUUACGUUAUUGUUUGUGUGUUUGUUAUUAUUUAUUAUUCUAGGUUUGCUAUUAUUCGUUAUUCUUACUUUUCAUGUAUUUAUUUCAAUGGAAUCAAGUGUGCAAAUGCUUUAGACAACUUUUUUUUUUUUUAAUAAGAAAAAACAGGACUUCUUUUGAAUUUUUGGUGAGGGUACUGGAUUUUUUGCUAGAGGUUUGAAGCUUUGGUUUGAAUUAUCCUCAAACCCCUAAUUUGCGACCUAUGCUCAUAGAAAUGCCUUAAGCACAACUUAUAUGUAUAAUAUAUUGGAAAACCCUAUCUUAUUAAGUAAUCUUUUAUUCAAAACUAAAAAUAAUAUUUUAAAAAUUAUAAAUAAUUGGUUUCCACUUGUUUAGGUUACAUUUUGACAUCUGACUUUCUUUUCCAUUUUUUAAGAAAAUAAAAUAUUAGCUUAUUCUUUUAGAUUUGUAAAGGCAAUAAACAUUCUUUGUACAAUCAGCUAUUUUAAUUUUAUAAAUAUAAAUUUUUUUUAAAAAAAUUCAACUUGCAAUGGUGGCGGCGGCUCUUUAUUUGUGCUGGCGAGUCUAAUGGUGGCAGAAUGACAGCUAUAUUGCAGUGGUGGCAGUGAUGAUAGAGAUGACAAAAGUGAAGCUUAAUGGUAGAGUCAAGCACAAUAAAAAUGGUAGUGGUACAUAAAAGCGAUAAAAUUUUUUGUUUGAAAAUUUUCAAAAUUAUUUAGCUUAUGUAAUAACUUUAUAUUUUUAUUUCUCUACUAAUCAAUAAACUUCGACAUGGAGAUUAUUGUGGAAGACAACAAUUUUCCAAAACCUCAGCUAUCCCUGCUAAGAGCAAUAAAUCUUCACUUCCAAAAGUUUUAAAGAUUUUAUAAAUAUUUUUAAAAACAAAAAUGUUUCACCAUAUAUAUUGUCCAGCUUUUUUUUUUUAGAUUUUUUAAACGAAAUCUAAGUAUUAGCUUAGUGGUCAUCUCCCUCGAUUGCAAGUAUCUAAAAAUCUUAGAUCUAGAUUUAGACCGAUCCACUUAUUUCAAGCAUGAUUGAUUAGAAGAUUUUGGGCUCUGGAAUAAAAAUAAAAAUGAGUAAUUUAUAUUCUAACCGUUUGGUUGUAGAGGAAAAAAUCCUAUUCCUAUUCCGAUUUUAGAAGAAAAUGUUAAAUAUCUUAAUUUUUAAAACCUAAUACAAACAUUUUUCUAGCAUUUAAAUGUCAUUCCAAUUCUAAUUUCGAUUUCAAUCACGAACUAAUAUAUUAGAAACAUGGUCAUUCCAAUUUCUAUUUCAAUCUAUUUUGUUCCAAUUUCAAUCACAAAUCAAAUGCACCCUUCAAAUUUUGCAUCCAAUUUUUAUAAUUUUUAUAAUUAUAUAAAGGGUCGGAUAUAGGCAUAUAGAUAGCCUAUUCCCAUUUCCCCUCUCCUGCACGAACAUGCGAGAUGACUUGACCCCAUCCAUCUAUUAAGGCGGCUAAUGUCUCCACCGGUCCACCAACCGUCCUCCAGAAAGGACAACCACGGAACGCGGCACCCGACGAACCGAAAUUCAGAAAAGCUAGCUUAGACCCAUGGUAAAGAAGUAAAUAAUUUUUUACCAAAAAAACAAAAGAAGUAAAUGAAUCAGAAGACCGAAAUAUCCCAGCCAUUUGGGCGGCUGGUCUCUACCGGAUCCAUUAUUACGCGAUAACCACCAUCCAAUCUCAUCGCUCCCUGAUCUCUCUCCGUUGAUAACCAGCUCCCUGUCCCCCUCUUUCCCCUCUCUCUUUAACCCCGCGCCCUCGGCCGCGUUUUGGUAUAUAUAUGUAUAUCCUUCCCCGCUUUGACCCCCUCUCCUCGCCUCCAUAUUGGAAAGAAGGAACCAAGAAAGAGAGAGAGAGCGAUCAGCGGAGGGCCCGCCCGCGCUUCGCGCCCGAUGGAGGAGAUCUCCGCCGAGCACCACACCGUCAUCCCUCCGCCCGCCGACGGGGCGGGCCCCUCCUCGUUGCCCCAGCAGGCGUCGCCGUCGCCGUCGGUGAGCCCCGCCGGUUCACGCUACGACGACGAGGAGGAGGACGAGGGCGACGUGUGCCGGAUCUGCCGCAACCCUGGCGACGCCGAGAACCCUCUCCGCUACCCCUGCGCCUGCAGCGGCAGCAUCAAAUACGUCCACCAGGACUGCCUCCUCCAGUGGCUCAACCACAGCAACGCUCGCCAGUGCGAGGUACCCCCUCUUUUUUCGUCUCGAUCGAUCCCUCUGUCUGGUGUUAGGGUUUCCUUUGAUCUUUUUAAUCUGGUGGUGUAAUUAGGGUUUGUGAUUGCUUUUCUUUAUCCUUCGUUGGAUGUUGGGUUGAUUUUUAUAGCGCGCCUUUGAGGAAUCGUGUUUGGAGGUCGUGAUGUGGAUCGUGUGAAAUUCUUUAAGGUUUUUGCUGUUCUUGAUCUGGAAAUUUGGUCUGUUGAAAGGUCCUCUAUACCGCGAAUAUUCUUGGGAUAGUAAUCUAUUUGCAUUAUUGAUCGUUCAUCUUUGUAGCUAAUUAAUCUUCCACCUGUUCCAUAGACCAAUCCAUAUGUAGUUCGGAUUCCCUUUUUUUAAAUAAAUAAUUUCUUAAAUUGUGUUGCAAAAAGACUCAACAGGGAUACGUGCAAGUCAACUUGGCUUUGAAAAAUUGGAGUGUAGGUCCUUUUUAUGCAUAGGGAAUUUGACAGCCAAGCAUAAAUUUUUGCAUGCUCUAAAUGUACGAGUCCUUUUCAUGUCAAACUAAUAAAAACUUAAUGAUACUCGAUGAUGAUGGAUGUGAUGUGUUGAAUUUUUGAUGAGACGACACACUUGUAAAACAUACUUAUAACGCUUUGUUUGCAUUGUCACUUGUUAUGCAUGUGUUGUCUUCUCUCAUCAUGUUGAUGUAGCAUACUGUCUUUUAAGGUAUGCUAGGAUGACAGUUGAUCAUAUCUAGCCUCUUGCAGUUCAUGAAUUGCUGAACCAUAUGCUGAGGUUUCCAAUUGGAGCCCCACUGGUGAUCUGCAGCAUUCUUGAGGAAUAACUUCCAAUUAGGAAAAUUUUGCUGCAAACUGAGAUCAAACACAUUUAUUUGAGAGAAGACCAUUAUUUUAGUCAGUUCUGUUUCACAAUACUAGAGAUGAUGUAUAUUCUUUUGGUAGAUGUUACCACGUAAACCAAAAUCCAGGAGAAAACUCUAUCAUUCCAAUCUAAAGAGAUGAUUUCUCAUUUGAAAAAGAGUAACUAGUAGGAUAAUGUUUUAUACCAGGCUGUACUUGCAAGGUUGAUAUUGAUAUAUUUUUAAGCUCAAGUUGCUGAUUUCUUAAACUAAGUGAUAGUAUUUAUAUAGACUAACAACAUCAAUCUUGUCAGACCUUGCAUAGGAUUCAUUUGUCCUCUAUUUUUUAUUGUAUAUUUGGCUCUGCAAAUGAUUGCUCGCAUUAGAGCUAGUUCAAAUCAUAGAUUUGCCUCUUGACUAGCUUCUUAUUCAUGCACUUAAACAUUUAAAAAGAAAGAGAAUCUUCACUGAACGAUCUUCUUUGCCACCUUAAAUGACAAACUGCAGCUAUCACAGCCUCUAUUUUGUUUUGAGUGAAGCACUAACAUUUUACAUGUGCAAUAUGUGGAAUGUGAGGAUAAAUGUACAAAACCAUGAAACUGGUGAUAGAGGAGGAAAAGAGAACAAAAUCCAACAAGAUAAUGGAGGUAAAAAUUUUCUGUGUUUUUAGACUCCAGGCCGAGCAACACAUGAGAAGUGGAAUCUUACAGGAAGAUAUUUUGGCAUGAUGAAUCAUCAUUCAUGACAGAGUUAUGGAUGCUUAUGUCAUGGCUCUGUUGUGAAGUUGCGCACUCUUGAUGAGCUCCACUUUCGACUUUGUAAAAAUACCACGUAUUGAACCAAACUUAGGGAUGGAGUCGAAUCCCAUGAGUUCCAAUUAUAAUAGUAGAAGAUAUAAUGUGUCAGCCAACAUGUUCCCUGUAGUACUUGCACAUGUAUCAACCUCUUUGAUGCUGUUAUAUAGAUUUGUCAUUUGUCUUGCCUUUUGAAGAUUUCAUGUGCUAUUUCAGGGUGCAUAAAUUCUUUUUCGUGGUUUGCAUGGUCGCUCUCUCACUCUGCUUAUGCUUCAACAUGUUUAAUGUGCCUAUUAGUUAGUUAUGACCUCUUCUUAAUGCAUUUGGUAUGCUAUGCAGGUGUGCAAACACACAUUUUCUUUCUCCCCUGUUUAUGCUGAGAAUGCUCCUGCAAGACUUCCCUUCCAGGAGUUUGUGGUUGGGAUGGCAAUGAAAGCAUGUCAUGUCCUCCAAUUUUUCCUCCGGCUUGCUUUUGUUCUUUCUGUUUGGCUCCUUAUAAUACCUUUUAUUACUUUCUGGAUAUGGCGCUUGACAUUUGUGAAGAGUCUUGGUGAAGCUCAAAGGCUGUUUCUGAGUCACAUAUCUGCACCUUUGAUUCUAACUGAUUGCUUACAUGGGUUCCUACUUUCUGCUAGCAUCGUGUUUAUAUUUCUUGGGGCAACCUCAUUAAGGGAUUAUUUUAGACACCUACGUGAACUUGGAGGACAUGAUGCUGAGAGGGAUGAUGAAGGUCAUGAAAGGCAUGGUGCUCGUGCUGUGAGAAGACUUCCUGGCCCUGCUAACAGGAUCCAUGCUGGUGAUGGGAAUGCUGAAGAUGCAGGUGGGGCCCAAGGAAUCGCUGGGGCAGGUCAAAUUAUAAGAAGAAAUGCAGAAAAUGUUGCUGCACGUUUGGAAAUGCAAGCUGCUCGUCUUGAAGCACAUGUUGAACAGAUGUUUGAUGGACUGGAUGAUGCAGAUGGUGCAGAAGAUGUACCGUUUGAUGAGCUUGUUGGCAUGCAAGGGCCUGUAUUCCAUUUGGUUGAAAAUGCUAUAACCGUAAGUGCAUUGAUGUUUUUAUGCUUCUGAUCUGUGUUACAUGUUUAGCUUUUCUUUAUUGAAGGAGACUAAUCGAUGUUAUUGUUCUUUCCUUCCAUCAUUAGUUGGCUGUUUAUAUUUUAGUUUGUUUCUGAAAACGAUUCUGUUCUCUACGAAAAAAUGGCUUUUGUUUGUUGUGUUGGUCGUUUAUGCUCAAAGCCAUUACUUGUUACAGGGAUCGGUUCAUGGUGAUGCAACAUGGGACUAGUUGGUCGUGCAGUUUCACAUCUAUCUUAUGACAUAAAGAGGAUGUUAGUUUAUGAUUAUCUUAUAUCUAAUUAGUAUGGUUUUAUGCUUAGUGUUACAUAUGUGGGGGAGCAUCUAGCUAACUUGUUUGAACAAGGACAAUUAGGAAUUAGUUAAAUUCAUGAUAGUGUAUUUUGCGAUCAAGUGGUUGCCUUUAUGGAUGAGCAACUUGUUGUGCACACAUUCUAGGUGCCCAUAAUUUCUAUAUAUCAUUGAAGUUUCUUAAAAACUAAAAUUAAUAUUUCGAUCAUUUGUUUAGUUAUUUAUUUCAGUUGUUGCAAUGGCUAUGGCUCUAAAUUUGGGUGGAAGUAGUCAUUUUGUGAACAACUCUACUAUGUUACGUAGAUUGUUGUUGAUGCCUCUGCUUACACCUUUGCAAGUUGUUUACCAUAUCAGUGUUUGAAUUCUUUUCAUCAGUCCUGCAUUUGGCAUCACUAUGAGCUCUUAGGAGUCCUUUUUCAUAGCUUUUAGUUGCGUUCACUUUAGUUUUUCUAUCUUUCUUUUUUUCCCUCAAACCUGACUUUUUAAAACAAAUAUGACUGCUCCUCUAAUGAGGGUCUGCUCACUUCCUUGUUUCACAUGCCUAUACCAUCUUAAUUGGUUCUCUACCACUUUCUACUUAAUUACUUCAAAUCCAAAGCUUCCUGCAGUGCAUCAUUUUUUACCUAUUACACAUUGGCAUGCCAUCUUUACCUCACCUAUAUUCAUGGUUAGCCAAGGAAUAUUGCCCAAAGUUUGAGGCAUGCAGUAUUAUGGGUUGAAUUGCUGUUUUAUUCUUCCUGCAGUCGGAGGCACUUCUCUGAUUUUGUGUAUCUUCAUCCUUCACCUUUUUGUUCAAUGGACCUUUCAACUGAAUCUGAUCACGGGCUAGGCCUUAGGCCUACACUCUAUUCAUUUUUAAUCGUGCUACGGGCCAGGCCUAUUUAAAAUUUGACCAUUUAUGUGUCCAAGCCCGGCCCAUGAUCAGCUCUGCUUUCAACAAUUUCUUUGCAAGAAAAUUGGCCCUGUUUUUUCUUUCAUAGCUUAUUUUUAUUAUUUUUUAUUUUUCAAUUCGAGUUCAGGCUUGGUUUAUGCUUGUACAAGUCAGUUUGGCAGAUCUGAGCUGAAUGUACUGUUUGCCCUAGUUAUAUGCGAAUUGAUUGCUUUUCAAAAUUAUAGGCCUACAUUUUUAAAAUUAUAGUCUCUUUCUAACUUCAUGAUCAACUUUAUUAAUGAUGAUAAUGAUGAAAAAAAAUUCCUAUUGCAUUUGGUCUCGUACUAGAAUUCAUGGUUAUGCAAUUUCAAGUGCCUGAUUUUAGACCUCUAAUUUGUUGUUGUCUAAUUUCUGUGUAUGAUCCUGGUAUUGUUUGCCGCUAGAAGAAUCUAGACGCACAACAAUGAGGAAAAAAAAUUCCCUUCUGCCAUAGCAUUUUAUGUGCAGAUUCUUUAUUAUUUGUACUGAUUCAUUCUGAUCUUUGACUUUGUAUUCUUCUCAAAUUAACACUGUAGUGGUUCAUGAAACUUCCCACUUUGCACUUACCUAAUUGCCUACAGGUGUUUGAUCAUUAUUACCUGUGCCUUGUGAAAUGUCUAGCUUGUAUUUUUAAGCUAAUGCUUUAUCAUAUUACUUUGUGUUAAUUUACUAGUAGAUUAUUCUGAAUAAUGGUCUUUUUUUGCCAGGUAUUGGCAAGCAAUGCGAUAUUCCUGGGUGUUGUAGUUUUUGUACCCUUUUCAUUAGGAAGGAUAGUACUCUACUAUCUGUCAUGGUUCUUUUCAUCUGCAUCUAGUCCAAUGUUAGCAAAAGUCAUGCCUCUUACAGAAUCAGCCCUUUCAUUGGCUAACACUACCUUCAAGAAUGCACUUACUGCUGUAAAGAACUUGUCGGCUGAAAGCGAUAAUGAGGGUGUUCUUGGUCACAUGGUGGAGGCAGUUGCAGGAUCAUUGAAAUUGAAUGCAACUGUAUUAGAUGAAGUCUCUAAUAGUCUUAGAACACAUGUUGCAUCAGAUCUAUUUAAAGGAACAUUUCUUGGCUAUUCACGCCUUUCAGAUGUCACUACACUUGCAGUUGGGUAUAUGUUCAUAUUUUCUAUGGUAUUCUUCUAUCUUGGUCUCCUCACUUUGAUUCGAUACACUAGGGGCGAGCGUUUGAUUAUGGGGAGGUUUUAUGGGAUGGCUACAAUAGCAGAGGCAAUCCCAUCUCUUUUCAGACAGUUUGUGGGAGCAAUGAGGCAUCUGAUGACUAUGGUUAAGGUCGCUUUUCUUCUGGUGAUUGAACUUGGAGUCUUUCCGUUGAUGUGUGGGUGGUGGCUUGAUGUAUGUACUUUAAGGAUGCUGGGUGCAACAAUUUCUCAAAGGGUCAAGUUCUUUUCUAUGUCCCCAUUAUCAAGUUGUUCAAUGCAUUGGCUUGUUGGAAUUGUUUACAUGCUCCAAAUAAGCAUUUUUGUCAGCCUUCUUCGAGGGGUAUGAUUUAGUUUUUGAUGCUCUGUCUUUCAUUUUCUCCCCCCCCAACCCGUCACCCAAUCCAGAAAAAAAAUUCUUAUCAGUAUUCUUCUUUUGAUAGGUAUUGCGAAAUGGAGUUCUAUAUUUUCUACGGGACCCAGCAGAUCCAAAUUAUAAUCCAUUUCGUGAUCUAAUUGAUGACCCUGUGCAUAAACAUGCCCGACGAGUUUUGCUGUCUGUUGCUGUUUAUGGAAGCUUGAUUGUGAUGCUAGUCUUUUUACCUGUCAAACUUGCUAUGCGAUUAGCACCUUCCAUGUUUCCAUUGGACAUCACGUGAGUUGUUAAUUUAUUUAUUCAAUAGAGUGGGAACUUUCUUUUGCUUGUUUCUUUUUUGAUUUGUAUUUUGUACUAUAAAUCCUUUUUUUGUAAUCUGUUAGCAUUCUUUUUACACGUGUAGUGUUUUUGACCCUUUUACGGAGAUACCUGCGGAUGUGCUUCUGUUCCAAAUCUGCAUUCCAUUUGCGAUUGAGCAUUUCAAGCCACGAGCGACGAUUAAAUCCCUUUUGCGUCAUUGGUUUAUGGCAGUCGGCUGGGCUCUUGGCUUAACUGAUUUCUUACUACCCAGACCUGUGGAAAAUUCUGGGCAGGAAAUUGGGAAUGCAGAACUAGCAAGACGAGACAGGAUGCAUGAUGCAAAUCAAGGUGGAGCUGGCCAGCCUGACCUGCCUUUGGUGCCAUUAAUUGCUGUUGAUGAUCAUAACAGGAGAGGUCAUCCUAUUGGAAAUGCUGAUGUUGCUGAAGAUUCUGAUGUAGAUGAUCAGGCAGAUUCUGAGUAAGCACUUUUAGACAGUUUGAAAUACAUAUGUUUACACACACAUGAAGACAUGAUAAAUAUAUGCACUCUUGCAUCACUCACAUUCAAUGAGUAGACACUUGUAGUAGGGGGUCCAUGUAUAGAAAACAAGAACAUUAAGCUAGAGUGGAAACUAAUACACCUAAGUUGUAUCAGGUGUUAAAUAAUAUAAUAUAAUAAAAUAAUACACCUACCUGUAUAUUCAAUGAUCAUUAAGUGAAAGGUUUUUAUACAAUAAAACAAAAGGUUUGUUUAGAUCUAUGGCUGUGAACUGCCAAAAAACAACUUGAAUUUUGGUCUAUAGUCUACAUGCAUUUUCAAAUAUUCAGAGCUUGAUGAGUGGUGGAUCAUAUGAAGUUGAUUAGCUCAUCAUGUGUGAGGUGCAGGGUACAAAUGAACAAUUAAAAUCCUUGUGCCUUGGAAACAUUAAAAACUACCCUUGUGUGUUUACAUGUGUAUGUGCAUCUAAAUUAGAAGAUUCUUAUUUUGGAGGGAUAUUGAAGCAUCAGGUUGUGGGUAUGAGAGGAUGAUUGAAAAGAAAUAUCAAAGGGUACAACCAAGGUUCGCCGUACCGGUACCGAACCCCGUACUGGUGCCGCACUAGUAUAGGCGUACCGAGUGUUGGUACGGUACGGUAUGCGGUACGCCAGACGUACCGACAUUGGUGUACCGAUAUCGGUACCCAUCGGUACGGGUAUGGUACGCUCGGUACCGACCGGUACCGAUCGGUACAGCGAACCCCGUACAACACUUUUGGUAGAGUUUAACCUACAAAAUAUGGAACCCCUGUUAUAUACAUCAAAUACUCAUCCAAAGGAAGAGACAACUGGACAGCAAACAAAAAUAUGUAUGAUACCAUACUCAUUUAUGAUUAGACAUUGAUGGACUUUUUUUCCCUUUUAAGGAGACAUAAUAAGCAUAUACGUGACAGAAUUUCCUGUAUCACUAGUAAUAUGUUUUCUCUUCAUCAUUUUUUAGGUUGUGUGCAGAAAAUACCCUCAUCUUAGUCAAAAUUCAACAAGGUGUUUCUUGCAUAAGCCAUUCUGUCUCCGUUUUCUCAUUCUAAGAGAUAGUGUGUGUGUGUGUGUGUGUGCGCGCACACACACACACAUCAACUUUCCAAUUGUCCCGUGGAGGAUGCCUUUUUGUCAUCAUAUGAGGCUUUGCCACGUAAUAUGCUUCACCAGAUUUAUAUAAUUAUGGAUGAUGACUGUUUUCAUAACAAAAUCGAGUUUUUGGCAUCCUUCCCCCUUGCUUGGGAGUGGUUUCCAACCUGAGGAGAGAAUAAUAAGUGGUAUAUUGUUCAUAAAUUGCUCCAAGGAUGCGCUUAACCACCAGAAGAAUGAUCUGGAACAUGCUACAAGAUCCUACUUGUUCUCUGCUUGGGUCCUUGUUUUUUGAACUUUAGCAGAGGAUAGCACAUGAAAUUUUUGUUAGGAAUGGAAACUGCAUUCCUACAGAACUUUUUGAGAUUUUUAUUAACAUGUUUAUUUUGACAUGUGUUAUUAUUGAUUUUCUUGGAGUUGCUGCAAUUUCUAUGGCAUUGAGCUUUUUUAUGGGGCAUCUGGAAAUUCCCAUUUAGAUUAUUUGAAUUGUUUAAAGAUCUUAUCGAGCUUUGCAGUUGGAAAGCUGCGUAGGCAUUUUUUUUCUCCGGUAGUUGAGGGGGGACCCUGGAAAGUUAUAUAUGUUGUAGACGUCCUAGAGGAUACUAUUGAUAUUGUUUUAAAGAGUAGUGAUAGUUUCUUUUCAUGUUCAUGAAACCAGAAGUGUUGAAUUGACCAGUUAUAUGAGGAACUUAAUUAUGAAAGAGACUUGUUGUGACCAAUUUCAACAAUUAAAGCACAAUUAAACUGGGUUAAAUCAGAAUUAUGUUUUGGUUGAAGUAGAUAAUUGAAUGCAAGAUACUGGGAGAAGUUGACUAUUAUUAUUGCCUACUGGAGGUGUUUUAUCUCCUGGUUCUUGUGUCUAUCUUCUGUAGGUUUUUGCAUCUUUUAUUGGUUUAUUACUUCAGUUGUCUUGGGGAAAACACUAAUUUUAGAGCAUUAUCUUCUGAUAUGACAAUUGUUUAUUCAAUGCUCGGCAGGUAUGGUUUUGUACUCCGUAUUGUGUUAUUGCUGGUGUUAGCAUGGAUGACUCUUCUGCUCUUUAAUUCAGCAAUGAUUGUUGUACCUAUUUCACUUGGGCGCACACUGUUUAAUGCCAUCCCUCGCCUCCCAAUUACUCAUGGUAUCAAGUGCAAUGGUAAUAAGAAAAUACCAAAGCAAUACUUUAUCAUUGGUCAACCUAUCAAUACCUUUUUGAUCAUGGGGAAUCAACAUGUUCAUUACUUGACAUGUUCAUUACUUAUUUUGUCAGAUUUAUUUGCAUUCAGUAUUGGGUGUUACAUCAUCUGGGCUGUCGUAGCUGGAGCCAGAUAUUCAAUUGAAUACAUUAAAACCCGGAGAGCACACGUUCUGGUAUCACAGAUUUUGAAGUGGUGUGCAAUUGUUCUCAAGAGUUCUGCCCUUCUGUCUAUAUGGGUAAGUAAUUUCUGUAUGCUGGGUGUGGCCUUCUCUUUAGAACUGUUUCAAAUUUUCUUCUCUUUUCUUUCCUUUUUUUUCCUUUCAAUUAUCCAUAUGUCAUUGUUUUCAGAUUUUUGUUAUCCCUGUGCUGAUUGGUCUCCUUUUUGAGCUUCUGGUGAUUGUGCCGAUGAGGGUGCCUGUGGAUGAAAGCCCAGUUUUCCUCCUAUACCAGGAUUGGGCUCUGGGGCUGAUAUUUCUUAAGAUAUGGACUAGACUGGUACUACUACUACUAUCUCUUUUAUCUAUUUAUUGAGUUUGCUCAAUAUACCAGCAGCUUCAAGUUUUAUAGAUUUAUCAUAUUCUGGAUCUUUUUUUCUUUUUUUUUUAAAUUUUUUUGGUGGGGGUGAGGGGUUUAAAGUCACAAUUGAUAUUUGAACAAUUUUAUUUUCACCAUAAAUCAAUUGGGCAGAGAGUUGGUGUUCCUCCAGCAUUUUUAGCAUAUUUGAGUGCGCUCUGUGUUGUUGUAGGUUAUGUUGGAUCAUAUGGCACCAUUGGUGGAUGAAAGAUGGCGCAGAAAGUUUGAGAGGGUGCGAGACGAUGGGUUCUCCCGGCUGAGAGGGCUUUGGGUCCUGCGUGAGAUUGUGAUCCCAAUUGUGUCAAAGCUGCUGACUGCACUCUGUGUGCCUUAUGUGUUUGCAAAGGGCAUCUUCCCUCUCUUUGGCUACCCAUUAAUGGUUAACUCUGCUGUGUACCGGUUUGCAUGGCUGGGCUGCCUCCUUGUCAGUGUGAUGUGCUUCUGCGCCAGGCGGUUCCAUGUUUGGUUCACUAACCUCCACAAUGCCAUAAGGGAUGACCGCUAUCUGAUAGGCCGAAGGUUGCAUAACUUUGGGGAGGAAAAGGUGGAGAACAGCGAGUCAGGGAUCAUCAGUCCACGUAACCAAGACAUGAACCCAGCUGAUGCUGGUGUGAUGCAGCGUGAACAAGAAGCAGAUGGGCUUAGGCAGAGACAUCCUAAUCAGCAUCCUAACCACCAACAGAGGCUGGCCAUAUAGCUGGAAGAUUACCCAGAGAAUUUUGCUGCUGCUGCUGCUGCUAUUUGAAUUUGUUAUUGCACUUAAGAUACAAUGCCACGAUGGAGGGGAAGACGCCGGAUGUUCCCUGUUUGAGAAUUCCUGGAAUUGUGAAGUGAACCGCAUUAGGGAUUUCCUCCUUGUGGGUAGAUUGAAGUGCUGUCUGUAAUUGUGAAUAGGGUGCUGCACCACCAAAGCAUUCGUGGACUUUUGUGGUGUAAUGAGAGGCUUGGUGGAACUGAGUUCUCACCACGCGAGCGUAAAUGGUUUUAGUAGGGAAGGAUUCCGGUGUGUGCUGUUAAAACACUUCAUAUGAGCUAUGUGAAGGAGUUCAGCUCUGUAAAUGUAACGCCAUAAUAUUUCUAAGAUGGUGAAUGCAGCGCGUCCCAAAUCGGUCAAGGAGCUGUUGGCGAUGCACGACAGUUGCAUGCCAGGUUACAUGUAGUGAGUCUUUGAUAAUCAUAUAUAAAUUUUAUGGAGAAAAUUAGAUGAUGUUAUAGUAUGGAAAACACGCUCCCAAGUUUAUUUUCUCGAACAGAUGUUGACGGUUGUGGGCUUCACGGCACUUGUGCGUGCAAGGUUAGCAGCAUGUGGCUGAUGGUAUGCUGGUUUGAUGACUCACUCGGUCAUUGGCGUGACAUGCAAGCGUGCGGUAUAUAUUGAGGACAUGAUUCUAAAUCUACAUAGCCUGGGAUUUAACUCUAAGAGAUGUAGUGUGAUGCAGCGUAAAUGACAAUAAGAGGGUUGGUAAUUAAGGGCAAGAUACCUUCUAGUGGCAUUUCACAAGUGAGAAGACGAUAAGGGCGAUCACGGUCUACAAAAAAAAAAAAAGGGAAAAAGUCUGUCCCUAUCGUUUGGGUAGAUUUUUUUUUUCAGUUUUUAAUAAUCAAAUACCAAGAAUUUGACAUAAAGAGCCCACAGUACCGAUUCAAGUGCCCAUACCAUUAUCAUAUCCAAGCUUUGAGCAGCGCAUGAAUUCCACAUAAGAAGAUGGUUACUCCAAGAAUCAAAGCUUCUUUAAGAACUUCUGGACCAGGCAGAUACACAUAUUCAUGUACUACAUGUAUGUGCACAUACGACAUACCUGGAAAUAUAUCUAUUAAAUACACGCAUUUACUGUCACUUGUUACCACAUGUCCACAUCUGUAACAAAAACCAUGUAUUCUUUCAUCACAUCAAAACCUAUAAAUCACAAAUCCUGCAUCCUCCAUUACUCAGAGCAUCUAAAUAUUGAAGUACAUUGUAGCAUGCUCCAAACCGGCAUCAUCUACUUUGUUAAUCAAACACCAUAACUGACAAUUAUGUUACAUCGGAUCCAAGCACAAAGCUUAUACAGCUAAGGAUGCAUAAGCAAUUCCCCAAGGAAAACCUUGGAGAUGGUUACAACAACGCGGUCCAUAAUAACUGCUGGAAUAUUCGCGCUAAAAAUUUCAAUGCCAAAUCACCCAACCAAAGUCUUAAUUGAACUGCGCAUUACUAAACCAAAAUAUCAGCUGUUGAUGAAUAGCUCAUACAAAAAUACUCAGUGAAACCAUGCCAUCAGAAAGAAUUUCAUUUCCUCGGGAGAUACUAAUAAUUGUCUCUCUUUUGCUCCUGCAAACAAAAAACAAUGUUUGGUGGCAAGACAAACAUAUCAUAUCUGUAUUGUCAAAAUAACAUACAUCACCUGGGGUACUAUACUGCUCUGAGUGACGUGUUUGAAGGUUCAACAUGAAACCUCAUCCCACCACCGAAUCAGCUGGCCUUUCUCUUCCAACCAAAUUAUGAUGCCGCAGAUCAGGUGUAGAAUUAUCAAACAAUAACAUCAUUCAGAAGUGCAAAUGUAGAUUGUAAAUGUGUGCUCAUGCUUCAGCGCAUCUUUUUAUGACAUACCACAAGAUCAAAUGCAAAGAGCUCCCAUAUCUGGUAGAGGUCUAGAUCCGUUGCCUGGUACCUCUCUUAUGUUUUCUCUUUUCCUGCUGCGCUUUGUUUCCUUCCGGCCUUUACUGGCAGCAGAUUUGUCAUUGCUGCCAUAUGCAUAUUCGACUUUCCAAUCAGGAAUGCAGAAAUUAGAUAUAUCUUAUUCUCAUGUUUGGCACUCAGAACUAUUGUAGAAAUCAUCAUACAAUCUUAAAUUAUAAAAAUUGAUGAUGAUGUUUAGGAUUCUAUUAAGCUGGUGGAAAUAAUGCUCAAUGUUAUACAAAGGCGAAAGCUCUUAACUUCUAAUUUUUCCAUUUAUUCUAGUGUAUGACACUUUACAACUGUCAUACGUUAUAUACUUGCUUAUAUUUCUUAAUAACAUUGACCAUUGCCGGAUACAAACUUACAGAGCUCGAAGAUUGUUGCAAAAGAUCUGAUAUCUUAUACAUAUUUUAAUAUGUUGUUAAAUUCUUGUAGAGCUGUGAAGCAACUAAAGCUAUUGAUCUUUCUUGAUGCAAAAAAUCACAUAAUUUAGCUAUCUAUGAAAGAUUUUUCCACAAAAAGCUAUCUACUGAUGUUGAGAACAGUUGCAGCAGAGUUAUUGAUGUCUGUUUGUAGGUUUGUCAGGAAUGAUAAGUCUUAUCAUACCCUUUCUUUUUUUUUAAAAAAAAAGAUUCUUACAACUCUGCCUAAACCGUGCAACUCCCACAUUUCAAUUAUUAUAGUCAUUUCACACUAUUCUUCCUGGUUAGAUAAACAUCUGCGGUAACAUUAACAUCUUCGGUUGUCUUGUGUUUGAGCCUUCUUUUGCCAAGAAUCACAAUCUUCAUUAAGUUUAUUAAUUUGCACUUAUCUUGUGUUUGCAUAUAGUCCUUCCAUUUGUUCUCUUUCCAGGUACAUGGAAAAGAAGAAAGCCAAGAAGCUCGAUUAACUGAUUAAAAAAGCACAGAAAAAUGAAAUUAUGAGAAAUGAUGAUAAACUAGUAGAAAGAAAGAUUCACGGGAGCUCUGGAAAAAAAAGAUGCUCAUUGAGGCAGUGGUUAAAUCUUCCUCUUGUGCUCUAGUUUGGCUCUUCAGUUUGUACCAUUGAAUAGAAGUAAUGGACUGUACCAUAUAUUUCCUGAUGAUACAUAUCCCUUUGGCUAAGAAUCAGCAUACUACAAGGGGUGAGGCAUCAAGUACCUUAGCACCUGAAAACUAAUUGCAUAAUUUCUUAUAAGCUUAUCCUGAAAACUAUGUUUUCACCAUUUGUUUGAUCUCAUAUAAUAUUACAGCACAAUACAGAGCAUUCUAUAAACAGUAUCGGCAUAACAGUUUUUUGACCAUUCUUUUAUGCCGCAUAAAAUGUUCUGCUGAUUCAGCAGAGCUAAGCGAAAAAUUAGUGCUGUAAGAAAUUGAGUUGAAUGUUGUGCCUAUUUUCCACGUUCAACAGAAAAUUAAAUAUGUACAAAUUUCUACGAAAAGAUAUAGAAAAGGAUUGCAAGAAGUAUACAUUACAAGUGAUGCAGAGGAUUUCCCCUUGGCUGAACCACAACAAGCCUUGUAUUUCUUUUUUGAUCCACAAGGGCACUCUUUAUUUCUUGGUAUUUUCUUCAAGCAGAGUAACAUAUAAAGGAUGAAUAAGAACUCCAAACAGAUUUCAGCAAAUUAAAUAGGUGUUUUAAAUUGUUUUCAUAGCUAAUACCUUAUCCUCAUGCUGAAUGCUAUGGCUUUGAACUGGUUGAGUGUUGCUUCUGGCUACACCAGCUUCACAUUUGGUAUUCAUUGAUGCAGUCUCUGGUUGUCCACAGAUUUCAUUUUGAUCAUCUCCUGGACAAUCUUAGUUUAAGCAUGAAGUGGUUAACUACCAUUAAAAAGUGAGAACAUGAUGAUUCUGGACCUAAUAUAUAUACAAACCUAGUUAUAAUAAUUGUCUAACAUUUGAAAUGGAAGAAAUAUUAUAUAUAUUUGAUAAGAAAGGGAUAAUUUGGAGAAAAGCAAUCAGACAAUUUUCUCCACAUUCCAAAUUUAUCAGAUAUGUCCAAAAAGACAACAAUUUUCUCUAAAUUGAUAUUGCAUUGCACAGAUUAAUGAUAUGUAAAAUCAAGAGCAUCAAAUACAUCUAGGUUAGCAUAGGAAUUCACUCUGUGCUAAGAUUUUAGUCAAAACCCCUUCAAUGUUUUUUUACUUAGCAGAAAUUUUAAAGAAGGAUGUCUAGGACCAAAGAUCUCACUCAAAAAGACUAGCUAGAAGUUAUUAAUUUGAAUUCUUAGACUUGUUUAAGUACCCAAGACCUCCCCAACACCCACCUAAUGUGGGUGUAAACACAUGCUCGAGCAGAUCCUCACACAUUCUCCCAUUAAGCCUCGGCACCGAUGCCAGGGGUGGGGUCUAAACACAAACACUACAACCAGGUUGUGGUCAGUCCUAAAAGGAUCUACGCUAUGUCUCCUACCCACACAUGGGCUGCAGAGUGGGUUGCUAUGUAGGACCUCACCUAGAACGAGCUAGCCAGAAUGUAUUAAUUAAGGUCUUUGGCUCUACUUAAGUAGCCAAGGCCCCCCGAUGCACACCAACUGUGCUAAUAAACAAGUACUUGUGCCCCAAAAGAGCCCACAUUCUAGUGUUCCCUAUAGGCUAUGUGGCUAGGAAAAACUUCAACUCAUGCCCCUCUAGGGUUGACCACAAGCUGAUCAUGGUGCUUGUGAUUGAACCCUUGGAGUGCACGUUGGAGCUUAAAUAGAGGGAGCGUGUGAGGACCCAUGCAAGCAUUUGUUUAUUAGCACACUUGGUGUGUUGGAGAGCCCUUGGGUACUCAACCAGAGCCAGGGACCCCAGCUAAUAACUAGCCAUUUCGAGUGAGGUUUGAGGCCGUUAUAGUAUUGCUUUUGUGAGGCUAUCUAGAACAUGUAAGACUAGGCAAGCUUCCACAUUAUUCCUAGUUAUACUAGUAGCCAAUAGCUAUUAGACAAAUGAAAGGGAUCAAAUACAAGCAUGGCAGUAAAGGAAAUGUAAUGAUUUAAGUCUACAUUUUGCCUGCCAUUAUGUUAUAAUCUAUUUUUUAUUUAUUUAUCCACUCAUUUUAUUAAUCUUCGUUCGUAUCAAAUAAGCAUCAAAGAGAUGCUUAAUAUAGUUAUGACAUCCUAGGAUUGCCAAACUAUCCAAGAACUAAGUUCUUCCCACUAAGCAUGAUAUGUACUUACCAUGCCAUUCCAUGCAAAUGCUUCGCCCAUAAUGGCAUGAUAGCAUGCUAAGUACUAGCACCAACAUACAAUAUGUUGAAUAAAGUUUACCAAUAAAAAUCCAUGAGAUAGUCAUCCUAAAAAAUGAAAACCGAGAAGGGGAGAGAGAGUAGUUCUAGUGCUAGUGUAGUCAAGAUUUGCCAACCGAUACCAGAGGAGGUACCAGCCGACGUCCGGUUCAUGGUAAAGGUCCAUACUGUGCCAUUCUAGGCACACUGAUACAGGAAGAGCCGGAGAGGGAGGGGGAGAGGGAGAAAAAGAGAGAGAGAGAGAGACAGAGAGAGGGAGGGAGGGAGGGCUCGAAAGCCCUCAUCAGAACAAGGGACCCCCUAUUUCAUUUCAAAAUAGGGGAUCCCAAAUUUUGUUUGCUUGAAAAAGGGAAUCCCCUAUUCCGAUGAGAACUUUUGAGCCUUCUCUCCUCCCCUCUCUCCCUCUCUCUUCUUCCCUUCCUCCCUCUCCCUCUCCCUCCCUCUCUUUUUCCUCUCUCUCCUCCCUCUCUCUCCAUAGGCGUGGUAAGGCUUACAUUUUGAGCCAAUGGAAUGAACCGUGCCAGUAAUCGACCAGUCCGAUUCAACACAGUUCAACAAACCUUGGUAGUAGUGGUCAUUGUAGUAGUGGUGGUGGUUGAGGGUGGCCAUUAUAACUUCAAUAAAAAACUCCAAACAAAGUAUUUAGUAUUUUCCAAUUGAAUGAUUAUAUGUGGAUGUUUUUCAAGCAUGGAGAUCUUAGAAAAAAGAAAAUUGAAGUUAAUACUGCUAAAUUAAAUGACUGCAAGCUAGCAUGCAUUACCAUAACACAUGCAGUGAUUUCAUGAAUACAACGAACUUGUUUGUUUAUGGCCAAAGAUACUAAAGCUAAUUGAAAUAAAAUCUCUUUGCAAUAACUACUAACUAAAGGUCAGUCUAUAACAUGCUGUUAUAGUAUCUCAUCAGGACUUAUAAUUAGUUAAUGCUUCAAUGGAUGGUAAACAGAUAAUUUCCAAGUUCUAUCUACCACUUUUGCAUGCCCAAGUGCAUUUCAUAUAUUGCAGUAGUUAUCCUAACAGAUUUUUAGCAAGAGAAACAAAACUAAAACAAUCAGACCAAAACCUGAAUGAAAUCUAACCAAGAAAUCAAACAUGAAACUAGCUAUGUUAUGAAACUUGCGUUAACUGUCAUCAAUAAUAUAAUUGUCUGAGGCUGAGCUGACACUAACUAAAAUUACAAGAACACUUUAUUCCAAAUGCUACAACAGUAGAACUUAUGGUGAAGUAUGAAUUUCAGAAAGGAAACUAAUUUUAACACCAGAGCCACCAUGUGGAAAAGAAAAAAUGUUACAUUAUGACAAACUAUGUCUACCAACUGCUAUUGGAUGGAACAUUACCAUGAUAGACAUUGUCUUCAGAGGCAUGUACAUUAUCAUCUGAGUCCUGAUCUGCUAUCAAAAAUUCAACUGCAGCAUCAACAUCACCAUCUACUUCUUGUAAAACCUGGCUCAUAAUCAGAUAAAUUGUCCAAUUAUAUUUUGUAAAACAAAGAAAUUAAAAAUACAAAAACAUGAAUUUAUUUUUUCUUAUGAAUUUCCCGCAUUAUUUGGAAACUAUAAGCAUACGGGCACCUGUUCAACUUUAUCAACAUCCUGACAUCCUGUUCCAGCCAUAACCAUUUUAAUUGAUCGAGCAUCAAAAGUUCGCUUACGAGAGGACCCUUUUGAUUCAUUAACUGUUAACUUUUUGUUAUGGUCCAUUACAGGGAAGUUAGCAUCCACCUACCUUAAGAAUGACACCAAAAGUAAGAUAUAACUUGCGUAUUGGAUUUCUAUAUUAGAGAUAUUAGUGUAAAACAAAUCUUUCAAGAACCACAAAUGAAACUAGCUAUGGAGAACUUCUACAGGAAAAACCUCAAUAAUGAUUGGCUUAGCAGGUCCUUCACAAGAAUCUUCCUUCAACCGAACACUAUUGUAGUGUUCACCAUCGUGAUAGCACCUGUAUAUGUCAAAUAAUGACUCAAUCAGAACCUAUAAUACACGAAGCAAAAAACUAGAGAUAAUAUGGAAUCUUUAGCAACUUGCACAAUUUUGCAUUAAAUGCAACAGAAACAAAGUGUUAAAAUGAAAAAUUAUAAGGAAUAAUAUUAGAAACGGACAGGAAAUUGACCUCUAUGAUAUCUGAAUGCAUAUAUAAUGUGAAGGCAUCUUACUAAGAGUACAUUACUUCAGUGCACAAUCAACAAUGCAACACUAAAAGAAAAAUCUAGAACUUGAGUAGAAGUCUCAUUUAUUGGGCCCCUUUUUUUAUAAACUAGUAAUUGUAUCAAGUGAUGUUUGUCUUAGGGUGCAAAAACUGGGUGUAUUGUACCAUACUGAACCAAUACUCGAUAACCACACACCGGGGGUUGGGGGAGGGGGGGGGGGGGGGUACUGAGUGUCGAACUAAUCCCGUAUUGGGCAUGCCGGCACUAUACCAAUGUGGCACUUGCACCUGGUCCGGGUACCAAGAUUGCGAACCUUGGUGCAAAGUAAUAGAAAGUUAUAUAAUGUAUCAAAAGGUGUCAGUCAUUUAGCAACUAAAAUAUAUUGUACAUCCAGGUAGUCGUAGAAAAAUAAAAAUACUUCUACAAGCUAAAAACAUUCAUUCCUGUUUGAGUUGAAUAUCAUUCUAGCCUUAAGACCAGCAUGAUGGGAUUUAACGAGGUUCCCUAAAGGAGUAUCCCUCUCACGAGCCAACCUUGAUCAAUAAACAAGAAAAUUGAUUCAUCAUAUUCCUCAUAUAUCUACAUAUCUUCUUGUGGAUCACCUAAAAUAAAAUAAUUAUCUAACAUAUUUGUGAAAUUCAAAGUUUCUUGUGGUUCCUAUUUGAAAAUGUCAAUGUAUAUAAGUUCUAUUAUCCCAACCAACAUAUAAUUAUUAAGCAUUCUCGAGGAAACAGAAAACGAUCUUAGGGUGCUAGCUGCAUGCAUGGAAUGAUAGCUAGUAGUCUGCACACCCUUCUUUCUGCAGUAGUAUAAAAGCUAAAAUAUGGAUAUGAUAAUAACCCACAUAUCCUUUAAUAAAAGUAAUAUAACAUCAUGUUGGAUGUGUCAGCACCUCAUCAGUUGAAUGAGAAUCAGCAUCAUGCUUCAAGUUCUAACAAGAAUAAGGGAAGCAACAUAUGAAUAGUUUCAUUGGUAGAAAUACAAGAGUAUCUAAAGAACAGAAAAUACAAUCAUUAGAUCCUAUCAAUGUACUCCGUGCUUCAAGGCUAACUUGAUAUAGUGAAACAACCCUAGGUUUUUGUGUAAAAAGACUCUUAUGUUCUGUAAAGUUUCUACCAUGAAGUCGAUCUCAUUUGUGUUGUUAGUAUGUGCCAUUUUUUUAUGAUAUAGUAUGUAUAACAAAUUACUUAAAGCAAUGCAAUUCACUUACUGAACAAAAAUAAGCAUGGAUUUAUAGAAUGAUUUAUGAUUAUGUAUCUGUAUAGUUUUAAAAACCACGUUUGUUUAUUUAAAAUAUUUCUUUUCACAAAUAUAAAGCAAAUAGUCUGUACACCUCUAGAAAAUUGAAUAAAACAGCUCAUCUUAACAUGUCAAUUGCUAAUUUUUCUACAGAUUUGGAGUAUGUUGCUGUACUGAUGCAUGCAAAUGUCAAAUGUGAUGUGGCAACGCUAAGCCCUGACCGGAAUGGGAGCAGACAAAAAAGAUCAUCUAAUGUUUGUGUUAAUUACCUUUUGUGAUCAGAUGUUUCUUCUCAUUAGGUUUAACUGUCUUCUUGAUUGGACUCUAAAUCUACCGAUAAAUAAACCUCCGAGCUUCAUAUUUAUGCAUCUUUAUCAUGCGAAUGAUGCUUCUCUAUGCCCCUCACAUCACCAAGUAUGUAAGGAAAUUUGUAUGACAUCCAUAAGGAUCAUUUCAUUCUUCCAUAAUUCAACUUUAAAAAGCACAAUGAUGAUACAUAAUGCAGAUUUAUACAGUGCUCUGACAAGUUGAUGCCCAAACCACCAUUCCUUAGAAUAUGUACAAUAAUGCCUAGAGUCUUAAAAACAUAGAUGACAAAUAUAAUUUGUCAUAUUAUGCAAUAAGAGUGUUUUAAUUCUUUCAAUAAAAGAAACUAUUAUAGGAACAUUCUAACACAUACAAUACUACCAAGAAUAUCAAGAGUCUUAAACAGAGACGACAUUGUCAUACUAUGCGACAAAAAAAGUGUUCCAGUUCUAUGUUCAAACAAAAUGAACUAAUAUUAGGCAACAUAAAAGCUUCACUUCUUUGUCAAUUAUUUUAUUCAUUAAUCAAAUAUGCGGCCACAGCUACAUUUUAGCGAAACAAGAUGACAACCCAAGAAGUCUCAUGAUAAUAUAUGAAUCUAAUACACGCAUAGCAACCAGCUGCAAGAUAAGUGCACAUAGUAAUUGUAGAAUUUAUCCAGUAAUAGUUUAAUAACACAAAAAUUCAUAUCUUGGAUUCUUGAGAUAUACUAAUUUUAAACAAUGACUACCCAAAAAAAUCCUAUAUAAAUGUAGUCACAAACCUUAUCUAUACAUUAUAUUUAUUAUCGCAAAGUUUAGUUGUAUAAAGUAAAUUAUCACAAAUAAAAUGACAUAGCAGUCAGUGGUCAAUUGUAAUUUUAGCUUAUUAGAGUCAGGUAUACUUACAAAUGAAUCAUACUAGCCCCAUGACUGCUGAAGUUAUUUAUAUACCAGCGAGGAGACCUAAGCUGCAUAAAAGAACUUGAUCAGUAUAUCAAUCUUUAUCAGAGGAAACUACAUGGGAAAUAUUAUCCUUAAAAUUUGUCAUAUGUGCCUGUUGCAAGACAACUAGGUGACUAAGCAUUCAUCUUAACAAGUGAUUUCCAUUCCGUUUCUUAAAUAUGCCAUCAUAUGAGUUGCUAUGCAACUAGGUGCAAAUUUUAGAGCGGCAAUAAGUAUGAUUUAUGCAGGAUACUUUCUUGAUGUGCAGACUGUAACCAGUCAAAUGGACUGAAACAACAAGGGAAAAGGAAGGGGAGAGGAUCAAAUAUGAGAAUAUGCAAGUUUACAACUUAGCAUACACAUGCUUUAUAUUGUUGUAUUAUAUUGACGUCAGCGUGAUUACUAACUACCUAAUUAUGAGGAUUUUUCUAUUAAAAUGCAACUCGAAAAUUGCUAAUGAGCAUUGAAACUAUUUUAAUGGUUGUGGCCUUAAAAAUAUUAAAAAAAUGGCAAUUUAUGGAAAUGAGAUGUAUCAAACAAAACUAUCAUUUAAAGUCCUACUCCUACCUGCAAUUAAUUGUCCAAUACAUUACCACACUAUAUAACAUUGAAACAUACCAACUGGUCUGCUACAUUGUGUUAAUACUAGUUAACACAGCUACUAACAUUUGAGCACGUCGAUUUCCCAUAAACUUUGCCAUUAGUUUUUUCAACCUAAUCUUAUCAAAGCAAUCUAUUUCAUGGUUAAUUUUAGGAAACAUUAGGAAAAAGCAAACCUAUGUCACCUGUCUACAAAAUGGAGACCAUACUGUUUCAGGUCUCUCCAUAAAAUAACUCCUCAAAUCAUCAAUCCUCCCAACCCCCUUUCCUGUGGCAUCCAACUUCUUCAUGGAAUCAGUCUCCUCUCACAGUUUCCAACUUGUCUCUCCUUCUACCUUUCUUAUUAUCAACAUCUCUAUGUCCUGAAGUCCACUGUGAUGCAACUCUCUCUACCCAAGUCUCUCUCUCUCUCUCUCUCUCUCUCUCUCUCUCUAAUUAUAGCAUUGAUCAGGAAAGCAGCAUCACUAAUCACAGUUAAGGCCACUACACUUGCUGUUUUAGUUUUAUACAAAUUUCUGUUUUCAUUUAUGAUUUUUUAAUUUCGCAUUAGCUGCAAACUUUCUGUUUAUACAUUUGGUAUUGUAUUCUUUAUUUUAUAAUUUUUUAUUUUUUUUCCGUAUUUGUAUUAUUCUUUCCCCGACAUGGCAUUUUCUAUUCUAUUAUUUUCAACAUUUUCCUGUUACUUUAUUUCUUUUAUUUUCUCUUCUAAUAUUUAUACAAUUUCAUGUAUUUUGUUUUCUUUUCUGUGUGGAAUUAAUAUCAACACGAUGUUCAUAUAUUCAUAAUAUCUAGAGAAGUAAAACAUUACAUGGUCAAGUUUUAAUUUGCUUGGGUGGCUUUUUUGGUAGGUCUUAUUUAUGCAUUUCUAUGUAAAAAUAUGAUCUCUAAAAUUUUAAUAAAAUUGAUAUGUAUUAUUUUGAACCAAUAAUUUGACAGCUAAAAUUAGAUUGAUUUUCAUGACUGAUUAGAUUUUUUAAUAACAAAUUUUCAUUCAUGACCUUUUUGGUGAGCUUUUUUCCCAACAUGCAUUGCAUGUGCCAGUUUACUUUGCAUGUGGAGAUGGAGACAGACAUGGAGAAUGAGAGAGGAAGUUGAGCUAACACUUUUGGGGCAGGCUUGAAAAUCAAUGCUACAGAUGCAAAUUCAAUGAUAAAACAUCUAAAAUUGAAUACACGCAAUGUUAAAUGUCUAAUAGUAUUUUUGUUCGCAAAAGGAAAAAAAGAAGCAUCUAGUAGUAUUUUAAUGCUUAGUAAUCAAAAACUUUUGGAGAUUUUCUACUACCACAUCAAGUAGUCCCAAUAUUACCUAUAUUUUACAGGCAAAUUACUUAGAAUUAGUAGCAUCACAAUCAAGUGUGUUGGCCCGUUUAUAUUAUAAGAUGUCAAGAUCAAUAUAAAUAGUCUGGAUUCUACUUGAUGAAUGGUAAGAGGCAUCCAUAAUAUAGGCCCCUCAGUCUAAAAGAUCCAGAGUUGAGGCUAUAAUUGUAUGGGAAAAAUACUAGCUCAACUCCACAUAUUUACAUGAGCACAUAUGCAUGCGUACGUACAUACAUAAUGUAGUCUAUAAUACAAACAUGUGUGUUUGUACCAAUCGUGAUUGAAAUUGUUAUCCGAUGAGAAACUCAGAUCUAGGCUACACCACACCCAAGGUAACAGAUAUCAGAUCUGGCACACAGGAUUCAGACCUAAUCUGUAAUAUGAGUCCAAAAGUGGAAGAAAAAAAGAUUAAAUUAAAACCAGAAUUCAUAUCAUCAUCAAGUUGUUUGGUAUUAUAUUAUUUCAUCACAAAAAUCCACAUCACAAGCUCCUCAAAGCAAGAAAAACGUUAAUAAGGGACACAAAUUAUAACUUAACAAGUUUCAAUUUUUUAACAUAUUCAAUUGUUAGGAAGAAAGGAAAGACAAGGAAUAUCACGAUCUCCAAGGGUGAAAAAGAAUGCAAAUAAACUUCAAAAUUAGCCCAAAAGGACAAAUGACAUGAAUGGGCAACCUGAAUAGCAAAAAACAACAAAAGCAGAAUUAGAGACUUUGGAGUUCAAAAAUUGCAACAAAGUGAUAGAUGUUCAAGAUAGCCAAAAGAAAGGUCCCAAUAUUGUUUAAGUUGAAAAUAACCAGAAAAGGACUUCUAAGCUGCACCAAAGUUGUUCGGGCAGGGUAAUUGACAUGGGGAGGCUCAAAACUCAAACAAACCAGAUGAAUGUCCGCAAAGACCCCGGAAGGAACCAUUCAAAUUAGUUUAUGAUGGAAGGAAAGCAACAUGUAUUGAUGCUUUUUGUUUGUAACUUGUCAUGUAUGAGAAUGAAACAAACAUGAAAAUGAAGCAGGUCAGUGAGUUGCAAUCUGUCCUUGAACCUCUAAAACAAAGUUCCAACAGAUGAUAAGCUCUAAAAUCAGAACACGUGCCUUUCACAUGUGGGAAGGGGAAUGAGCAAUGACAAAAAAUAAGGCAAGGAAAAAAUAGCAAAAGCAAAUGACCAAACACCAAUUACUGCAAUGGUAAUCUAAACCCUUAAGAUUUCACUGGGUUCGAACAAAAUUCUAACAACUGUUGGUGCACAGCUCAUCGGAUUACAUGGAACCACAAUAGCCAGCUUAUUUAUGACCUGUGGAAGACUUUAUUCCAGAAACAAAGAUGGAAAAUAGAAGAGUUUCCCUCCAGGAAAUAUUAAAUAAAGAUUUUACAAAGUGGUCCAAUCUGAGAACAAUUUGAACUAAAUAUGCAUGUGAUCUACCACAGAAUGAUAUACUAAAAAUAAGUGAAUCACAUAUGAAGGCCCAGUAAACAUAACAACAAUCCUCUCACUGUCCAAAAGAAACAAAAGUGAAAUAUAAGCAGCAGAUGUGCAAUGCAACUAGAUUUGAACGCUUAAACAGAUUUCUGAGUAUAACCAUGACUUAUUUUUCAUGGUGAUGCUAGUCUACUUUAAAGAAGUGGGUGAACAUCAAAUGAAUACCAUCAAUUGUAUAAGGUUGCUGAGAUCUUUGUUUUUCUGCAACAUAACUUAUAAAUCCAUGGGUUAUAGCUUCCAAAAAUCAAAAAAUGAUCUCCCCCACCCACCCUGCAUACCCCCCACCAACCAAAAAAAAGUACGUGGCUCUCCCCUCCUUCCUUCCACCAGUAAUGGUAAUAUGAACAAUACAAAGAGGAUGUAAAAUUUAAAGCAGUUUUCUUCCCGUAACUAUUGGUGUUGCUCAGAUUUUCAUCCGACAUUUUCCCACUUAUUGUUUGUUUCAAUUACAUUAGAUCUUUCUUAUUACUCUUCUUUUUAACACAAAACUAACAUUUACAGCUAAUCACAACACUUUUGGAGACACAUGAAGCUUUUUGAUGAAAACAAAAACAUAGACUAUUGGCAAAAAUAAACAGAUAGACCAUCUCGACACAUUGAAUUAAAGACUCCGAUCAAGUAUUAUAAAUAUUGCAUCAGCAAGAGAACAUGAUUGCAUGAAGGUAGCUAACAACUCUCUCAUGCAAAAAUCAAUUUUUACCCCAUGAUUAUAACAGAUUUAGACCUCAAAGGCUCAAAGAGUAUCAAUUAGAUCAAAGCAUGAGAAAUGUUUUGUUUUUAUUCCACAAUGACAUCAUUUGUAAAGUAUUACGAAGCACAAACAUGGAUAUAGGAUACGGAUACGACACAUAUGGCAAACCUUGAAAAGUAGGAUCUUGUACAGCUAGGAUAUGCAAUAAAUAAUAUGUAUGCAUAGCUACAUAGAUAAGUAUAUAUGCAUAUGCAUGUGUGUGUGUGUGUGUAUAUAUAUAUAUAAACAUCCAUAAGACGUAUUAGGUACGACAGACCUUGAAAAGUAGGAUAUAAUGCGGCUAGGAUAUGCAACGAAUAAUAUUUACACAUUCAUGCAUGCAUCUAUACGUAGAUAAGUAUCUAUACAUAGAUAAGUAUAUAUACAUAUGGAUGUGUAUAUAUAUAUAUAUAUGGAUGGANNNNNNNNNNNNNNNNNNNNNNNNNNNNNNNNNNNNNNNNNNNNNNNNNNNNNNNNNNNNNNNNNNNNNNNNNNNNNNNNNNNNNNNNNNNNNNNNNNNNNNNNNNNNNNNNNNNNNNNNNNNNNNNNNNNNNNNNNNNNNNNNNNNNNNNNNNNNNNNNNNNNNUAUAUAUAUAUAUAUAUAUAUAUAUAUGGAUGUGUGUGUAUAUAUAUAUUAUCCAUAAAAUGUAGUAGGCUAUGAGAAUACUCCGUACUUUACACGAUAGUAUCAACUUUACAAGCUUAUCAUUUAGUCAUCAUUCAAAUCUUGAACCCAAUCCAUACUUCAUAUUUAAAUAUUAACAUCAUCAACUACAAAAGAUUGAUCAUUCAUUGCUACAAGAUUAACAUCAAAAGAAAGAAACACCCUCCCCCUCGUUUUUGGAGGUAAAGUAUCUCAAGUGUUUUCAAAAAGUAUCCAGAGUAUUUUUCUUUUUUAUAUUUUGAAAAAGAGGAUAUCUUACACAGGUAUCGGACAUGUAUCUGAAUAUCCAAUGAGUAUCAGUAUUCGAUCCAUAUUUGAUACUGACAUGAGUAUCCGUGCUUCUUAGGUAAAGAAUGAAAGGACCAGCAAAUUGUUCAUUUAAAAACACAAAAGAAAUUAAGUUGCUUGAAAAGUUAUGAAGAACUUGCUCGAUGAAUACAGAUAUUUCUUCUAGUAACAAGAGAAGCUGCUUGUAGUUCCAUAUGGCCUGCCCAUGUACCAUCCUUUUCCAUGGACUGACAAUAUUCAUCAAAUGGAACAUCAUCCUCAAUAAAUGGUUCAAAGUCCUCACGGUGAUUCUGUGCAAUACAAUAACAAAAUAAGAUUAUGUUAGUUGAUCAUUUAAAGAAAUCAAGCAAUAUAUCUUACAGAAUAGCAAAGUUGCCUCAUAUCAAAAUUCAUCAGAUAUGUCUAACCAAUCACUAGAUGUUCAAUAACAAGCUAUUGACAAUAAAGAGCAAAUGUUAUGGACAGACAGUAACUUUUACAGUUUUACCUCUUAACUUGCACUUAAAAGUUUGAUUAAACAUGAAAAUGAUCGGGAACAAUACAUGUAUUAAUAAAGGUAUAAGAUCUGCUCAUUGUAAAUCAUGUCUCAUUUGUUUUAGGUGAAAAGGUAUAUACCAAAAUAUAUUGUACCACCAUAUCACGAUACUUUUUGUGUUCCUCUUCAUUGCCCUCCAGCUGAUCAGCCAGAGCCCUGCAAAUUAUUUCAAUAACUCAGCAUAAUCUAUGGACACGCGAAACUUAACAUGACAUCUAUCGCAUACAAUGUGAAUUAUAAUUUUAGUUAGUGCAAAGUAAGACUUCUUUAGUAUUGGAUAAUGAGUAUUGACGAAAAAGAAAAGAAAUCUUCUACAAACCUAAAGAAACAAUUGCCAUCUGCUGUCACUUGAAUUAUUUUUAAGCCCAAGACAUCAAGCUGAGAACGAAAUUCUGCUACAGCAUCCAGUUUUCCGUGCUGCUUCACCUGUGUAAGGAGACACUAACGUAAUACAAAAUAAUCAUGUAUGAAAUAGCAAAAGAUCAGAAUCACUGUGCAGGGAAAUGUAUGUGCUGAUUUCAAGUGAAAAGAAAAGAAGGAUUUGUUAAAUGUAAACUUAAUCAUAUAAAACUGAACAUAAAGCUUGAAGUUCUGGUCUGAUUGGCAUGCAUGCCUGGUGCUCGUAGUGACGCUCCUUGCUCCUGUUUGAAAUUGUUACCUAGUUACAUUUAAGUGCAUCCUAACUCCUAACAUUGACAAGAAGACAUGAGUAACAUAAAGAUAUUUAAAUGAUAUGAUUAAAAACCAAAGCAUUCUGGAGUCUCCCAAGAUCUAAUGGUACAAAAUUUCUUUAAAAUUAUAUGUUUCUCACUCUGCAAGUAAUCUUAACAGCAAAGGCAAUGGUGAUAUUGACAAAAAACAACUGAAAUUUUACUUGAACAUGGAAAGUUUUUGAAUCACUUCUAUACUCCCAGUUAAUUCAUAUCAUUUUAGCCUAUUCUAAUGGUGUCUUUGCAUACAUAAAACUCUGCCCAAAUCAAUUCAUAUCUCAUGUAGAGGUGAUACCGGUGGUGCAAACGGAUAGGCAUUACAUGACUUCCUAACUCUUAAUGGAAACUUACCUUAGGCACAUGAGCUCAGCUAGGUAAGGAGAGGCGAAUUGCAUGUCAGCCUGGCAUUGGCAUGGUAUGUAUUGUGUCAAGAUAUGUGAUACCAGUGCUUGAAACACACUGCCAUCAGGGCAUGUUAAGUACAUGGCACGCAGCCAGUUACGCACUGUUAUGGUACAUCUGUGCUGCAUCAGCAAUGCUGAUCAGAACUUUAAUUGCUCAUCUUUUCUUUGUCUAUGACAAAGUCAAAAGCAUAAAUUUAAAUUCCCACUUGCAACAACUAUAAUACAAGGGCAUAUUUUCUUUCUAUGCACCAAUUUUUCAAAUUAGUAUCCUAACCCUGAUGCGCUCCCUAAACCUCCAUCAAACCUGAUAUGGUGUAGCAAAAUUUACCAAAGCCACACUAGUGGCCAGUAAAAAGAUGAUUACAAAAGCAUGACUAUGUCAAUCUAUGUAAAAACAAUUCUAUGAUUUUGAGUCAGUCUACACCCAUGGAAGUUCAUGUUUUCCUUGUUGAGCAUGUGUGAGGUAAGCACUUUUGUUUAACAUGGUGUGCAUUGUCACAUAGCAGCUCAUGGAUAUCUCGCACCAAAACCAAAGAAUAUUGUCAGAUGAUAUACAGAUAUUGAUCUACAGUUCUUUUUCUUAUUGAAACAUGGUCCAACAAAGAUUGUGAAUUGGGCAAGAAAGGUUCCCAUUGUUCUCUUUAACCAAACUUCUAGUUUGAAUAUAUUAGAUACCAAUAUUUUUCUAAAACAAUCCUUGUUGGAGCUGAAACAGUCAUAUGACAAGCAACAAUUCAGAACCUACAUUCUUGGUGGACAACCAAAUUAUAUUUUAAUACCGUCGGCAUUUGAAGAGGGUACCUUGAAAUCAAACGAAGUAGUAACAAUCUUUUCAACAAUAAAUAAUUGCGACGACCCUAUGGACACCCAGCAAGUAAAUGAUCCAGAUAUGUCUACAGGAAAAAUAAGAGUUGGAAAAAAAUCCAAAUAUUCAUAUUAUCCAAAAUGGAGGGAAAUAACCAAUACAUACAUGCAACUAAACUGACAAUGUGAUAGAGCCAUAGCUAAUAUUUUGGCAAAACAAACACCCAAAGAGAAGGGUUUUGGGUUCACGUCUUCCCAAGAACAAGGUGAUAUGCCAAGCAAAAAGGAAAAUAGUGAUGUAGUCAUCAUGGUGUUCAGCACACCACAGAAUCUACACAAAACAGCUGAAUGUAUACAAUUGACAACCCCUACCACCUAGCAGACAUGUUGGAUCAUUUACAUCAUUUUUGUUUUUGUUUAAGCAGUUACAUAGAGAGUUUGACACAAACCAAAGAAAAUGGUUGGUGCACAUGAUGUGACAUCGUAGAGCCAAUGGUCUGCCGUACCGAUCCGUAUAGGUCGAUAUGGGCCGGUAGUACCGGUACCAGACGAAACCGGUACGGUACAGCUAUAUUUUUCGAUUCCGACUAUUCGCAAUUCGUACCGGUCGGUACCAGCCGGUACCAACCCGUACCGAACCGGUACCGGCCCGUACCGACCGGCUUGUACCGACCUCAAAUUUUUUUUGGCUUUUGGCCCGAACCAGCCGAACCGGUACAAUACCGGUUCGGUUCGGUAUGGUACCGGUACCGAUGCCCACCGGUAUGUCGGUAUGGUCGGUACAGUGGACCUUGGCCAGCAUGUUAUAAUAAAGUGAAUGGUGAGGAAAAGCUUCUUAGGAAAAUAAUAAUGUUGAACAAAAAGUGAAAACCAAACUCAAGUAUGCUCAUUACAUUCUUGAAACACCAUAUUUGUGAUCAAGCAUUGAGGUAUCACGACAGUGUAGCACUAGCAUGGUAUCUACCAUGUUGUGCCAUGCUAGUGCUUAGCACAAACUAGCACGUUGGCAUGCCAAGAAUGGGUACGACCGAUGCCAUGACAAAGCUAACACUUGCAAGGUACAUAUCAUGCUAUAAAACUGGCAUUUUGAUCCAUGCUCAUGGCCUGAAAAACAUUAUUCUCAUACCAGCAUAAUGUAGGGAGAUAGGUGAGAUCUGAUCACACAAACAUACUUUCUAUGUAGAACAUUCUAAGCAGCUUUCACUCUCAUAGCAAAACAAAAGGCAUUGUUUAUCAUAAGUCAAAUUUCCUUCAAGAUGUCUGACUGGAUUUCUAAAAUAAAGAGUUAAUGACAUGUUUAGACCCUAGAUGAUACAGGAAAAACCAAAAUAGUAAAAAGCAGCGGUGUUAUUCGUGCAGAAAGCAUACUGCAUUCCACCUAAGCAAGGGCCUAAGUAGAAGAUUAAGAAGUGAGGAGGAGAAAAAGGUGUUCGAGGAAAAAGUGGGGAAGGACGAGAAGGCAAAAGACAAGGAUAAGCAAAGAGGCAGAGGGAAGGGAAGAAUGAGAGGGACGGUGGAGGGGAAAAGAAUGAGAAGAAUAGGCAGAGAGAGAAAGGAAGUGGAGUAGGAGAGAUGAGGAGAGGAGGCGGUGUACCAUAUAGCACUCAACUGCAGUUUCCAUGCAACCUGCAAAUGGAAAGGUGCAUACACAUACGCCUGUGCAACUGCAUAGACCUCCUUUUGAAACAGUGGUAAAGAUAGGACAUAUACCUUGAUCUUACUAAAAUAGACAUAAGGAUGUUGAUCAUAAUCACAAAAUCUCUACGAAGACAGACAGUCCAUGCAAAGCUAAUAUAAUGAUCAUUGGCAAACCAUAAAUAUAGCAAUAUACAUAUGGCCUGCUACCUAAACUAAUGUUAUUUCAAAACCACGAAACUUCAAUCAAGCUCUAUAAUGCUUAACUAAACAAUUUACAUAAUUAUUGAUCUUAGAGAUUAAUACUCAUGAAAUAAAGAACAUUACUAGCUAGAGAACAAUAAAAUCGUACGAUAAGCAAUAAAAAACUCAAAGAUUGGGCUUAAGAAUAUUGUGCUCUAUGUCAAGUCAAGCAAAAUUUUUAGGCUGGUAACUAAUUUGGGUCACCUAAAGCCCAAAAGUACUCAUAACAAAUAAACAAUAUGUGAAAAAUUUAAUUGUACGACAUACAUAUAUGAAAAAUUAUAUAUACAAAUAUGAAAUGAAGAACCUUACUAGCUAGAUAAGAAUAGAAUCACAAGAUAAUCACUAAAGGACAAAUAGUUAGAGAUUCUAAAUUUUGUGCUCUGGGUCAAGUCAUGCCAACUUUUUAGGCCAGUAACUAAUUCAGACCACCCAAAGCCCAAAUGUAUUGAUAGCAUACUGAAAUUAUACAAACAUAUGUGAAAAAUUUAGGGAUACAUUUCGUAAUAGAUGAAUAGGCUAGACACAAUAAUUACUGAACCCUAAAUCCUAAAACACAUUCAAUUGCUCCUAUAUCUAAUCCAGCCACUUCCUUUUCUGUAUUCACCUCCUUCCCAUACGUGAACCUAUUAUGAGACCAAUAUACAGUCUCCAUAUUUAAUCAUCUUAGCCAUCCAAUAUUUCUCUAAAUCUUUCUCUCA
Molecule: long non-coding RNA, 101072 nt
Filed under: Phoenix dactylifera (date palm)
Lineage: Eukaryota; Viridiplantae; Streptophyta; Magnoliopsida; Arecales; Arecaceae
Description: long non-coding RNA (PDAC_LNC001575)
Source: RNAcentral